RNAcentral lists this long non-coding RNA (93152 nucleotides) under Medicago truncatula (barrel medic). RNAcentral describes it as "long non-coding RNA (MTRU_LNC003037)". The stretch from base 35789 to 35956 matches the Rfam family "MIR2680 microRNA precursor family". Lineage: Eukaryota; Viridiplantae; Streptophyta; Magnoliopsida; Fabales; Fabaceae. The record is from RNAcentral.
CAUAUACACUCACAAUUUUGUCUAUGCAUUAAUGAACAUGAUGAAGUUAUAUCAAUUUGAAUUUCUCUUAUCCCUCUUCCUUAUCAUUGUCAAUACAACCUUUUCGGGUUAUGUCCCUCAAUUGUCUCCUUCUCUUGGCAAACAAAUAGGGAAGACAUUAGACAAGAUCAAACAAUCUCCUCCAUCAGAUGAACAACCAACAAAAGAGAUUGAAGGCCUAUCUCAAAUCAAACAACAUUUGGACACUUUCGGCUACUUCCAACGAUCUCCGCUGGACUUUGAUGACGUUCUAGACAAGGAAACAAUAUCCGCUAUUAAGGCUUACCAACAAUUUUUCAAUCUCCAGGUUACUGGUCACCUAGACUCCGAGACUUUACAACUACUCUUGUUACCAAGAUGUGGUGUUCCUGAUAUGAAUUUUGAGUACAGCUUCACUGACGCAAUUAAUAUAUCAUUACCGAAAGGAAACAAGUGGUUUCCCAAGGGCACGAAAAAGCUUACGUAUGGUUUUCAUCCGGAGAGCCAAAUCUCAACUGACAUGAUCAAAGUGUUUAGAAAUGCCUUCACACGAUGGUCGCAGACCACUAGGGUCCUAAAUUUUAGCGAGACAACAUCAUACGAUGAUGCUGACAUUAAGAUUGGAUUCUACAAUAUUACCUACAAUGAUGCAGUUGAUGAUGUUGUUGUGGGUGACUCUUUCAUCAGCUUGAAACUUGAUUCGAAGGCGAAGUCAGGUUUGAUACGUCUAGACGCUUCAAAGUACUGGGUGUUGCCAACUACCUACUUUUGGUACUGGGAAUUUCACCAAUUCGACUUGGAGACUGUUGCCAUGCAUCAAAUAGGUCAUCUACUAGGACUUGAUCACUCGUCUGAUGAGGAGUCUAUUAUGUACCCAACAAUAGUGCCAUUGCAACAAAGGAAGGUGCAGAUAACAGUUUCAGAUAACUUAGCUAUUCAACAACUCUACACCAACUCUGUCAAAGCCAAUCCAGACUCUGAUCAUAGUGGGUGCUUCAAACUUUUUGAGUCUACUUUUGAUACCUCUUUGUCCCUUGGUUUUGCUUUCGUGGCUCUGAUGAACUUGGCUUUCUAAUUAAUACAUCAUUUGAUUAGGGACUCACUUUUACGUAAGUUAAAUAAUUAAUUUGUGUACUUUACUUCAUGUGUCAUUUUCGGUUAAUGUUAAAUAGUUUGUUAUGGGGUAUCAUGAUACGUGAUUAUUGUAAUUGAUUAGAUAUCCAUUGGAGUGCAAAAUUCACUACAAUAUUGUUGGGAUAUUUAGCAACAUUUGAAAAAUGAUACAAAGCCAUACAAAAAUGUAAUGAAUUUGAUUUAGUAACAUCUUAGCCUCCGAGAUAAAACCAACGUUGCUAAAAGGUUCUAUUGGAAUGAUAAAACCUUGGAGUGUGCUCAUUUCAAAGUUUUAGGUUAUAACAUAAGCCAGAUGAAGGAACAUAAAGACCUAUAUUAUAUACCCACUCAUGAAUUUUCUCGAACUAACCGAACUCCUUCAUAUACGUCAGGAGUCCAUUGAUGAGAGGGCGUUGGAGAAAGCUUGAACCCAAUUCCUACGGUGAUGAAUAUAAGAUCAAUUGAAAUAUCUCUUUGAUAAAGGAUUUCUCCAUAAUGGCCAUGAAUGGUUGCUCCUUGAGUCGCCAAUAUAGAUUAGCUGACUCUCUCAAGUGUCAAUUUCAGUAGGCUAAUUUAUCUUCUUUAAAAAUGAAUUAAAAAUGGUACAUGCAUUAAUGAAUUAAAAAUGGUACAAUGCAUUAAAAAUAAAUCUGCCAAAUAAAAGUUUUAAAAAUGUAUAAAACAUGUGGUGCAAACAUAAAAUUAUUUUACGCCGCUAUGGUGAUUUGCAAUAGUUAUAAGGACACUCCGCAUCGGUGGCUAAUAACAAUUCUAAAAUAACUUGAAUAACAAUGUCACAUAGUUGAUCUAUCUAAGAUCGAUGAAGAUGAAGAUGAAGAUGAUGAUGAGUUGAGUAGGUGCGGUGUAGCGGAGUAGCUGGAUAUCUAGAAAAAUACUUCGACGCUCGGUAAGAGCUAAAGGUGUUUCGAGGUUUUUUUGGAUUGAGAAUGUGUACUAUUUUUUUUAGAAUGGGUGACUCCUUUUAGAGGCGGUGAUUCGGGUUGUGAUAGUGAUCAAAGGGGCCAUAUUGUCUCUGCCUGCCAUUCUCUAUUUUGUGGUUUUAUGUUGACGUUAGUGUACUGCGUUUGAAUCAGGUAGCUUAUUGAGCAGUCAUGUCUUAGAAUUGGACCUUGACUGGUGAAAAACAAUACCUUAAAAAGAAAAACAACGUGCUAGUUAUUGGUUGAUUCAAUUACUACUUAUUAUAACUUCAGUUUUUCAAGGAUCACUUGUUCUUUUACAUAUUUGAAAUCAUACACUAAUGUAUAUUAAUGUUAAAAAAUGUUUGAAUUGUUAACCUCUAAUUGUUGCAUAUGAAACAACAAUUACAAACUGUCACCAUCAAAAUAUAAAAUUGAAUUAUAAACACUUUUGAUGUCUAAACUACCAAUUUAAAAGUUUUUCUCUAUAUUUUAUUUCAUUUACUUUUAUUUUAUAAACCCUCUAAUUCUUGCCCUAUUUUCAGUUCAUAUUUUAUCUAUGCAUUGAUCAUUAAUGAACAUGAUGAAGUUAUAUCAAUUUCAAUUGUUCUUAUCCCUCCUCCUCAUCAUUGUCAAUACAACCGUUUUAGGUUAUUAUAUAGCUCAAUUGUCUCAUUCUCAAAUCAAAAAACAUUUGAACACUUUCGGCUACUUCCGACGAUCUCCGCUGGACUUUGAUGACGUUCUAGACAAGGAAACAAUAUCCGCUAUUAAGACCUACCAACAAUUUUUCAAUCUCCAAGUUACUGGUCACCUAAACACCGAGACUUUACAACAAUUCUCGUUUCCAAGAUGUGGUAUUCCUGAUAUGAAAUACGAGUACGGCUUUCAUGAUGGAAGUAAUGUAUCAUUUCCGAAAGGAAACAAGUGGUUUCCCAAGGGCACGAAAAAGCUUACGUAUGGUUUUCUUCCGGACAACCGAAUCCCAAUCGACAUUAUCAAGGUGUUUAGAAAUGCCUUCACACGAUGGUCGCAGACUACUAGGGUCCUAAAUUUUAGCGAGACGACAUCAUAUGAGGAUGCUGAGAUUAAGAUUGGAUUCUACAAUAUUAAUUACAAUGAUGCGGUUGAUGAUGUUGUGGUGAGUGACUCUUUCAUCAGCUUGAAACUAGAUUCAAAUGUGAAAUCAGGUAUGUUACGUCUAAACGGUUCAAAGUCUUGGGUGUUGCCAACUUACACCAAAUUUUGGGACUGGCAAUUUCAGCAAUUCGAUUUGUUGACUGCGGUGAUGCAUCAAAUAGGUCAUCUACUAGGACUUGAUCACUCUUCUGAUAAGGAGUCUAUUAUGUACCCAACAAUAUUGCCAUGGCAACAAAGGAAGGUGCAGAUAACAGAAUCAGAUAACUUAGCCAUACAACAACUCUAUUCCAGCUCUACAAAAGCCAAUGCAAACUCUCAUUAUAGUGGCCUCUUUGCCUCUUUGUCCAUUGGAUUUGCUUUUGUGGCUCUGUUGAACUAGCAUUUAAAUUAUAUCCCUUCAUUAGAGACUCUUUUUUACAUAAGUUAAAUGAUUAAUUUGUGUAAUACUUUACUUCGUGUGCCAUUUUCCGGUAAUGCUUAAUAAUAUAUGUUUAGGAUUUAGCAACAUUUGAAAUAAGGUGCUAAAACAUGCUAAAAGUUAUAAACUUUAUAUAUUAACAUUUUAACUUCCUAUAUACACAUUUUGAUCACAUAUAUGGAAAAUUCUAUGGUGAAGUUAUGAGAAUGACUUUUUUGGUGAAGUUAACACUAUAACAUCAAAAGUUUUGUGAGUAACACCCCACUGUUUAUACAAUGACAUCAAAGUUCAGUCCCAUAAUAUCAUCAAUUCAUCAAAUUAACAAGAAUACACUUAAUUUAAUUUUAUUCUACCUUAUUUUAAGUAUAACACGCCCCAAAGUGUAUCAAUUAAGACUAUCAUAUGAUAUCAACAACUUUGUUUACAUGUUAAAGAUGUCAACUAUAAAAUAGUACUUGUAAGUCCAAAAUAUUGUAAGCAUUACUAGAUGAAUUACUAUUAAUCAUUAAUCAAUAAUCAACAAUUUAAAAAUGAAUCAAACAUUAAAGUUAAAAUUAACUUUUUCAAAAAAAUUAGUUUCAUGACUUCACCUUAAAAGCUCCCAUAGUAUAUAUCCAAUUGCAAAAUGAAGUAUUAUCAAUCAAUUCAAACCACAAAAAAGUUGGUACACAUUGGCACACCAAUGUGUUCGAAGAAAUGCUGAAUAAAUUUAUAUACCUUCUUGAUGACCAAAGAAUCCAUUUGACAUACUAUUCCAUUGAAACUGUUUCUUACGUACCCAAUCCUUAGUUUCAUGUUUCUUACGUACCCAAUUUUUAUUCCUUUUAUUAUUCUUUGUAGUAAAGGUAGUUUGUGAUUAGAGAAGCAUGAACAUGAUUAAAUCACAUUGAUUCAACCGUAUGAUAUCAUAUUUGGAUAAAUCAUGUUUCGCUAUUACUCAUCAGUUUACGAUGAGCAAAGAAGUAACUAAAUAACAAGAGUUUUUUUUUCUUUUGUUAUGGUCGGAAUUCGAACCCGGACCUUGUAUAUAUUAUACAUUGUUCAUACUAACUGAGUUAAGCUCACGAAGACAAAUAACAAAAGUUAGUUACAUAUGUUAAUAUAUGGGUUUCCCUCAAAAAAUAAAAAAAUGUCAAUAUAUGGGAUUAAAUUAUUAGUAUCAUGUAAUCGUCCUUGCGCCGAAUAGGGAGUUUAAGAAAAAAAUUGUGUAAUCGUAAGAGAGAAAUAAUUUUGGAAUAUAUUUGGGAACUUCUACGGUACACCUCACAAAUAAUUUGUUAAUACUUUAAUUUUAAGAAACAUCAUUUCAUAAAAAAAACAAAACAUCAAUUCAUUGUUUAUAAGAAUCAUAUUAAAUUUUUAACAUUUUUUCAUAAAAAAUAAUCAAUAAUCUUUGUCAUGAGUAGUAGAAAAUAAAAAAUAAAAAAUAUUUUGUUGACGCUUUUGGAAAAUAAGAUUUAAUUAUUAUAAUUGUCAAUGAUAAAAAAUAAUUCUUUUUCUUAAAAAAAAAAAAAAAACAACCCAUUUAAUUAUUAAUUUAAAGAUUUGGUGUACCGGAACACUCAAAUUGUUGAAUUUACCAUAAAAUUUGCCUAUGUAUUAUUUCGUUCAUGCAUGUGAAUGCUUUUGUUGCGGGCAAAUUUUAUGGUACACCCAAUAAAUUUGGGUGUAUCGAUACACCAAGUCGUAAAAUUAAUAAUAAAUGAGUUGUUUUUUUGAAGAAAAAUAAUUAUUUUCUAUCAUUGACAACUAAGAUAAUUAAAUUUUAUAUACCAAAAGAUUCGACGAAAUAAAAUUUAAUUUUUAAGAAUUUUUAUUACUCAUAACAAUGAAUAUUGAUUAUUUUUUAUGACAAAAUGUAAACUUUGUAAUAUGAUCCUUAUAAACAAUGAAAUGAUGUUUUCUAAAAUAUAAAUAUUGACAAAUACCUUUUUAUUUCAUUAAAGUGAUCUUUAAUUUAUAUAUUUUGUGAAACAAGAGUACCGGUACACUCAAAAAUGUGAAUGUACCAUAAAAGUUCCCUUUGUUGCGGCCGACACAAGUAUUACUGCAUCUCGACAGUGGACGCCAAAUGUUCUUGCUGGUACACGUGGAGACGAGCCAUGAGAUAUUUGUGCCAUUUGGAUAAAAGUUAAUUAUUUAAUAUAUAUAUAUAUAUACACUCUUUUUUAAAAUUUUAGUCCCUAUUAAAAUUUAUUGAAAAAUUUAGUUCUCCAUAAUAUUGUAGCUUAAAAUAACGGUUCCUAUUUUAAAAAUAUUUUACUGAAAAUGAAUACUCUUAGUCCUUAAAAUAAUCGAUAUAAAAGGAAAAUAAGGUUUAAAAGUGAAUAGAUUUUUUUGAAUAACUAAAUUUGAAAGCUCCUGUUUUUGUACUAGGAUAUUUAUAACCAUUAAUAAAAUAAAUUUGUAAGCCAAAUCUUGAGAAAACAAUUGUUAAAACUUAAAUGUAAUGUUGUAAACUCUUUUUGAAAUCUUCUUUUACGUAUCUUAUUCUUAUGCUUGAAUGCAGCGACGGAUUCAGAAUUUUUUAAUAGUGGGGCACCAUAUAAAAAAAUUUGUAGCAUUAAUAAUUGUCCUCUAUAAUUUUUCAUAUUAUGGAAACUUUGAAUGGUUUUCUUAUUUUGAAAAUCAAUAAAAAUAUAUUUCUUUAUAUAAAUAACUAAACAAUCAUUUAACCGAUCAUCUCUCAUUCAAUUUUGCAUCAGAUUCUUGAUAAUAUUCAUACUAUCAAGAAAUAAUUUGAGAUAUAUGAUUAUAUAUGUGGGCCAAAAUACAAAUAAUUUGUGAUAAAUGUGGAUCGUAUGAUCAAAAUGUCAACUAUUGAUACAUUAUACUACUAAAAAUAAUAGUUUCUUAAAAAUUUAGUGUAGGCACAAGCCCACAUAUGGAUGAACAUACAUCCGUCCCUGCUUGAAGGACUUGUGAGCUUUGAUUUUUUUAUUUUAUUUUGGCUUUUUAAACAAAAAAAAAAAAACAGAGAAAACAAUUGUAAAAAAAAAUUAAAAAAAAAAAUCCUGCAAAAGAGUCAACAAAACACUUAUUGAGUAUUUGGCUUUCAUGUCUUUGCAAAAUCUUGCCUUAGCAAGCCUUAACUCAUAACAACCAUGUCGUUCUUUCCCUCUCGUACUCACAUGAAGAAAAAUAAAUUGACUAUUAUUUUUCUCACCCUAUGUACUUUUCACGUGCCUUAUUUUUUCCCAAAAUAUCAUUGGUUCGGAUUUUAUAAUUUGAACAUGAUUUCAAGAAAUAUUCAUAUUACAUAAUCCGAAAAUGUCUUUUACCAAAAUUUUAAUUUGAGUUUGGUUUAUUUUAUAUUAUUUAGAUGCAAAAAUCAUAAAAUAAAUGAAAAAAAUAAAAGAACAAAAGAUAUACAUAAAAAUUUCAUUUUAUUAUUAUAUCAAUACAUUUACAAUAAAGCUGAAUCUUAAAGCUUAUUACAUAUAACAUUCAAACACCUAAAACUAAUUUAUUAGCGGGGUAUAACUAAAUCUGCAGCACAAGAAGAUGUUGGGGGAGCUAAACUAGUGGCGCAAGCUGAUGGGGAGGAAAGGUGAACGGGUGGGCGAAGGGGAAAGAGAUGUUGGGGGGGGGGGCAUAGGUAUGGUUUGUUUCCUUUUAAGGGCGAAAGAGACCUUGAUGGUAAACUUUGCACCCAAACAAACCGUGCUUCUUUGCAGUGCAUUGCCUUCCCCGUUAACCGUUCAUACAAUCCUUGAGUCCAAAGUAGCAUCUUUUUAUGAAAUGCCAACGAUGGGAACACAUUGUUGUAUAAGGAAGAUGAGGAAGAGGAUGAGAGUGUGAGAUGAUGGUGUGAGAAAUGGUGAAGGUUUAUACGUUAUUUAUAGGGGGGAAUGGUUGCAUAUAGUGUAUCUACACUUAAUGUUGAGUCAAAAAAACGUGGUUCAAAGGGGUUUUACCACCCAUUAAUGCUGGUAAAAACCUUUGAAAAUGUGUUUUAUGUGGUUCAGACCACCGGCCAAGAAACUCACUUGGUUCAAAUUAUAUAAUCUGAAAUCAUACCCAUGGUUUUCGGAUUAUAUAAUCUUAAUUAAUUCAAUGCUAGGUGGAAAUGAAGGAAACUUCAUACCUUAUGCAGGGUGAGAGACUUUUCGGAUUAUAUAAUAAGAAAAUGUUUAGGACAUGAUUUUUUUCUGUGGUCCGCAUUGCACCGACAGUUUAUGUGCUAUAGGACACCCAAGUACCUCUAUAAAUAGGUGUCCUUGUUUUCAUAACCAAAAAACCACACACAAAAAACAUGGAAAACUCUCAUUGAUCCGAACACCAAGCUAGCUACAGUUUACUACAACGGGGAGAAACCAAUCCAUUUGUUCAGGAUUCACACUUAUGUCGCCCUCUCCGUGUUGAAGGGUCAGCUGGAUCGAAUCAACCGCCAACUCAACUAAAGAGACACACAGAGGGUGGAUGGUGUUGAGUAUCGACAUCCAUCGAUCGACUCAGCCGGGAGUGUGCGGUUCACCCGGAUGAUGCCUAUGAACGACGAUGUGAGAACCAUAUUCUUGAUCUUUGGUCAGUACAGUACUAGAGGGCCGAUCGAGUUAGACGCUUCGUUGGUCAUAUAUGUUGAACAAAUUCAUAAAAGUUUGAUCCGACCGAAGAACUACGAAGAGAUUAGGGCACUCCUGGACGCACCAUAUGAAGACAUUAAUUUAGCUCAUAUGUGGUAUGAUUCUCAUCAAAGGGUCCAUAUUUUCUUUGGUUCCCAUUCUCUAUUUUGUGGUUUUAUGUUGACGUUAGUGUACUGCGUUUGAAUCAGGUACCUUAUUGAGAACUCAUGUCUUACAAUUGGACCUUGACCCAGUGAAAAAACAAUACCUGAAAAAAGAAAAACAAUGUGCUAGUUAUUGGCUUAUGCAGUUACUACUUAGUAAUUGUUUUUCAAGGAUCACUUGUUCUUUAACAUAUUUGAAAUCAUAUACUAUGUAGAACGAUGUUAAAAAAUGAUAGAAUUGUUAACCUCUAAUUGUUGCAUAUGAAACAACAGUUACAAACCGUCACCAUCAAAAUAUAAAAUUGAAUUAUAAACACUUUUGAUGUCUAAACUACCAAUUUAAAAGUUUUUCCUCUAUAUUUUAUUUCAAUUACUUUUAUUUUAUAAACCCUCUAAUUAUUGUCCUUUUAUUUUUUCUAUGCAUUAAUCAUUAAUGAACAUGAUGAAGUUAUAUCAAUUUGAAUUGUUCUUAUCCCUCCUCUUUAUCAUUGUCAAUACAACACUUUCGGGUUAUAUCCCUCAAUUGCCUCAUUCUCUUGGCAAACAAAUAGACAAGAUUAAACAAUCUUCUCCAUCAGAUGAACAACCAACAGAAGAGAUUCAAGGCCUAUCUCAAAUUAAAAAACAUUUCGACACUUUCGGCUACUUCCCACAAUUUCUAUUGAACUUUGAUGACGUUCUAGACGAGGAAACAAUAUCCGCUAUUAAGACGUACCAACAAUUUUUCAAUCUCCAAGUUACUGGUCACCUAAACACCGAGACUUUACAAAAAAAUCUCGUUACCGCGAUGUGGUAUUCCUGAUAUGGGAUACGAGUAUGGCAUCGAUGUUGGAAGUAAUGUAUCAUUUCCGAAAGGAAACAAGUUGUUCCCUAAGGGCACAAAAAAGCUUACAUAUGGUUUUCUUCCAGGGAAAAAAAAUCUCAUUAGACAUGAUCGAAGGGUUUAGAAAUGCCUUCACAUGUUGGUCGCAGACUACUAGGGUCCUAAAUUUUAGCGAGACAACAUCAUACGAUGAUGCUGACAUUAAGAUUGGAUUCUACCAUAUUUACAACAAUGAUGUUGUUGAUGAUGUUGUGGUGGGUGACUCUUUCAUCAGCAGGAACCUUGAUUCGAAUGAGAAAUCAGGUAUGGUACGUCUGGAAUGUUCUAAGUUCUGGGUGUUGCCAACUACCACCUACUUUAAGAAGUGGGAAUUGCAAGAAUUCGAUUUGGAGACUGUUGUCAUGCAUCAAAUAUCUACUAGGACUUGAUCACUCUUCUGAUAAGGAGUCUAUUAUGUACCCAUUAAUAGAUCCAUUGCAUGAAAAGAAGGUGCAAAUAACAGAUUCAGAUAACCAAGCUAUACAACAACUCUACACGGUUUUCCUUCCAAAAAAAAAAAAAAAAAAAAAAAACAACAACUCUACACCAACACUACCAAAGCCAAUCCAAACUCUGAUCAUAGUGGGUGCUUUAAGCUUUUUGAGUCAAGUUUUGUUCUUCUUACCUCUUUGUCCUUUGGUUUUGCUUUUGUAGCUCUCAUGAACUUGGCUUCCUAAUAAUUGUGUACCUUACUUCAUGUGCUAUUUUCCGUUCAUGUUGAAUAGUUUGUUAUAGGGGGUAUCAUGAUAUAUGGUUGUUGUAAUUGAUUACAUAUCUAUUGGAGUGCAAAAAUCACUUCAAGUAGACUUUCGACUUAUCGACUAUAAUAAAGAUCAAUAAAUUAUAUUAUCUAUUUUCAUUGAUGAUAAAUAAGUUGUAGGGUUUAUUACCAUAAAAUAUGGUAUGAUAAACAUUCAUAUAUUUUGAGGCCAGUGGCGGAGCCAGGAUUUUUAAAGAAUCUGAGCAAAAUUUUGAAUGCAAAUUCACAUGUGACAUAAUAUAUAAAUAGUGUUAUACAUCGAAAUCAAAUAGGCUCGUCAUUUUGACAAUAAAAGUACAAUUUGAAAUAAGAGAGAUGAAACAUAACCUGCUAAUAUUCAUAUUUUGUUACCAUAAAGUAAAUGAGCAAUAUUCAAAUUUUAUUACCAUAAAGUAAAUGAGCAAUGAAGUAUAUAUAGAUUUUGAUUUAUGAGAGUAUUAAGUAUUGGUUUGGGUGAAUAGUAUAAUAGUUCAUAGUUAGGAGAAUUAUUCAAGUUAAGUCACUUUAAGAAUUUAUUCAAAAAAUUGAUUAUAGUAAUCAAUUUCAAAUUCCAAUGAUAUUGAUUAUAAUAUAAUAUUUUAUUAUAUUGAUUAUACUAAUUUUAGUGGUAAUUUUAUGAAUUAUUCAUUUUUAAAAUUUAUAGUAGAAUAGAAAAUAUAAAAAAUAAAAUAAAACAAUGAAUAAGUUUUAGUGACAGCCGCAACCGUAGGUAGAGGUCCAUAAUAUUUUUAAAAUGGCCUCUUAGAAUUACCAAUGGUUUCGUCCGUAGUUAAAGGUGGAAAACAUGCAGUGACAACCACUUGACAACGAUAGAUGGAUUUAGCUACGGAAAUUUUUCCUACAGUGACGAAUUUUGGCUGUCACUGAUGAGUCAUUUAUAUACUAUUUUAAUAUGCUUUUUAGUUUAGUUUUAUUUAGAUUUUAUAUAAUUUUAUAUUAGUAUUAUUUCCUUUUUAGGAUAGUUUACUUUAAAUUGCAAUUUAUUAUAUUUCAGGGAAGAAUAUUGGAUGGAUUGAGUCUUGGAGCAAAAGAAAGGGAUUUGGAGCAGAUUGGACACGAAAAUAUGAAGAUUGGGAGACAAAAUAUGUCUCCCACAAGUCAGAAGCCUGGCACGGCCCGUGCUAGCCUUGGCACGGCCGUGCCACCCUCCAGAAGACCUUUUGCUGCUUUUGCUUGGGCUCUAAGCUAUUCUAUUUUGGCGCACAAUCUACCGUGGAAUAUUCUUGGAAUAUACUUGCUUAGAUUUUAAGUCAAUUGUGUACUAUAAAUAGAGUAGCUAGCCAUCACAAAUAUUCAUCUUUUCUUGGAAUGCAAUAUGUGACAAUUGUUUUCUAAUAAAAGUUCAUUUACUUUAUUGUUAUUUACUUUUAUGCUUUCUCUCUUCUUCUCCUUGUCUACGAUGAACGUCAGUGAGUAGACUUCUCUUGUCUUGGGAUUGUUGGAUAAGUCUAAUGACAUAAUCCUAAUCAAACCAAGCUUUAAACCUUAAUCUUAUGUAACCCUAAUUCCUUAUCUAAAUUCACCGCUUUAACAUGGAUCAACCAUUAUCAAACUGUGGAAACGAAAGUGGAGGGUUUGAUAAUUGUUUAUCCAUCAUCUCAAAUAUCAAUUCAUAAAACGAAAGUGGAGCUUUGAUAUUCGAACAAGUGAAUUUAGACAAGGAUUGCAAAGUCAGCGAAAUAGGCUUUGCAAUCUUUGAGACAUAUAGUUUCGAUCUUCAAGGGAACUAAUAACAAUCAAGUCAGCGAAAUAGGCUUGGUUGUUAGAGGAACCAAAAUCUAAUAGUAAUCAAGUCAGCGAAAUAGGCUUGGUUGCUAGAGGAACAAAAGAGAAACUGUCUUGAGAAAUUAGGUCUAACAUAAAGUUAUAAGUUUAAUAGUUUGGUUUGAGAAGGACUUGUCGUUAGGAUGAACCAAUAACCCCAAGGCUUUUAUCUUUUAUUUUAUUAUUUGCUCUUAAUUAAAAUCCCAAACUUUUCUACCUUAUAAACCUUUAGUCCAAUCAUUAUCUAAAGUUAAUUGAAUUCGUAACUCCCUGUCGGAACGAUACUCAUAUUUUACUACUUCGGUAAGACCGUGCACUUGCGGUUUUAUCCCAUCAAGUUUUUGGCGCCGCUGCGGGGGAUUGUCCGAAGGUGAUUCAAGAAAACGAGAAAAUUUUGAGGCCCCAUGUCCAGAACCUUGGCACGGCCCGUGCUAACACUGGCACGGCCGUGCCAGACCUUGCUACCCAAAAACUGACCCACAAUCCAGAAAGUUGGCACGGCCCGUGCUAAGUUUGGCACGGCCGUGCCCGAUCCCAGGUUCAGUUUUAUCUAACUUUUCAUCUUCUUCAUCCCCCAUUCUCAACCACUCACAUCCCUCAUCCUCCCAUUUUUAUCUAAAACCUCCAUAACCAAAAAACCUUACAAACUCCAUACCUCCCUCAAAACCUCACCAAUUCUCAAAAUUUCUUCACCCCAUCAACCACAAUCCACAUUUCAAUCAUAACCCUUCCAUCAAAAACAACUUUCUUCCAUCCCUACCAAAAAAAAAAAAACAUCAAAUUCGUAGCCCCCAUUCAACCAACUACAAAACCCACAAAUUCUUCACCAAUUCACCCAACCCAACUCCUAACACUUACUCAAACCCCAACCCCAUCACCCAACCUUCACCCAAAACACAAAAGGUCCACCAAGGUUAAGGAUAAUGGCAUCUAGGAAAGGUGGAGCAAGCUCUUCCGGAGGACCACAAUCAAAGAAGAAAACGCAAGCCAAGAAUCAUGGCAUAAUCUUCAAGGACACCAAGCAAAGGGACAGGUAUAAAAUUCUUCUCUCUAAACCUUUGCAUCCUUGUCGAUAUCCAGAUCCUUAUACUUUGAGUGUGCUAGGACUAAGGGAUAAUGUGUUUAAAUUACUAGGAAAUUUAGGAUGGGUUGAUAUGCUUAGACCUAUGAAAGGUUUCGAAAAUUUCACUUAUGAAUUCUUAAGUUCUAUUGAAUUUACGAAGGAUAAGGUGAAUUUUGACAACCCCGAUCAUAGAGUCUCUUUCCGACUUUUGAAUAUGGAUUAUGAGAUGUCUCUUGAAAAUUUCUGUUUAGAGAUGGACUUUGCAAAUGCGGGGUUCAUCCAUGACUCUUGGAAUCCAAAUUUAAAGUCGGAAAACUAUGACCCCGCUCUCUUUUGGAAACGCAUUACCGGGUUAAGGCAAUAUAAUCCCCGCAACAAUAAGGCUAGUAACAUUCACAACCCAGUACUUAGAUACCUCCAGAGAGUCAUGGCUUGUACCAUUUGGGGUAGAAAAGAGGUAGGAACAACUAGGACGGAUGAACUUUUUAUGCUUUGGGCAAUGCUUAGUAACAAUCCCGUUAAUACUUGUUUCUACCUACUUGAUUACCUUUCCUCCAUAGGAGCUAGACCUGAUAAUAGAGCUGAGAUAGUAGUCGGUGGUAUCAUUACCUUCAUCGCUAGGAAGUUUGGAGCGGGUGAGGAAGAUGGGAUAAAUCCAAUUGAGGGCAACAAUAGACUUAAUAUUGAAACCCUUGUUGCUAUGAACUUCAUUAAGAUUCACCCACCCAUGACUUAUGCACUUCAACUUCGCAUACCACUUUUAUUUCUACUUCCUAACCCAUCUCGGACUAACCCCGAGGUGGAGGAAAAUUUGUUGUAUGUUGGUGAUGGAUUACAGGUACAUGAAGAGCAUAAUCAAGGUGACGAAGAAGGUGCACACAUGCACCAUGAAGAGGAGCCCCAUGACCAUAACGACAACAAUGAAAGAUGGGCAUGGAUGCAAACCGAGGUACAAAGGAUAAGCACCGAGCAACAAAGGCAAGGUGUUGAAUUAUCCGGGCUAAGAAAUGAUGUCCUACGGGGCAACCGCAUAUCCGAAGAAAAUAACCAAAUGCUUCGGAACAUGAUGCAACACUUCAACCUCCAAGGCCCUCCCUAUGGACCUCAAUAAAAAUGUGAGCUUUCCUCUUCCUCUUUUUUCACCUCAUCUCUUUAAUCUCUAUCUCACUCUUCUACCUCUCCUUCUCUUCUACUUUUCUUUUAUCUUGAAUCAUUGAGGACAAUGCUUCUCCUAAGUGUGGGGGGAGCCUAAUAAAGUGUCUUUAGUCGUAGUGUUUCCAAACUCCCUUGAACUUUAUUCUUUUGUUUUGUUUUAUUGUAAAAGGCAUGGUUAAGUAGCUAAUUUUUAUUGAAAAUAUCAUGACACAAAAAUUUUCAUUGUCUCCUCUUAUUUUGUUGAUUAUUGUACAUGAAAGCAAACUCUUGUGUUUUAAGUCUUCUUGAUAUACCCACAUCUUGUUUUAAAGUGAAUAAAAUUCUCCAAUGAGAAAAACACAAAGUUGCUUCCCUUGAGUAAAUGUAUGAAUAGGUAUUUUAAGGAAACGCGUUUUAAUCUUAGUGGUGCAUUAACCUUUAAAGAUUCUCAAAAUGCCAGUAGUAUAAGUCAGUAUAAGGGAGUUCAUGAAAAGCCAAAAAGCCAAAUAAAUUCCAAGAUCUCAUCAUUGAAUCUAGAUUGGGGAAGGAGGUAGGCCCUCCGACUUCCUACGUGAAGAUGAUUGUUAUCUUGAGGAAAAACUUUAAAACGCAUCAUUGAAUCUAGAUUGGGGAAGGGGGUAGGCCCUCCGACUUCCUACGUGAAGAUGAUGUUUUAAGGGAUACCAUUGAAUCUAGAUUGGGGAAGGGGGUAGGCCCUCCGACCUCCUACGUGAAGAUGUUGUUCCUUAAAUAAAGAACUUAAAAUGUGCAAAUGGCAAAGAACAAAGAUUCUCAAAUACUCCCAUCUCUCUUAUAUGAAUUAUAGAAGGAAUCUUUCUUGGUUGGUUUAGUGCUAGGAUUAGACCAUGUUUCCUCAUAAUGCCUAUCUUAUACAGGAGCAAGAAAAGGGUUGGACUUCACACACACACUCACUUGAAACUUGAUCGUUGGGUUGAAUAAAAAUUACAAGAAACACUUGAGUUUGUGAUUAGUGUACACUUGGGAUUUAAGCCCUUGAGGAGACAUGUGCUUUAAUUGAAUUGUCAUUUGAUAUAACUGUUGGUGCUACUAUGUUUAUGCCUUUUGCUUGAGGACAAGCAAAGAUUCAAGUGUGGGGGAGUUUGAUGAGUCAUUUAUAUACUAUUUUAAUAUGCUUUUUAGUUUAGUUUUAUUUAGAUUUUAUAUAAUUUUAUAUUAGUAUUAUUUCCUUUUUAGGAUAGUUUACUUUAAAUUGCAAUUUAUUAUAUUUCAGGGAAGAAUAUUGGAUGGAUUGAGUCUUGGAGCAAAAGAAAGGGAUUUGGAGCAGAUUGGACACGAAAAUAUGAAGAUUGGGAGACAAAAUAUGUCUCCCACAAGUCAGAAGCCUGGCACGGCCCGUGCUAGCCUUGGCACGGCCGGGCCACCCUCCAGAAGACCUUUUGCUGCUUUUGCUUGGGCUCUAAGCUAUUCUAUUUUGGCGCACAAUCUACCGUGGAAUAUUCUUGGAAUAUACUUGCUUAGAUUUUAAGUCAAUUGUGUACUAUAAAUAGAGUAGCUAGCCAUCACAAAUAUUCAUCUUUUCUUGGAAUGCAAUAUGUGACAAUUGUUUUCUAAUAAAAGUUCAUUUACUUUAUUGUUAUUUACUUUUAUGCUUUCUCUCUUCUUCUCCUUGUCUACGAUGAACGUCAGUGAGUAGACUUCUCUUGUCUUGGGAUUGUUGGAUAAGUCUAAUGACAUAAUCCUAAUCAAACCAAGCUUUAAACCUUAAUCUUAUGUAACCCUAAUUCCUUAUCUAAAUUCACCGCUUUAACAUGGAUCAACCAUUAUCAAACUGUGGAAACGAAAGUGGAGGGUUUGAUAAUUGUUUAUCCAUCAUCUCAAAUAUCAAUUCAUAAAACGAAAGUGGAGCUUUGAUAUUCGAACAAGUGAAUUUAGACAAGGAUUGCAAAGUCAGCGAAAUAGGCUUUGCAAUCUUUGAGACAUAUAGUUUCGAUCUUCAAGGGAACUAAUAACAAUCAAGUCAGCGAAAUAGGCUUGGUUGUUAGAGGAACCAAAAUCUAAUAGUAAUCAAGUCAGCGAAAUAGGCUUGGUUGCUAGAGGAACAAAAGAGAAACUGUCUUGAGAAAUUAGGUCUAACAUAAAGUUAUAAGUUUAAUAGUUUGGUUUGAGAAGGACUUGUCGUUAGGAUGAACCAAUAACCCCAAGGCUUUUAUCUUUUAUUUUAUUAUUUGCUCUUAAUUAAAAUCCCAAACUUUUCUACCUUAUAAACCUUUAGUCCAAUCAUUAUCUAAAGUUAAUUGAAUUCGUAACUCCCUGUCGGAACGAUACUCAUAUUUUACUACUUCGGUAAGACCGUGCACUUGCGGUUUUAUCCCAUCAGUCACUAAAAGUCAAAUUUCUUGUAAAUUUCUUGUAGUGAUACAAAGAAAAUAUAGGUUGAACCCGGGUAUGUGCCCAUACUCGCGAGGUGGUAAAACCGCCCCUGCCACUAGCCGCAAAAAUUCUAAAGAAAUAGAUUCAAAGUUGCCUCUUAUUCAACGUUAUAGAAUUGACUUGUAAGAAACUUUUAGUUGCGACAAUUUAAUUUAUUUCAAAUGUUUCAUAAGACUAAUUAGUGGCUUCUCCUUGUGAUCUGAUUAAGGCAUAUAAACAAAAAGCCAUGUUGAUUUUCAUAAAGUAUUUUGUCGAAAGAAAAGUUAAACUUAUCACCAGCUUCCAACCACUUUACUUUGCAAACUGAUCUAUAUCCAUAGUAGACAUUUGUGUCUUUAUUUCAGUCCUUAAUAACAUGCACUCAUAGAAUGCUAUGAAGAAUUUUGAGUUAGCAUCACCUUUCUGAAGCCAGUCAUCCUCGCCUUCUACCAAUUAAUACUUGUUUGAACCCGUGACAAAGAAUGCAAACUAACUGACAACUCAUGAAGCUCCUGCACCUCAUCUUCAAGAAGCGUAGAUUCCUCCCCUUUGUGUUCAGGGAAGAGUUAAUUGUUUUUUUUUUUUUUUUUUUUACAAAAGGGAAGAAUUAAUUGUUAAUGACCAAACUAAUUGUAAAUUGUUAAAAUAUAUGGGAUUAAUUGAUAUAUAGUAAGUUGCUAAAUAUAAGGACCAACUCGACAGUUGAAUCGUGUCAAGAACCUUUUUAAAAUACUCAUAAUCUCAAGGAUGUAUUUGAGAAUACUCAUAAUCUCAAGGACGUAUUUGAUAGGGCACAACAUAGUUAGGGACUAAUUUGAUAGUUAACUCGUUAAUAAUCCUUCUGAAUGGUGCGUUGGAUAGGUCAACUGGUUUUAGUUAAUCUGAUUAAAAUUAGUUAUCUUCACUGUCAAUCAUUUUUUUUGCGCAUUCUCGGGCGAUUUCACAGAGAAUUCAUUCUCUCACGUUUGCAUUUUAUUUGUUUCAUAUUUUCUUUCUAUGCUAUUUAAAAAUCACUUUAGUCUUUUCAUACUUAUCAUUCUUAUAUUCUUAAUUUUUUUUUGGCUUAAUUGCACUUUUUGACCCCUAUCUUUUCAAAAGUUGCGGUUAUGGAUCCCUAACUAAUUUAAAUACAAAACAGCCCCCUAUGUUUUGAUUUUUUGGCAGUUUUGGACCCCCAAGGCAAAAAAAAAAAAAAAAACCACACGUGGCACCUCACUUAGGAUGCCACGUCAGCGUUGACCGAGUCAACAAUGGACUGGGGGUCCAAAACUGCCAAAGAAUCAAAACAUAGGGGGUUGUUUUGUAUUUAAAUUAAUUAGGGGUCCAUAACCGCAACUUUUGAAAAGAUAUGGGUCCAAAAGUGCAAUUAAGCCUUUUUUUUUGAUAAUUUUUAGUAUACUUUUACUUUGAACAUAUAUUAUAAUUUCUAAUUUUUUUUUUGAAAGAUUAUAAUUUCUAAUUAAAUUGCUUGUCUGUGCAUUCAAAAAUUUAUUUUUUUCAUUAGUAAAGUAUACUUUGAAUAUGGUCCCUUAAGCGUAAUUGUUGACUCAGUCCCGGCUAGUACAACUAUAUGACGGUGAUAGAAUGUAUUUAUUUUUGCUUAUAAUUAUAAUUAUAACGUGGACAGCAUAACAAUCGUUGAUUUAAGAACGAAGCGAGUAUUGAAAGAGAAAGAAUGAUUGAAGCUAACGCGUCCUAUUUUGUUUGUGUAUUUUAAAAUAGUUGAGGGAUGAAUAAAAAAAGGAGUGGUUAUACUCAAAUAGAAGGUAGAUGAGUUGUAUAAUUAUUGUUUUGUAUUUUUUGUACUUUGUGUUUUGUCUUGUAAUAAUAGUUGACUUGACUCUUGAGUAACGAUGUCUUCCUCUGAUCAUCCAUGGAUCUACCACAUGUUCAUCAACUUCAGGGGGAAGGAAUAUUUUUUGAACUUAGAUAGAUUCUUUAAAUUUUGUUGGAAACAUUGUAAAUAAAAUAUAUUUAUUGAAUGUGGAUUGACUUUUAAAAUUGGGAAAAAUGACCAAAUUUCUUUAAAAAUGUAAUUUUAGAAAAGAAAAUACUAAAAUAGAUUAAAAAUAGUUAUUUUUUCUAUGUUAAAAUUAAUUAAUUCCUUUAUGUAUAUAUUGGUGAUUGAAAGAAAUAAUUAAAGAGAAAAAGAAGAAUUAAAUACAUAAAAUUAAAUUUCUAUUAUUCAAAAUUGUUUUUUUUUAUUGGUAAAGAAAGAUAAAUAUUGGUAAAAAAAAAAAUAAUUAAGUGAUUGGUAAAUUUGGAAAGAAAAAAUGUAACACCAAAAGCAAUUAUUUUAUAAGUUUUUUUAUAAUAUCCAAUAUUAUCCUUAUUGUUAUGAAGUGUUCUUUCUAUUUUAUAAUUUUAAUUGAUGAGUGUAUUCCCUUAGGUUUUGUUUGAGAGUUUGAAGGGGAGUGGAGAUGAGGGUUUUGAAGGAAAUGAAUGUGCAAGUGGGAAAAAUAGAAGACAUUGGAAGAAGAGGGUUUUGAGAGGUUAAUUUUUUAUUCAUAAUACAAAAUCUUUCUCAUUUUGGUUAACUCAAAUUGUGUUGGUGGAUGAUUUUGUUGGAACAAAAUGUGUUUCACAAUGAACCUUAUUAAGUUUUGAUGAUAACAAGGUAUUAAAAAUUGUCAAUUGGUUAUUACUAAUAAUUGUUCAAGUGUACAGGACCAAAGGCUACUCAAGUUAUUUCAAUAGGUCUUGGAAGAACAAUGGAAAGAAAAAGAAAUUCUGAGCAUCUGAAGAAAACUGCUCCUGAAGCUAAACUGCUCCUGAAGAGAUGACGUCAUCAGAAGCAGAAAGCUGCUCCUGAAGCUAAACUGCUCCUGAAGAGAUGACGUCAUCAGAAGCAGAAAGUCAUCAGAAGCAGAAAGUCAUCAGAAGCAAAAGUUUUCAUCAGAAGCAAUAUUUUCACCAGAAGCUACAUUUGAUCCUUUAAUCAAACUGAAGAUUCAAAGUUGCUGAUUCUCAAUUCAGUCUUAUCAAAGAAGAACGAAGAAUUGAAAGGGAGGUAUCAACGGAUAUAUGGAUAGCACUGAGCACUUGUCUCUCAUUAAUAGAGUUGACAAAGUACAAGUGUACAACCACUACCUCCACUACUCUGUUUUCUGUCUACGCUACAAGACAAAACAACAGCCAUGCCUGCAGAAUUUGUACAACUCAAGAUGGGAAUGAAUUUGAAGUUUAUCCUUCAAAGGACUACACCCAAAUCAGGCAAAAGAUCACUGGUGGAUAAUCAAAGGAUUUCAAACGACUCUUUAGACGUGCUGAUUAUCUCAACGUCUCUUUCACGCCUCUAUAUAAAGGAGUGAAGACUUGAAGAUUCAAGAUAGAGAUACAUAAGUUCAAAAGCGCCAAAACUCUGUCAAUUUGAUUCUACAAAGCACACUGAAUUUCUGCACUGAUUUGAUACAUCUUAGAAAUUCAAAGUCUAGAGUCUUUUCUGUAUUGUAUUGUGAACACCACUGAUUGUAUAUCAAGUGUUCAAUUCAAACUCAAUUCUCUGUAUUUUUGUUUGAUUAGAAGUCUCUUGCCUGCGUGCUUGAGCAUUAGAAGUCUCUUGCUUAGUGCUUGAGCAUUGGAAGACUCUUGCGUGUGUGCUUGAGCAUUGUUUUGUGAAGUCUCAUACUUUGAAAGUAUUGAGCAGUUGUAAUCUUGUGAUUAUAGUGAAAUCUCCUUGGAAGUGCAAGGGGGACUGGACUACUUCCGUGUUGUGGAAGGAACCAGGAUAACUGCCUGUGUCUUUGUCUUUCUUUUCUCUGCUCUGUUCUUUUCCGCUGCAAUCUGACUCUGAUCAUUUCAUCAGAAGCAAUCAAACUGCUUCUGAAGUUUUAUCAGAAGAAGAAUCCUUUUUAUUAAGAGAAAAAGAAAACACAAUUCAACCCCCCCCUUCUUGUGUUUUUCACCUUCAAUUGGUAUCAGAGCUUGCUCUGUUAUCACAGCACUUAACCGUGUUACAGUUCAAGAUCUAUUAGAAAAACAUGUCUGGAGAUGAGGAAUCAGUUACUCCAAAAUACACAAGUGUCAAGCAUGACUAUGAUACUGCUGACAAGAAAACAGACUCUGGAAAAGCUCCAAAGUUUAAUGGAGAUCCAGAAGAGUUUUCAUGGUGGAAAACUAAUAUGUACAGCUUUAUCAUGGGAUUGGAUGAAGAGCUAUGGGAUAUACUGGAAGAUGGAGUUGAUGAUCUGGAUUUGGAUGAAGAAGGAGCUGCUAUAGACAGAAGAAUACAUACUCCUGCUCAGAAGAAGCUUUAUAAGAAACACCACAAGAUAAGAGGAAUCAUUGUGGCUUCUAUACCUCGCACCGAAUACAUGAAAAUGAGUGACAAAUCUACUGCGAAAGCUAUGUUUGCUUCUCUUUGUGCAAACUUUGAAGGCAGCAAGAAAGUAAAAGAGGCUAAAGCUUUGAUGCUAGUUCAUCAGUAUGAACUUUUCAGAAUGAAGGAUGAUGAGAGUAUAGAAGAAAUGUACUCAAGAUUUCAAACUUUAGUUUCUGGAUUGCAGAUACUGAAGAAAAGCUAUGUUGCUUCUGAUCAUGUUAGUAAGAUUUUGAGAAGCUUACCUUCAAGAUGGAGACCCAAAGUAACUGCUAUUGAGGAAGCUAAGGAUCUAAAUACUUUAAGUGUUGAAGAUCUUGUUAGCUCACUCAAAGUGCAUGAAAUGAGUUUAAAUGAGCAUGAAACCUCUAAGAAGAGUAAAUCCAUUGCUUUACCAUCUAAAGGAAAGACCUCAAAGUCUUCCAAAGCCUACAAAGCCAGUGAAUCUGAAGAAGAAUCACCUGAUGGAGAUUCUGAUGAAGAUCAAUCUGUAAAGAUGGCUAUGCUGUCCAACAAGCUUGAGUAUCUGGCAAGGAAGCAGAAGAAAUUUUUGAGCAAGAGAGGUAGCUACAAGAACUUCAAGAAAGAAGAUCAGAAGGGAUGCUUCAAUUGUAAGAAGCCUGGUCAUUUCAUUGCUGAUUGCCCUGAUCUUCAGAAGGAGAAGUUUAAAGGCAAAUCCAAGAAAUCAAGCUUCAACUCCAGUAAAUUCAGAAAGCAAAUCAAAAAGAGCUUGAUGGCGACCUGGGAAGAUUUGGAUAGUGAAUCUGGUUCUGAUAAAGAAGAAGCUGAUGAUGAUGCUAAGGCAGCCGUUGGGUUAGUGGCAACAGUAUCAUCAGAAGCAGUAUCAGAAGCUGAAUCAGAUUCAGAAGAUGAAAAUGAGGUAUAUUCCAAAAUCCCUAGACAAGAACUUGUUGAUUCUCUAAAAGAACUUUUAUCACUGUUUGAACACAGAACCAAUGAGUUGACAGAUUUAAAAGAAAAAUAUGUUGAUUUGAUGAAACAACAAAAAUCAACUCUAUUGGAACUGAAAGCUUCUGAAGAAGAACUCAAAGGGUUUAACCUCAUAUCAACAACAUAUGAAGAUAGACUCAAGAGUCUUUGUCAGAAGCUACAAGAAAAAUGUGAUAAAGGUUCAGGCAAUAAACAUGAGAUUGCCUUGGAUGAUUUUAUUAUGGCUGGAAUAGACAGAAGCAAAGUUGCUUCUAUGAUCUACAGCACAUACAAGAACAAAGGCAAAGGGAUUGGAUAUUCUGAGGAGAAAUCCAAAGAAUACAGUCUCAAGAGCUACUGUGAUUGUAUCAAGGAUGGAUUGAAAUCCACCUUUGUGCCUGAAGGUACAAAUGCUAUAACUGCUGUUCAGUCAAAACCUGAAGCUUCAGGUUCACAGGCUAAGAUCACAUCAAAGCCAGAGAAUCUUAAGAUCAAGGUAAUGACAAAAUCUGAUCCUAAGAGUCAAAAGAUUAAAAUUCUGAAAAGAUCAGAACCUGUUCAUCAGAAUCUGAUUAAACCAGAAUCUAAAAUUCCAAAACAAAAGGAUCAGAAGAACAAAGCAGCUACUGCUUCUGAGAAAACAAUACCAAAAGGUGUCAAACCUAAAGUAUUGAAUGAUCAGAAGCCACUCAGCAUUCACCCUAAGGUACAAGGGAGGAAAAGUAAAACCUCCAAAACUAACCCAAAAGGACCCAUGAAGAUAUGGGUACCUAAAUCUGAAUUGGCCAAAAAUGCAGGUGUGCUUAAGGGCAAGAGAGAAACAAAGGUCAUGGUACCUAGACAGCGGAUGUUCAAGGCACAUGACUGGAGAGAAAGCUUUGUUCCUUACCCUUACAAUGAAAGAUGGAGGAGAAGUGAAGUUUGGUGGCAACCAAACUGGAAAGAUCAUUGGUACAGGUACUAUUGGUAAUUCCUCCAUCUCAAUUAAUAAUGUGUGGCUAGUAGAUGGUCUGAAGCAUAACCUAUUGAGCAUUAGUCAAUUUUGUGACAAUGGGUAUGAUGUAACGUUCAGUAAGACCAACUGCACACUAGUCAACAAGGAUGACAAAUCCAUUACAUUCAAGGGAAAGAGAGUUGAGAAUGUUUAUAAAAUAAAUUUCUCUGAUCUGGCUGAUCAGAAGGUAGUUUGCCUUCUGUCAGUGAAUGAUAAAAAAUGGGUAUGGCAUAAAAGGUUGGGACAUGCUAAUUGGAGAUUAAUUUCUAAAAUUAGCAAGUUACAACUGGUCAAAGGAUUGCCUAACAUUGAUUAUCAUUCAGAUGCACUUUGUGGUGCAUGUCAGAAAGGGAAAAUUGUGAAAAGUUCUUUCAAAUCUAAAGACAUUGUAUCAACCUCCAGACCCUUAGAAUUACUCCAUAUUGAUCUUUUUGGUCCAGUUAACACUGCAUCUUUAUAUGGAAGUAAAUACGGAUUAGUCAUUGUUGAUGAUUACAGCAGAUGGACUUGGGUAAAAUUCAUUAAAAGUAAAGACUAUGCAUGUGAAGUGUUUAGCAGCUUCUGCACUCAAAUACAAUCUGAAAAAGAAUUGAAAAUUUUGAAAGUCAGAAGUGAUCAUGGUGGAGAAUUUGAAAAUGAGCCAUUUGAACUUUUUUGUGAAAAACAUGGGAUUCUCCAUGAGUUUUCUUCUCCUAGAACUCCACAACAAAAUGGGGUUGUAGAAAGAAAGAACAGAACCUUACAAGAAAUGGCCAGAACCAUGAUCCAUGAAAACAACUUAGCUAAACAUUUUUGGGCAGAAGCAGUCAAUACUUCAUGUUAUAUUCAAAAUAGGAUCUAUAUCAGACCUAUGUUGGAGAAAACAGCAUAUGAACUCUUUAAAGGAAGAAGACCAAAUAUCUCUUACUUUCAUCAGUUUGGAUGUACUUGUUACAUCUUAAACACUAAAGACUAUCUGAAGAAAUUUGAUGCCAAGGCUCAAAGAGGAAUCUUUUUAGGUUACUCUGAAAGGUCAAAGCCAUACAGAGUGUAUAAUUCAGAAACACAAUGUGUUGAAGAAUCUAUGCAUGUAAAAUUUGAUGAUAGAGAGCCUGGAAGUAAAACUUCAGAGCAAAGUGAAAGUAAUGCAGGUACAACUGAUUCUGAAGAUGCAUCAGAAUCUGAUCAACCUUCUGAUUCUGAAAAGUAUACAGAAGUUGAAUCUUGUCCAGAAGCUGAAAUCACUCCAGAAGCUGAGUCUAAUUCAGAAGCAGAACCUAGCCCAAAAGCACAGAAUGAAAUUGCUUCUGAGGACUUUCAAGAUAACACUCAGCAGGUUAUUCAACCUAAAUUCAAGCACAAAUCUUCACAUCCUGAGGAGUUAAUCAUUGGAAGCAAAGAUAGUCCUAGAAGAACAAGAUCACAUUUUAGACAAGAAGAGUCUUUAAUAGGACUGCUUUCAAUAAUUGAGCCUAAAACUGUUGAAGAAGCUCUCUCAGAUGAUGGAUGGAUAUUAGCUAUGCAAGAAGAGCUAAAUCAAUUCCAAAGGAAUGACGUGUGGGAUCUGGUACCCAAACCUUUUCAGAAGAACAUUAUUGGAACAAAAUGGGUAUUCAGAAACAAGCUGAAUGAACAAGGAGAAGUAACCAGAAACAAAGCCAGACUUGUUGCUCAAGGCUACAGUCAACAAGAAGGCAUUGAUUACACUGAAACAUUUGCUCCAGUUGCAAAAUUGGAAGCAAUCAGGUUACUUCUAUCCUACGCAAUUAAUCAUGGCAUAAUAUUAUAUCAAAUGGAUGUCAAAAGUGCCUUUCUUAAUGGAGUCAUUGAAGAAGAAGUGUAUGUUAAACAACCUCCUGGGUUUGAGGAUCUUAAGCAUCCUGACCAUGUUUAUAAACUUAAGAAAUCACUAUAUGGCUUGAAACAAGCUCCCAGAGCUUGGUAUGAUAGACUAAGUAAUUUCUUAAUUAAAAAUGAUUUUGAAAGAGGACAAGUUGACACAACACUCUUCAGAAGGACUCUUAAGAAAGAUAUUUUGAUUGUGCAAAUAUAUGUUGAUGAUAUAAUAUUUGGUUCUACUAAUGCAUCUCUUUGCAAAGAAUUUUCUAAGUUAAUGCAGGAUGAAUUUGAAAUGAGUAUGAUGGGAGAAUUGAAAUUCUUUCUGGGAAUUCAAAUCAACCAAAGUAAAGAAGGAGUAUAUGUUCAUCAAACAAAAUAUACAAAGGAGCUUCUGAAGAAGUUCAAGCUAGAAGAUUGUAAAGUGAUGAACACUCCAAUGCAUCCAACCUGCACCUUAAGCAAAGAAGAUACUGGAACAGUAGUAGACCAGAAGCUUUACAGAGGUAUGAUUGGUUCUCUGUUAUACCUCACUGCAUCUAGACCUGAUAUUUUAUUCAGUGUAUGCUUGUGUGCAAGAUUUCAAUCAGAUCCUAGAGAAUCUCAUUUAACUGCAGUUAAGAGAAUCUUCAGGUAUCUGAAAGGAACAACUAAUCUUGGACUCCUGUAUAGGAAAUCCCUAGAUUAUAAGUUGAUUGGAUUCUGUGAUGCUGAUUAUGCUGGUGAUAGGAUUGAAAGAAAAUCAACCAGUGGAAAUUGUCAAUUCCUGGGAGAGAAUCUGAUAUCCUGGGCAAGCAAAAGACAAGCAACUAUUGCUAUGUCUACAGCAGAAGCAGAGUACAUUUCAGCUGCAAGUUGUUGCACACAACUGCUUUGGAUGAAACAUCAGUUGGAAGACUAUCAGAUCAAUGCUAACAGUAUUCCCAUUUAUUGUGAUAAUACUGCUGCUAUUUGUUUGUCAAAGAAUCCAAUUCUACAUUCAAGAGCCAAGCAUAUUGAAAUCAAACACCAUUUUAUCAGAGACUAUGUUCAAAAAGGAAUUUUAGAUAUACAAUUCAUUGAUACUGAACAUCAAUGGGCUGACAUAUUUACAAAACCUUUGUCUGUUGAAAGAUUUGAUUUUAUUAAGAAAAAUUUGAACAUGCAUUUUGGGUCUGAUUGAAAAAUUGCUUGCCUCUGAAUAAGAAGUUUGGUUCUGAAGUUUAUUCAGAAGCAUUUUGGUUCAUCAGAAGCUCUUAAUUGAGGUUCUGAGGAAAAUGUGCUUCUGAAGAUGACGUCAGCGCUAAAACUUCAGAAGUGUUAUUCUUUGCUUCUGAAUAGCUUGGUUAGUGGGAACGUUGGAAGUUACUUUAUGUAACAGCUGUCUCAUUACCCAAAAGGUAGUUUUCUGAAGAGUCUCUGACGUGGUUUAUUUGUAUUGGAGUAUAACAAAAAGGGCAAUGAUGUUUUUAUUCGCUUUUUAACGUACUUACACGCGCCCCCAAUUUGUCAUUAAUGCUGUGUUUGUCUGUCCCCUCUGAAUUACAAACGUUUUAAUAAAAACACUAAGUCAUUUCACACACUUCUCACUUCACAACAAACACUUUCUAUUUUCUUCUCAACCCUCUGCGAAAGUAAGCGCAUUCUCUCAUCCUCUCAAAAACUCCUUAGAACCCUAAAACCACUUCAUAUCAAUGGCUUCUUCAAGUUCUGCAUCUGGUUCAUCAUCAAACGAACAACAAGGAGAAGCUCCUGCUUAUGAGAUAAAGGGAAGAACCAUGUCCUUGGAGGAAUGGGAAUUAAACAUUCAAUCAGAAAGUCCGGUGGAUUUUGAUUCUUUGGCCGCUCACGACUGUGACAUUGGCAAGUACUACGAGAAACAAGGUCUGGGAAGGUACUUCAAUCUUCUAAAUGGACCAACUUAUCAAACACUGGUUCGUCAUUUCUGGGUUAGAGCCAGCAUCUACGACAGGGAAGCCGCCAAGAUUGAAGAAGAUGAAAAAGUUCUUCUCAAUCCUGAACUCAAAGGGAAGUCUAGAGCGGAAAUGGGCUUGGAAACUUUCUCCAAAACCCAGAUAAGAUCAAGCAUCAUGGGAAUCCGUGUCUGGAUCACUGAGGACACUAUUGCCUUUGUCAUCAGAAGACCAGCAGAAGGAGAACAUGAGGCUGGGAUUUCAAAGCCAAAGGACAGCCCCUGGAAUGCUAUUGUUAACAAAACUCUCUACAACAAGGUAAAGGACUUUGCCUAUUCUGACAUGAACACCAAGACAAAGGUUAUGUUGAAGAUUCAGAACGAAAACCUACUACCAAAAGGUGGUGGUGGUGAUCAGCCCUCUCUGGAACAUAAAAUCCUCUUACACUUUGUCAUAAAGGGUGUAGAGGCAAAUAUUCCCAGAUACAUAUUCAGACAUAUGGUUCAUCAACUCAGAGAGAGUCAACUGAAUAAAAGGUCUUGGGUACCCUAUGGAAGACUACUCUCUGAGAUUUUCCAUCAGGGAGUGUUAUCAUGGUUUUUGGGUGCCAAGCCAUUAAUUGGACUUGAACCUUUCGACCGUUGAUAUCUCUCUUUUUUCUUGGGAAGGGAAAAAUUGAGAAAAAAACCCUUAGAUUCUAAGUUCGGGGGUCGGUUUUACUACGGGAAGGUGUUAGGCACCCGGAGUAACUAUAGUCCUCUAUAGGAGCCGUUUUCCUAAGUCUAUAUUCACGCUUAUUUUUACUUACUUUUGAAAAUGGGAGGUUUAUUUAGUUAAGAAUGGGGGUGAGAAGAAGUAGAAUUUUGAUUUUAUUUUGGCUUGGAUGAGUUUUGACUCAUUGCCUACGUACCCUUUUAAGGGAUCAAAACCGUUCGUAGUUCUUGCUAAAAAACUUGUUUUUGUUCUAAUUGUUUGAUUUUAAGUUUUGAAAAUGGUUUUGAAGAAGGAGAUUGGGAGGCUUCAUGAGCAUUAGAUUUAGCAAAAAAGUGAGGUUUGAUUAGUGAUUAGAAAGAAAGUCUAAAUGGUUAAGAUGAAUUGAAUUUUCCUUAAGAAAAAGAAAAGAAAAAAAAUGAAGUGUUGACUUCAUAUUUAUUAUGAAAUUUUUUGAAGUGAAGUUCAAUUGUUUUUUUGGAAAAAGAUGGAUUUUCUCUAAGUGUUUAAAACCUAAACGCUUAUUUAACCAUACAAUCCUAUGCAUACAUCUAAGGUGAGUGUGUGCGUGUCGGUGCGCCAUAGUGUCCAUAGUCCAUAUUACAACAUUUCCUAAAUACAUUCUAUGGCCUCUUUGCCAAGCUACAAACCAAUGAUAACAAAUUACAUCACUAAAUGAAUCAAAACUUGCAAAAAAAAAUAAAUGCUAGACUAAAGAGGGUGGAGAGUGGAGAGGGUGGUGGAAUGCUUAUGAAAUGUAUGGCACAUGAGAUGAAAUGGUUAGUAAUCAUAAAGCACAAAAUAGUAGGAAAUAAUCAAAAGGAAAUGUAUAAGAAUGGCAAAGGAAAGGUAAUAAAGUGGCAAUAAACCUAAAACUUUUGAUGUGAUACCUAAAGGUGCUUGUAACCCAUAAUCAUCACAUCAUGGCAAUUUUGAAAGAAAUUUUGUUUCAAGCCAUGACAUGAAAUUAGUGGAAGUACAUGCAAGCAAAGUAUCACACCAAACAUAAAGAAAUUUACCACUUUAUUCCUAAAAAUAAACGCUUAUUACUUGUAAAACAAGAAAUCCAUAAAAUCACAUCCAAACACAGCAAAAAUAAACACAAUUCCAGAGGCAUAUUCAUCACCAUAUUAGGCAUCAUUUAUCCAUGUCAUACUAUCAAAAUGUCAAGAACAAAACAUAGCAAAAUGCAUACAAAAAACAUAAAAACACAUGGAAUUAGUUCACACCAUUUUAACAUCUUUUUUACAUGCAAAGAUACCCUAAAAAUACCAAGAAUAUAUCAAGAAACCACUAGGAUUUUUUUAGAAAUUUUGUAAACAAAAAUGAGCAGGCCACAGGUGCAGAUAGCAAAGAAAAUGGUGUAAAUAGCAUACAAAAGCAAGCAAAAAAAACGUAAAACCUUAAGCCCAAACCAAAACCCAAUACAGACUGGGCCUGGAUCAUCCAAAGGCCUUAGAGGCGUUGGAUUGAUCCAAACCUAGAUCUGACGGUUCAAAACACGCAGCGCAUGGUAACACAGAUCAAACACGUGGGAGCAAACGCAUCACAGCCAUUCAAAAGAGAAACCCUAGAUCCUACGGUCCAAAAAGGAAACCAAAGUGAACCGGACCGGUCCAGGUGUCUAUAUAAACGUAAGGACACCGGUCCAGCUCACUUUGCUCACCUCUUUCUCUCUCUAAGCUCUUCUCUCCUCUCAGUCCUCUCUCUUCUCUCCAGAAAACCACCACCGGAGGUGAUGAAGCUACGGCGGAGACCUUGAAGGUCCGCCGGAAACUUCAUCUUCUCCGGCGAGACUUAUGAACUUCCGGUGACCUAAAUUUCCAGAUUUCAAAGAUUCUUACUCCUUUUGAUUCGUCCUUUAACCCUAAACACGAAUCCAGCAACUAUUUUUUCAAAUACGGUUCGAAACGACGUAGAUCUUGAAGGAACUUUGUACGGUUUUGAAAUGAUUUUUGAUUUUUGAACAAAAACGUUUAGAUUCUUACAUCGUUUCGUUGUUUGAUUGAUUUUCUGGUAUGCGUUCUUGCUUUCAAAACUUAGAUCCUUAUGGAUCUAGGUUUUGUGUUUACGGUUACGGCUUUGGCUUUGAAUUCUGGAAAUCUUUGGAUUCGGUUUGUUUUUUACUUCACUGAUUCAUGCUUUUUUUUUAAAGAAAAUGAUGUUGAAGUUAUGCUUUUACCUGUGAUUUCAAUUGGAGGUGCUGAUGAAGAUUUCUUCGGAAAACUUCAGAUGCGUUUCUAUUGAUUCUUGCUGCUUUGAACCGAAAAUAAAUCGGUGUUCUUCUUUCUCACUGAUUCUUCGUGAUUUUGGCUGGAAACUUCAUCUUCUUUCUCUGCUUCUUUCUCACUGAUUCUUCUUUGUGAUCGGUGCUGGAGUUUGCUGCUGCUGCAGCGAGCUCGUGCCUUGAAUUGCAAAGAAGAUGAUUCGAUGAUGAUGAUUCCUUAGGAAUCUCUGAGAAUCAAUGGAAAAUCCAAUGAAUUUUGAUGAUUUUUUGGUCUUCUGGAAAUCUAGGGUUUGGAUUUUGUUCUUGCUUGUUCUUGGAGAAUUUCUGUUUUUGAUCUGUAACUGAAUGGAGAGAGAAAAGAAAUCUGUUUGUGAUGAAUUUCUGACUUUUUGACUGUGCAUUGAAUGCGCCUUUUAUAGGCUGCCAUGUGUGCAUUGGGACCAAUAGGAAAUCGACAUGUGGCAUUGGACUUAAAAUGGACUUUGGACCUUUCUGCAAUUUUGUAAAAUAUGGGACUGGACUGCAAUUUUAAAAACAGAACUAAAAAAAAUAAAAAAAUAAAAAUUGGACAGUUUGGACUUAAAUGCAAUUUUAAAAAGUUGAAGGAUUAAAAUGCAAAGUAAAAAUAAAAAAUGAAUUAAAAUAUGUAAUUUGACUAAACGUAAAGCGAAAUAGAAAUAAAAAUAAAAUCGACAAAACGGACUAAAACGAACCAAUGGCCUAAAUGAGGUACUUCAAAGUAACCUCCCUAUGUCAAAAUUUUGUGUGAAAUGACCAAAAUGCCCCUAGGGCUAAAACGACCUAAACAGAUUCAAAUUGAUCUGACACUGACUCAGACGCAAAUUUAAAAUGAACUUAAUCAAGAUUUACUAAUGAAAAUGCAAAAACAAUCUGAAAAGACUCAGAGACAGUCACAAGGAUGAAAAUGGGUCCCACUGCAGGAAAUGACCAAAAUACCCUUCUGUAUGACUUUUUGCAAAUUUUGAAAUAAACUGUAGAAAAAGCAAUGCAAUGAUUCAGAGACACUUCUGAAUGACUUACAAGACAAGUAAAGACACUUCAAAAGGUUUUAUGCAAGAAAAACAUAAGUAAAAUUGUGAUUGGAAAUACUGCGAGGCAGAGACAAUUUGAACUUUGCAGUUGAAAUCUGAUAAUUGACAAAGUUUGAAAUGAAAUUGGGCCCAGUAUUUUUAGGUCCAAAAACAGGGUAUAACAGCUGCCCCUAUUUAAGUUUCUUUGUCUGGAGAGUCAAGAGACGGAGUCUUUGGCUUGACAGGACGAAGAUACUUAAAUAUUAGCAUUUGCACUGUGUUUGGACGUAAAAAUACGCCUACCCAUUUUCAAAUAAUAUGCAUGCCAUGCAUCAUUUGGAUUAUGAAUGCAAGACCUCAUGGGGAUUGGAAUUAACAAAAUAUGUCGUAUCCAUUGCAGGAUUGGUAGACAUUGACAAAGAUAGUGAAUAGCAGAGUAACGGGAAACUAGAAACAAAUUGGACAGGUACAAGCUGUUCUUGGAUUCAAACUAGCCACUUGACCGGGGAUGAAACAAACAGACAACUGCGAGUUGUUCUUAUGGAUUCGAACUGGUCACUUCACAGGGGAUAGAGGUUACUGGACAAACAUGAGUUGUUCUUAUGAAUUCGAACUGGUGACUCACUUGGGGAUAUUGGAAAGUGCGAGUUGUUCUUACGGAUUCGAACUGGUGACUCGACUGAAAGCAAGGCAAAUAGACAGGUGCGAGCUUGUUCUUGGAUGCGAACUGGUUACUCCACCGGACAGAAACAGAUAGACAGGUACAAGCUGCUCUUGGAUUGAGCUAGUCACUUGACCAAACGGAAACAUAUAGACAGGUACAAGCUGCUCUUGGAUUGAGCUGGGCACUCGACCGAUAACAUUGAAAAGUAAAAGGGUACAAGUCGUUCUUGGAUGCGAACUAGUAACUUGACCAAACAGAAACACAUUCACUGGGGAUUGGUUUGUUGACAAAAUAUAGAUUGAGGUUGACUUGACGUCGAUUUGAAUUGAAAGGCAGAAAUUGACCGAUAUUAUUGGCUCACAAGGUUUUGACAGAGAACCUGACAUGAGUAUUGAAUUGAGACUGAUGUUGACAUUGGAAAUGCAAUAUGCAUGGAUGAUAUAACAAUUUCAUUAAAUGCAUGGGCACGUAAUAUGCAUGAUUAUGCAUGUAUGAAUGCUUGUAAUGCAUGACCGUUGGCAUUUUGUAGGCACGACUUCACGGGGAAGACAAGACAUUAGAGUAUUGGGCACGUAGUGGCUCGUGCUAUAUUACACAUUCUUGGAAAUCCUCUUUGGGGAUGACGUCGUUGGGAGACGUAUCGGAACCAUGGCUGAGGGCAGGUAGCUAUGCAUCUUGCUGGGGAUAGAAUCUUGGAAGACCCGACUGGGGAAAACGCCGUUGUGCUGGGCAUUUCAGCGCUGGGUAUGUUGUAGACAUUGCAUCUGUGGUCAAUGCUUUUGCAUGUUAUAUUCUCAUUUUCAUUCAUCAUUUUUUGCAUCCCAUUUUUGCCUGGAUCGCCCUUUCGGGUUUUCGGUCCACCGGGGAAAUAAAUUCUUUUCAAUGCCCCAUUUUUGCCUGAACUGCCCUUUCGGGUUGUCAAUCCAGCGGGGUGCUCAUUUUUGCCUAAGCCGCCCUUUCGGGUUUUCAACUUAGCGAGCUCAUUUAUUUUCAUGCAUUUUCAUUCUGUUUUUUCAUUCUUGCCAUUGACCACAGAUUAUCUUGGAGGAGAACCUGCUGGUAACAUAUAUUGAAAUAGACACCAACAUACUCUCGCUCAUGCAUGUUUCAUUUGAAUGUACCCUGUUGCUCAGGUUUGCUUUUCAAAAUAGACAAAAGGUUUUCAAUUUUCAAAAUGUUUGUUUCAAGUAUUGUCAUUAUCAAGAAAGAAAAUGUUUUGUAUAUAGCUUUGAAAGUAGAAGAAAAUAGAAUUUCAAACAAAAGCACAAGCUCAAAUUGAUGUAUAAGAGUGGUGGUCAGCCAAAGGCGUGACUCCACGGAUUCACAAAGCUUGGAAAAUGGUAAUUUUAUUGGUUGGUGAUACAUUGAACACAGUAAUCAUGACAUUUCCUAGAAACUUUGAAUUCGCAAGCAUAGGAGCUUUUGAUGAAGAUGGUCAUUAACAGCUGCAGAUGCCCCAAGGGGACGGUGGUUAGCCAGAUAUAGUUACUUGCCUUUUGCUUCAAUCUCAUUUUUGCAUGAACCGCCCUUCCGGGUUUUCGGCUCAUCGAGACGCUCAUUCUUGCCUGAUUUGCGUACAAUCUCAGCGAGCUUUUCAUGUUUGUUUUUUUUGUCCCUUAUUUUUGCCUGGACCGCCCUUUCGGGUUUUCGAUCCACCGGGAAGCGCAUUUUUGCCUAGGCCGCCCUUUCGGGUUUUCGACCUACCACGCUGUUCUUUUCAUAUUUCUAGGCAAAGUAUUUCUUGACUAUAUCGGCAUUCACUGGAUUUGGAAGUUCUACACCAUCCAUGUGUGUAAGGAUUAAAGCACCACCGGAGAAGGCCUUCUUGACAACAUAAGGACCUUCAUAGUUAGGCGUCCACUUGCCCCUUGGGUCGAGUUGCUGGCUUAUCCUCCUUUUCAAUACAAGUUCCCCUACCUUGAAUUCUCGAGGAUGGACUUUCUUGUCAAAGGCAGUCUUCAUUCUUGCUUGAUAUGACUGUCCACGAGCCAUGGCAUCCAUACGUUUUUCCUCAAUCAAAUUCAACUGAUCAUACCGGCUUUGGCACCAUUCAGCCUCGGAUAACUUUGCUUCCAUGAUCACACGGAGAGAUGGGAUCUCCACUUCCAAAGGAAGAACUGCUUCCAUACCAUAUACAAGAGAGAAAGGAGUUGCCCCGGUUGAACUGCGCACGGUAGUGCGGUAGCCAUGCAGAGCAUAGGGUAACAUCUCAUGCCAGUCCUUGUAAGUAGUUACCAUCUUCUGGACGAUUCUCUUGAUAUUCUUGUUGGCGGCCUCAACUGCACCAUUCAUCUGAGGUCUAUAAGGAGAAGAGUUAUGAUGCUCAAUUUUGAAUUCUUCACAAAGAGCUUGCACCACAUUGUUGUUCAGGUUGGUACCGUUGUCGGUAAUAAUCUUGCUAGGAACACCAUAUCGACAGAUGAUGUUGUUCUUGAUGAACUUAGCUACCACUUGCUUGGUCACAUUGGUAUAAGAUGCUGCUUCAACCCAUUUGGUAAAGUAGUCAAUUGCCACUAAGAUGAAACGGUGACCAUUUGAAGCUUUCGGUUCAAUUCUUCCAAUCAUGUCGAUGCCCCACAUUGAGAACGGCCACGGGGAUGACAUAACAUUGAGAGCGUGCGGAGGCACAUGAAUCUUAUCAGCAUAGAUUUGACAUUUGUGGCAUUUUCUGGCGUACUGGUAGCAAUCAUGCUCCAUGGCCAUCCAGUAGUAACCUGCUCGUAGCAACUUUCUUGACAUAGUAUGUCCUGUAGCAUGGGUCCCGAAGGUACCGUCAUGUACAUCAUGCAUUAACUGCUCUGCUUCAUGUUCAUCAACACAUCUUAAUAAUACCAUGUCAUAGUUCCUCUUGUACAGAAUAUCUCCGUCUAACAGGAAUCUACUGGCCAAUCUUCUCAGGGUCUUCUUAUCUUGUUUGGAAGCACCCGACGGAUACUCACGGCUCAGCAAGAACUGUUUGAUGUCGUAGUACCAGGGUCUAUAGUCAACCACAUUCUCACCAGCCUGAUCGAUCACAUCCCCAAUAGCAAACACAUGCGAAGGUCUUUCAAGGCGUUGCACUUUGAUUAAUGGCACAUCAUUCCAAUGGUUUACUCGAAACAUGGAGGAUAGAGUAGCAAGAGCAUCAGCCAUUUGGUUCUCAUCACGAGGAAUAUGGUGCAGCUCAACCUUUGUAAAAUAUGUCAGCAAACGUCUCGCAUAAUCACGAUAAGGAAUCAAAUUAGCAUGGUGGGUCUCCCAUUCACCCUUUAUCUGAUUGAUGACGAGCGCAGAAUCUCCAUAGAUGUCGAGGUGUUUGAUUCUCAUGUCAAUUGCUUCCUCGAUCCCAAAGAUACAUGCUUCAUACUCCGCCAUAUUGUUGGUACAUUCGAACAAGAUUCUGGCGGUAAAAGGAAUGUGAUGCCCCUGCGGGGAUACAAUGACUGCCCCAAUUCCCUUGCCAUAAGCAUUGACAGCACCGUCAAAGACUAAACCCCACUUGCUAUUGGGAUCUGGACCUUCAUUAAUCAACGGUUCUUCGCAGUCUUUGGAUUUCAAAUACAUGAUCUCUUCAUCAGGGAAGUCGAAUUCAAUUGGUUGGUAAUCGUCAAGAGGUUGAUAAGCAAGGUGAUCGGCAAGAAUGCUGCCUUUGAUUGCCUUUUGAGUUUUGAACACAAUAUCAUAUUCAGACAAAAGCAUCUGCCAGCGUGCGAUCUUCCCAGUAACGGCCGCUUUCUCAAAGAUAUACUUUAUCGGGUCCAUUCUGGAUAUCAGCCAAGUCGUAUGAUUCACCAAAUAAUGACGCAGGCGUUUGGCAGCCCAAGCUAGAGCACAACAAGUCUUUUCAAGCAUUGUAUACCGAGUUUCACAAUCGGUGAACUUCUUGCUUAAAUAGUAGAUAGCAUGCUCUUUCUUUCCGGUUUCAUCUUGUUGACCAAGCACGCAUCCCAUGGAUUCAUCAAAUACUGCUAAAUACAUGAUCAAAGGCCUUCCUUCCACGGGUGGGACAAGGAUAGGUGGUUCCAGCAGGUAAUUCUUGAUGCUAUCAAAAGCUUCUUGGCAUUCAUCAUUCCAUACAACAGGCUGGUUCUUUCUAAGUAGCUUGAAGAUCGGCCCGCAGGUUGCAGUCAUAUGAGAUAUGAAUCGGGAGAUGUAAUUCAAACGUCCCAAGAAACCUCUGACUUGCUUCUCUGUCCGUGGAGCUGGCAUUUCUCGGAUGGCCCGGACUUUAUCAGGGUCGACUUCAAUGCCCUUUUGGCUGACAAUGAAGCCUAAUAACUUUCCGGACCUGACACCGAAUGUACAUUUGUUGGGAUUCAAUCGCAGCUGGUAUUUUCUCAACCUUUCAAACAUCUUUGUUAAAUAUUCAACAUGCUGCUCCUCAUCUGCUGACUUCACAAUCAUGUCAUCCACAUAUACCUCAACUUCUUUGUGAAUCAUGUCAUGAAACAGAGUGGUCAUUCCCCUUUGGUAGGUAGCACCAGCAUUGAUUAGGCCGAACGGCAUCACCUUGUAGCAGAAAGUACCCCAUGGAGUGAUAAAAGAUGUCUUUUCUCUAUCUUCAGGAGACAUCUUGAUUUGAUUAUAACCGGAAAAACCGUCCAUGAAGGAGAACACCUUAGAUUGAGCAGUAUUAUCAACAAGCACAUCAAUAUGAGGUAAUGGAAAGUUGUCUUUUGGACUGGCCUUGUUCAGGUCUCUGAAGUCAACACACAUCCGGACUUUACCAUCCUUCUUUGGCACGGGCACAAUAUUGGCAACCCAUUCGGGAUACUCAACUGUCAUGAGGAAACCCGCAUCAAUCUGCUUUUGAACUUCAUUCUUGAUCUUGAGAGCCAUAUCAGGAUGAGUCCUUCUCAAUUUCUGCCUGACGGGAGGACAUUCAGGCUUGGUAGGGAUCCGAUGCUCCACGAUCAUAGGGUCUAGACCUGGCAUAUCUUCAUAGGACCAUGCAAAAAUAUCCGGAUAUUCCCGGAGGAGUUGGAUAAUCUUCUGCUUAACCCCUUCCUCUAGAGUAGCACCAAUCUUGAUUUCUUGCUUAUUUUCCUCGGUACCUAUGUUGAUAAGCUCAAUUUCUUCCUGGUGAGGCUGAAUGGCUUUCUUUUCUUGCUCAAGUAACCGAGUAAUCUCAUAUGGUAUACCAUCACCUUCCUCAUCUUCGGCUUCAUACACAGGGAAUUCAAAAUUUGGAGGAACCGUAGGAUUACUGUGUUCAACGGGUUUAUUAUGGUUCAACCUGCAUAUAAUGAUUGGAUGAUUUUAGAAAGAGUUUUUUUUUUUUCAUGCAGAUUUUUGAAAUUAAUAAGAAAAUACAGACAUUUUGGUUUUUUCUGGCAUUACCAUUGUUUCCAAGGGAAAAAGCACUAAAAAAAAAAAAUAGUCGUGGAAGAAACGACAAAAUUUUAUUAAUCAACGGCAAUGCCGAAACAAACAUGCCCUUACAGAAAAUAUCACUCUCGCUUUGGGCAGAGCGAGAGGAUUGUUAUUUUUGAAAACAAAGCAUUAAAGCAACAAGACACAUUACUCAGAAACAUGCAUUAUUGAAGGAAUGUCAAUGGCAUCCCAAUCUCUCGCAAUGCCUCCUGGUGUAACAAAUACAGGCCUGAGACCAGAUCCAGUGGCUUCUUCAGAGAUAGCAUUAACAAACCCAGCACUGUGGAAGACUCCCGAGGAAACUCUUGAUGACGGGGAGAACCCGAGACCUUCUUUACGCUUGUUCUCACAGAGCUGUAUCACCUUGCCCCAGCCGGCAGUCUGACCUUCUUGAAUGGCUCUCUGAGCAUCCUUCAAUGAAGCCAUAGCAGCCCCAGCUUCCUUAGACUCUGCACCUUCAAUGGUCAAACCUUGGAAAGCAGUUCCUUCAGCAGACCCUGCUUCAAUACAAGAAAAAGAAGACAAUUGGCUGACUAAGUAUGCUUCUUCACCAUGGAUUGUAACGAGUUUUCCAUUCUUCACAAAUUUCAACUUCUGAUGUAAGGUGGAAGUAACUGCACCUGCAUCGUGUAUCCACGGUCUUCCCAGCAGGCAACUGUAGGAUGCAUUAAUGUCCAUCACUUGGAAGGUAACCAAGAAAUUCUCAGGGCCAAUGGUUAUCGGCAAGUCUAUCUCUCCCAGCACAUUCUUUCGAGAUCCAUCAAAAGCUUUGACCAAGAAAGUACUUCUUCUCAACGGGGUCCCACGGUAGCUCAACUGAUCUAGAGUUGUCUUGGGCAUUACAUUGAGAGAGGAACCGGUAUCUACCAACACAUUUGAUAUCAUGUCUGAUUUACAGUUCACCGAGAUGUGCAAAGCCAGAUUGUGACUCUUUCCCACUUCCGGCAGCUCUUCUUCACUAAACCAGAGAUUGUUACAAGCAGUAAUAUUUCCCACUAUGCCACCGAAACGAUCUACCGUAACUUCGUGGUCAACAUAUGCCUGCUCCAGCACUUUCAACAAGGUAUUCCUGUGAGCCUCGGAGCUCAAGAGCAAUGACAAUACAGAUAUCUUCGAAGGAGUCUGCAGCAACUGAUCAACGAUCUUGUAGUCGCUCCUCUUUAUUAUCCUCAAAAUCUCAUCUAAAUUUGAAUCCUCUAUAGAUUUGCCUGACUGGUUCACAUCUGUAGCAAUGGGUGAAACAACGGUUGGAGUUGCUUCUUCAACUGGCGGAAUGGUCGGUGUAGCCACUUUCUUCUGAAAUAAUGGCGGACGAACCUUCCCGCUUCUCAGCGCUGCAGAAGUCCCUUCGGCAAUAUUGCUUACUGUGGCAAAGGAGGCUAGAGGCACCUCUACUCCAUUUUCUAUCAUAGUAGCAUUGUACUUGUAUGGAACAGCCUUAUCCGAAACAUAAGGAAUUGGUCCUGGCAACCUUAUCACCAAAGGCUCAGCAUUCUUCUUCAAAGGUGUACUCUUGACAGGCGGAUCGUGAAAAACUGGCACGACCACGCAAACAUCACUGACAGUCAGAAGAUUAUCAUCCAUCAAGCUUUGGAUGUCGUCUCGAACAGCAUGGCAACCUAAAGGAUCACGGAGGCAUCCUAGACACUUGGCAUGCUCAUGGCUGAACAGGGAAGCUUUGCACAGCUUGAUGUGCAGAGGCACCAGAGGAGUUGCGACGUUGCGGACAUCAAGUCUAGGAGCUUCCUCACACACUUCGAUCAUAUUCACAGCGGCAUGAUUUGGUAGCGGAUUGUCAAGGACAUGUGGAACAUUAUUCUCAAAAGUCAGCUUCCCUUGAUCGAUGAGCUUCUUCACGAUAUACUUCAAAGCAUAACACCCCUCGACAUCAUGACCUAGGGCACCUUGAUGAAAGUCACAUUUGAGAUCAGACCUGAACCUUGGAGGCAACGGAUCAGGUGGAGGCUUGCCCUGUCUAGUUGUACAAUGCCCUCUCUGGAGUAAAGUUGGAAGCAACUCAGCAUAUAACAUCGGUAUCGGAGGGAAAGUAGGCCUAGCUUGCUGAUUUUGUUGUUGUUGUUGAACCGGCAUCUGUUGUUUCAUCUGUUGGGCAAUCGCAUUGACGGGCACUUGAGGCUGGCCCGGCGGCAAAGGGUACUGAUGAUAAAACGGUGGGAAGAACGGAUGCUGAGAAUACGGCAUAUAUGGGUAUGACGGAGGCAUUUGAGCUGCAUUGAUAGGAGCAACAGUAGCCAUUGAUUGACCUGCUCCAGCUGACACCAUCCCCACUUCAGUUUCUUUCUUCUUGUGGUGUCCAUUACCAUACCUCUUCGACGCACUUGCAGAAGAUUCAGCUUUCUCAAACACAAUAAUUCCAUCCCUGACGGCUUCCUCAAGACGGGUUCCCAUAGUGACCAUCUCCGAAAAGUUGUUCGGGGCAGCGAUGAUCAUCCUCUCAACAUAAUCUUUCUUCAACGUCUUUAAGAACGUCUGGGUCAUUUCUUCUUCAUCUAAAGCAGGGGUGAUACGGGCAGCCGCCCCUCUCCACCUUUGCGCAUAUUCACGGAAGCUUUCCUCCUUCUUCUGAGAUAGGGACCUGAGAAACUCCCUAUUUGGCUUCAGUCGAGUGUUAAACCCGUAGUGGCUCUUGAAAGCGGUGGCUAACUCAUCAAAGGUAUGGAUGUCAUUCUUACUCAAACUAGUAUACCACUCUGCGGCAUCCUCCAUCAGACUAUCCUGAAAACAGUGGAUCAUAAGGGAAUCAUUGUCUUUGUAAUUGCCCAUCUUCCGGACGUAUUUGAUGAUGUGAUUUUGAGGACAAGUUAGCCCGUUGUACCGGUCGAAGUCCGGAAUCUUGAACUUUUUAGGAACAUCCACUUUUGACACUAAGCAAAGGUCUUGAGUUUUGACAGAGUCUGCAUUCCCUCGAUUGGCCUGGAUCUCGUGACGGAGUUCUUUAGCAAGUUCCUCCAUCAUCUCUUCCAUAGUCUUGGUUACGGGGAUGCUUCUGUGCUGUGUGUUGAUGUUAAUACUUUGAGGCAGAGUAUGUAUCAGUGACUCAGUGACAGCAGCUGUUGUUUGUGGCAAAGUAGCAUUGAUAGAGGCAGCAUUUGUUGCAGGGAUCAGAACAUUGUUAGCAGUGCCCGAGGUGCUUGCUGUAGCAACGGGAGUGAAGAACGGUGGAAGCCCAUACGGAAACCCUACUGGCAUAGUAAAGCGGUUGUCCGCAGAAGUGGUAGGGAGCACGCUUGUAGUCACCUGUGCAGCUGUGGUUGUAGGGAUAGCUGUAGCUGAUUGCUCUUGAGCAGCUAGUAGAGCAGUCAUGACGUCAUUAGCUUUAGCCAAUUCCUCCUUUAGAGAGGCUAACUCGGUGCGAAGCUGAGCGUUCUCUUCUUCCAUAGCCCUUUUCUUUCUUCUGUAUUCUCUGGUUCGAUCAAUUCUAUCUGGUUCGUAAACUCUCUGAGCACGAGCCACUUUUCACACUGCGGCAGAGGAACCAGGAGAUAGUGAGCACUUGGAAGCCUUUGUGACCAAUGCAUGAUGCAUAUGAUGCAUGAUAUGCAAAUGCGAAUGCAAAAGACUUAUUUUUUCAUCGAAGGAUUUUAAAACAAAUUAGAAAUCUUGCAAAUAAUCAAAACUACAUAGUAUCUUUAACAGGAAGACUUUGAAAUUUCAACAAGAUGAACACAUGAAGCUCUCAAGCAUAGGAAGUAGUCGGAGGAUCAUCGGACUCGGAAUCUGAAUCACAGUAUCUGUCAAAGAAAUCUCGUCGUCCUCGAGCUCUCUUGGAAUCCCUCAUAAGCAGCUCGUCUUUCUCUUCCAAUUCCCUCCGGGCCUUAGCUAGCUCUUUCUUCAACAUUAGAUUCUCAUGAGUCUUCUGCUCAUCUCUACCAUCCAAAGUCAUGAUUAGAUUUUCGGCUUGAUUGUACCGAGCUUUCCACACUUGCUUCUCACGACUCUCCAUGGCUAGAUGCUCCUGAUACAUAUCCUGAGUCGCAGGGAGCAAAGGUAGAGGCAUAGAUGGAGUGGAUGAAGAUACGUAUCUCAUAGCUGGAUAAGGCAUACCAAUCUCCUCAGCUCGAUCUAUCACCCACUGAGUAUAGGCCUCAUGAGCGACACCGGAUCUCACACCUAGAUGCUUCACACUCUUCCUUCGAACCUUGGACCAAGCAUCCAUGAAAGCUUUCCUUUGUCCGGUAGGAGCAUUCGCAUAGAAGAAGAACUCUGGAGAUGUAGCAAGAUUGAUGGGCUUCGACUUCAUAGGAAAACCAAACUGUCUCAUAGCAAGCUCGGGAUUGUAGUUGAUUCCUCCACGAGUACCAAGAAGAGGUACAUUGAGAAAGUCUCCACAACCCAUGAUAAUCUCCUUCACCUGAGCGGCCGGAGCGAGCCAGACGACCUCGUCAGGAGUGAGGGCCAUAAUCCGCUGCGAGUAGGACCAAUUCUCCGAGUUGUCAUGGAAGGAACUCGGAAGGUGCGAAAUAAACCACCUAUACAAAAGAGAUGUGCAGCAAAGAAUAUACCCACGGCCCUUGAGAGUCCUGUCAUGAAUGGCGUGGUAGGUAUCUGCUAGCAAAGUAGGGACCGGGUUCUUGGAAUGAAAGAUCUCGAUAGCAUUCAUGUCCACGAAGUUGUCGAGGUUCGGGAAGAGAAUGAGCCCGUAGAUAAGCAAAGCAAGAAUAGCCUCGAGUGUGUCCUGACGAGUAGUACCGAGAUUGGCCUGAUCAAGAAGAUACUUCGAAGUGAACCCCCGGAUGUGAGACUUGGUGAUAAGAUGGUUGGAGACGUCGGAAGUCUUGAGGUAGAGAUCCUUAGCAAUAACCAGAGGAGUAAGAGGAGUUCCGGGACCGGUGAAAGGUGUCUUCUCGGCUAUAGGUAAACCCACUAGAUUGGAGUAAGCCUCGAGAGUAGGAACCAACUGGAAGUCCGGGAAAGUGAAGCAACGAAAGCUCGGAUCAUAAAAUUGCACUAGAGUGUGCACUAGCUUCUCGUCCACAUCGGUUCGGAGCAAAGUAAGCAAUCCCCCAUACCGGAGUCGGAACCCUGUUUGACUCUUGACCUUGAGUGCCAACUCUCUCAAACUAACCAAAUCCACUUCCUUGAACUUGUAGCACUUAGUCUUCUUCAUACCUGUGAUUAUUUACAAAAAUUUCCAUUUGUUUAAACCCUUCGAUGAAUGCAUGAAAAAUGUUUAUGCAUGAAUGCAUGUAUGCAUGAUUGUGUUGUUUAGUUAUAAUGUGGGUUGAGAUUCAAAGUAACGGAUGGACAUGGCGUCCGGUGAACUAAGGCUUUGGAUAGUAGUAACCAAGGUUCUAACACAGUUCCCAAACUGCAACCUCUCUCACAUAUAUCAUGGUAGUACAGGACGACACCCGUUCCAUGAUUAUUUGUGAGAAGGUCUAGCUUGAGUGUAGUAUCGCGUGACGACUAAAGUUUGAGACAACACUCAAUUUAGCCACCGCACUACGUCCUAAAAAGGCUAGGAUGGGUUUGGUAACUACGGUUCAUAGCUUCGUCGAACAAUUGAAAGUGAAGUGCCUAAGCAUGACAACACACGCCGACAAUAUCACCUUCAAAAUGCCUCAGCUAUGUGAGAUUGAUCGCAUAAUCCAAUACACGAGGCAACCCCCGGAUCGAAUUGUCGAUUAUAUCUCUACCUAAACAUAAGUUCACUCAGCCCGGGUAUAGGACUUUUGAUAUCCUCACCCCACACGUCAAAUGAAAGUAAACAAGUAUUCACAUAUAUAAGCAAUAAAACAAAGCGUAAAUAUAAACUAAGGAAAACUAGGCGUGACCCGCUAAAAGAAAUCCCCAGUGAAGUCGCCAUUUCUGUUAUCAUGGUUUUUGGGUGCCAAGCCAUUAAUUGGACUUGAACCUUUCGACCGUUGAUAUCUCUCUUUUUUCUUGGGAAGGGAAAAAUUGAGAAAAAAACCCUUAGAUUCUAAGUUCGGGGGUCGGUUUUACUACGGGAAGGUGUUAGGCACCCGGAGUAACUAUAGUCCUCUAUAGAGUCGUUUUCCUAAGUCUAUAUUCACGCUUAUUUUUACUUACUUUUGAAAAUGGGAGGUUUAUUUAGUUAAGAAUGGGGGUGAGAAGAAGUAGAAUUUUGAUUUUAUUUCGGCUUGGAUGAGUUUUGACUCAUUGCCUACGUACCCUUUUAAGGGAUCAAAACCGUUCGUAGUUCUUGCUAAAAAACUUGUUUUUGUUCUAAUUGUUUGAUUUUAAGUUUUGAAAAUGGUUUUGAAGAAGGAGAUUGGGAGGCUUCAUGAGCAUUAGAUUUAGCAAAAAAGUGAGGUUUGAUUAGUGAUUAGAAAGAAAGUCUAAAUGGUUAAGAUGAAUUGAAUUUUCCUUAAGAAAAAGAAAAGAAAAAAAAUGAAGUGUUGACUUCAUAUUUAUUAUGAAAUUUUUUGAAGUGAAGUUCAAUUGUUUUUUUGGAAAAAGAUGGAUUUUCUCUAAGUGUUUAAAACCUAAACGCUUAUUUAACCAUACAAUCCUAUGCAUACAUCUAAGGUGAGUGUGUGCGUGUCGGUGCGCCAUAGUGUCCAUAGUCCAUAUUACAACAUUUCCUAAAUACAUUCUAUGGCCUCUUUGCCAAGCUACAAACCAAUGAUAACAAAUUACAUCACUAAAUGAAUCAAAACUUGCAAAAAAAAAUAAAUGCUAGACUAAAGAGGGUGGAGAGUGGAGAGGGUGGUGGAAUGCUUAUGAAAUGUAUGGCACAUGAGAUGAAAUGGUUAGUAAUCAUAAAGCACAAAAUAGUAGGAAAUAAUCAAAAGGAAAUGUAUAAGAAUGGCAAAGGAAAGGUAAUAAAGUGGCAAUAAACCUAAAACUUUUGAUGUGAUACCUAAAGGUGCUUGUAACCCAUAAUCAUCACAUCAUGGCAAUUUUGAAAGAAAUUUUGUUUCAAGCCAUGACAUGAAAUUAGUGGAAGUACAUGCAAGCAAAGUAUCACACCAAACAUAAAGAAAUUUACCACUUUAUUCCUAAAAAUAAACGCUUAUUACUUGUAAAACAAGAAAUCCAUAAAAUCACAUCCAAACACAGCAAAAAUAAACACAAUUCCAGAGGCAUAUUCAUCACCAUAUUAGGCAUCAUUUAUCCAUGUCAUACUAUCAAAAUGUCAAGAACAAAACAUAGCAAAAUGCAUACAAAAAACAUAAAAACACAUGGAAUUAGUUCACACCAUUUUAACAUCUUUUUUACAUGCAAAGAUACCCUAAAAAUACCAAGAAUAUAUCAAGAAACCACUAGGAUUUUUUUAGAAAUUUUGUAAACAAAAAUGAGCAGGCCACAGGUGCAGAUAGCAAAGAAAAUGGUGUAAAUAGCAUACAAAAGCAAGCAAAAAAAACGUAAAACCUUAAGCCCAAACCAAAACCCAAUACAGACUGGGCCUGGAUCAUCCAAAGGCCUUAGAGGCGUUGGAUUGAUCCAAACCUAGAUCUGACGGUUCAAAACACGCAGCGCAUGGUAACACAGAUCAAACACGUGGGAGCAAACGCAUCACAGCCAUUCAAAAGAGAAACCCUAGAUCCUACGGUCCAAAAAGGAAACCAAAGUGAACCGGACCGGUCCAGGUGUCUAUAUAAACGUAAGGACACCGGUCCAGCUCACUUUGCUCACCUCUUUCUCUCUCUAAGCUCUUCUCUCCUCUCAGUCCUCUCUCUUCUCUCCAGAAAACCACCACCGGAGGUGAUGAAGCUACGGCGGAGACCUUGAAGGUCCGCCGGAAACUUCAUCUUCUCCGGCGAGACUUAUGAACUUCCGGUGACCUAAAUUUCCAGAUUUCAAAGAUUCUUACUCCUUUUGAUUCGUCCUUUAACCCUAAACACGAAUCCAGCAACUAUUUUUUCAAAUACGGUUCGAAACGACGUAGAUCUUGAAGGAACUUUGUACGGUUUUGAAAUGAUUUUUGAUUUUUGAACAAAAACGUUUAGAUUCUUACAUCGUUUCGUUGUUUGAUUGAUUUUCUGGUAUGCGUUCUUGCUUUCAAAACUUAGAUCCUUAUGGAUCUAGGUUUUGUGUUUACGGUUACGGCUUUGGCUUUGAAUUCUGGAAAUCUUUGGAUUCGGUUUGUUUUUUACUUCACUGAUUCAUGCUUUUUUUUUAAAGAAAAUGAUGUUGAAGUUAUGCUUUUACCUGUGAUUUCAAUUGGAGGUGCUGAUGAAGAUUUCUUCGGAAAACUUCAGAUGCGUUUCUAUUGAUUCUUGCUGCUUUGAACCGAAAAUAAAUCGGUGUUCUUCUUUCUCACUGAUUCUUCGUGAUUUUGGCUGGAAACUUCAUCUUCUUUCUCUGCUUCUUUCUCACUGAUUCUUCUUUGUGAUCGGUGCUGGAGUUUGCUGCUGCUGCAGCGAGCUCGUGCCUUGAAUUGCAAAGAAGAUGAUUCGAUGAUGAUGAUUCCUUAGGAAUCUCUGAGAAUCAAUGGAAAAUCCAAUGAAUUUUGAUGAUUUUUUGGUCUUCUGGAAAUCUAGGGUUUGGAUUUUGUUCUUGCUUGUUCUUGGAGAAUUUCUGUUUUUGAUCUGUAACUGAAUGGAGAGAGAAAAGAAAUCUGUUUGUGAUGAAUUUCUGACUUUUUGACUGUGCAUUGAAUGCGCCUUUUAUAGGCUGCCAUGUGUGCAUUGGGACCAAUAGGAAAUCGACAUGUGGCAUUGGACUUAAAAUGGACUUUGGACCUUUCUGCAAUUUUGUAAAAUAUGGGACUGGACUGCAAUUUUAAAAACAGAACUAAAAAAAAUAAAAAAAUAAAAAUUGGACAGUUUGGACUUAAAUGCAAUUUUAAAAAGUUGAAGGAUUAAAAUGCAAAGUAAAAAUAAAAAAUGAAUUAAAAUAUGUAAUUUGACUAAACGUAAAGCGAAAUAGAAAUAAAAAUAAAAUCGACAAAACGGACUAAAACGAACCAAUGGCCUAAAUGAGGUACUUCAAAGUAACCUCCCUAUGUCAAAAUUUUGUGUGAAAUGACCAAAAUGCCCCUAGGGCUAAAACGACCUAAACAGAUUCAAAUUGAUCUGACACUGACUCAGACGCAAAUUUAAAAUGAACUUAAUCAAGAUUUACUAAUGAAAAUGCAAAAACAAUCUGAAAAGACUCAGAGACAGUCACAAGGAUGAAAAUGGGUCCCACUGCAGGAAAUGACCAAAAUACCCUUCUGUAUGACUUUUUGCAAAUUUUGAAAUAAACUGUAGAAAAAGCAAUGCAAUGAUUCAGAGACACUUCUGAAUGACUUACAAGACAAGUAAAGACACUUCAAAAGGUUUUAUGCAAGAAAAACAUAAGUAAAAUUGUGAUUGGAAAUACUGCGAGGCAGAGACAAUUUGAACUUUGCAGUUGAAAUCUGAUAAUUGACAAAGUUUGAAAUGAAAUUGGGCCCAGUAUUUUUAGGUCCAAAAACAGGGUAUAACAGGGAGGAAUUAUUGAGAUGCUGAAAGAAGCUCAGAUCUUCACAGAUGAACAGUUGGGAACUGUUAGAGGGAAGAUUAUCAAUGGUGAGACUCUAAGGGCUAUGCAUCUGAUUAAAGCAAAAGAUGUGAAGAAGAGUCCUACUGACUUGAAACCUUCUGAUGCCAAAUCAGAUCUUAUCCCAGACUUUCCUCCCAUCUGUAAACAAGAUCCCUUGGAGGUUCAAAGGGCAUAUAUCAUGGAUCACUACAAAUCCUUUAACCAGAAAAUCAGCUUGAAGGAUGUUCCUGACCAAAUGUAUGGUGGUGAGCUGCCUGUGGCCAAAAGUAGAAAAUCUAAGAAGAAGCAGAUCACCAAGGAAGAAUACCUUGCUGAAAAUGCUACUGAGGUGGGUGCUCAGAAGCAUAAGAAAGCUAAGAAGGUAAAAUCUGCUAUGUCCACCAUUCUUGAGGAAGUGGAGGAUUUGGAAGAUGUCCCUCUUAUCAGAAAAAGGACAAGGAGUACUCAAGAAACAGCAGAACAGCCUGCUUCUGAACAAGCUGGUUCAGAACAAGCUGCUUCUGAAAAGCCUCCAAGUCCCAAAAAUAAAAGAGAAGCUGCUCUUCAGACCAUCAAAAGGAAAAGGUCUAAUUUAACAAGAAAUCUGAAGACAGGUGAAGGAAGAAGGGCACAAAUGUUGGAAGAACUGGAAGAGAACUGGGAUGAAGACUCAAGCCCUAAGAAAGCAAAAAGGACUGCAACUUCUGAGCCCAUAGUCAUGCCCAGUUUCGAAAUGACUGAAGAAAUGGAGCAGUAUACUAGGGAGGUUGCUGCAUCCAAGAUAGCAGAAAAGAAAAGGAUGAAGAUUUUGUAUGAAAAAGAAAGGGAUGAACGUCUCAAGGCUGCAGGGUAUGUGCCUACUCCUGACAUUGCUGCUUUAGCAUCGGAGUUAGAAACUGUUAAGUAUGGAGCAACUCUGCUUUCUCAAGCCUUGAAGAAUAAGCAAGCUUCAGGAGCAACUUCAUCAGAACCAGCUUCAGAAGCUCCAGAAGCAGUUCAUCCAGAAGCUCAGUCUUCAGGUAAUCCAUCUAACGCUCCAACUAAUACUCAGAUUCCAUCUCUACCCUCUUCACCCUCUUCAUCAUCAACAGAAUCAGAUGACCAACCUCUUAGCCAACACAUAGACAAGCUUCUAAAAACCAAACCUACCAAACUAACAGAUUUAGGAACACUUGACUGGGAGCAAACUCAAAUAGAAUUUUCUAAGAAUAGAAUUAAACUUUGUGAGAAAUUCAAUUUGCCUCCUACUCAUCCACUCUAUCCAGAUAAUCCUGAACCUGUUAGUGUACAACAACCUCAACCCAACCCAGAACCUACAACAAACUCACCACAUAACUCAACCACACAAAAAGCCUCUGAAGUAGCUUCAGAUGCAACUACUUCAGAAACUCCCCAACACCAAGAAUACUCAACCCUUCACAACUUAGAAAAACAUCUAGGUGGUGAAAUGCAACCAACACCCACUAAGGCCUCUAAGACAGUUCCUGAAAAGACUGUCUUGGAAACCCAAACAGAAACCCAAACCAUCCCUGAGCAAACUGUUCAGGAGCAAACUGCCUCUGAACAAGUUGCUCCUGACCAAACAACUUCUGACCAACAUAUACCUUCUGACCAAACAACAGAACAACAACAACAACCAGAUUCACCCACUAUAAUAGACUUAACCUCUGACCAACCUUCCAUAUCAAAUACAACUCAAACCGAACCUUCACCCAUCCCUGACCAUAUCCUAGAGUCUGAGUAUAUAGAGGAACAACUGAUCAGACUCAGUGAUGAGAUUCAGGCACUGAUUCUUCGCAGAACAGUUCCUGUACCUCCUAUUCACUAUUAUGAUCAGUGGAUGGAUCUACAGAAAAGCUUUGAUGAGCUGCUGGAUCAACUUAGAACUAAAUGUGUGUCAUCUCACUCUGCUAUGCUGAAGAAGCUUUUGGAUGAUAUGCAUGAAGCAGCUAAGGAGAAAGAGCUGAAUUUUGUGCCUCUGCUGGACAUCACUCCUUUCUAUCCAGAAGAAGAGUACAUCACUAGGGCUGCUAGAAUUCAGGCUGGAUAUAAAAGAAGAAUGAGAGAAAAGGAUGAGCUACUUCAGAAGAAGGAUGAUCAGAUCAAGUAUCUCUUAGAACAGUUGUAUAAGCAAGCCCAACCUUAGUUGCACACCCAACUCUAGCUUGUUUUUUACUUUUGUUCUUAGUAGCUGUGUCUUUGUAUCUUAAUCUUUCUUUCUAUAUAUAUUAUCAUUGUUUCUGAAUCUUGUGCUUUUUCACCUUCAAUAUGUUUUACAAGCUUUAAUUCUGAUGAUAUUUACUGUUUUCAAUGCUGCUUGCUCUGAAAUACUAUCUUUAAAAGUUAUAUGUUUAUAUCUUGGAACAAAAUGUGUUUCACAAUGAACCUUAUUAAGUUUUGAUGAUAACAAGGUAUUAAAAAUUGUCAAUUGGUUAUUACUAAUAAUUGUUCAAGUGUACAGGACCAAAGGCUACUCAAGUUAUUUCAAUAGGUCUUGGAAGAACAAUGGAAAGAAAAAGAAAUUCUGAGCAUCUGAAGAAAACUGCUCCUGAAGCUAAACUGCUCCUGAAGAGAUGACGUCAUCAGAAGCAGAAAGCUGCUCCUGAAGCUAAACUGCUCCUGAAGAGAUGACGUCAUCAGAAGCAGAAAGUCAUCAGAAGCAGAAAGUCAUCAGAAGCAAAAGUUUUCAUCAGAAGCAAUAUUUUCACCAGAAGCUACAUUUGAUCCUUUAAUCAAACUGAAGAUUCAAAGUUGCUGAUUCUCAAUUCAGUCUUAUCAAAGAAGAACGAAGAAUUGAAAGGGAGGUAUCAACGGAUAUAUGGAUAGCACUGAGCACUUGUCUCUCAUUAAUAGAGUUGACAAAGUACAAGUGUACAACCACUACCUCCACUACUCUGUUUUCUGUCUACGCUACAAGACAAAACAACAGCCAUGCCUGCAGAAUUUGUACAACUCAAGAUGGGAAUGAAUUUGAAGUUUAUCCUUCAAAGGACUACACCCAAAUCAGGCAAAAGAUCACUGGUGGAUAAUCAAAGGAUUUCAAACGACUCUUUAGACGUGCUGAUUAUCUCAACGUCUCUUUCACGCCUCUAUAUAAAGGAGUGAAGACUUGAAGAUUCAAGAUAGAGAUACAUAAGUUCAAAAGCGCCAAAACUCUGUCAAUUUGAUUCUACAAAGCACACUGAAUUUCUGCACUGAUUUGAUACAUCUUAGAAAUUCAAAGUCUAGAGUCUUUUCUGUAUUGUAUUGUGAACACCACUGAUUGUAUAUCAAGUGUUCAAUUCAAACUCAAUUCUCUGUAUUUUUGUUUGAUUAGAAGUCUCUUGCCUGCGUGCUUGAGCAUUAGAAGUCUCUUGCUUAGUGCUUGAGCAUUGGAAGACUCUUGCGUGUGUGCUUGAGCAUUGUUUUGUGAAGUCUCAUACUUUGAAAGUAUUGAGCAGUUGUAAUCUUGUGAUUAUAGUGAAAUCUCCUUGGAAGUGCAAGGGGGACUGGACUACUUCCGUGUUGUGGAAGGAACCAGGAUAACUGCCUGUGUCUUUGUCUUUCUUUUCUCUGCUCUGUUCUUUUCCGCUGCAAUCUGACUCUGAUCAUUUCAUCAGAAGCAAUCAAACUGCUUCUGAAGUUUUAUCAGAAGAAGAAUCCUUUUUAUUAAGAGAAAAAGAAAACACAAUUCAACCCCCCCCUUCUUGUGUUUUUCACCUUCAGAUUUUGGAGGAUUUUUGGGGUUUAUAUGAAUUUUUUAAAUUCAAUCUAUGUUGUUAUAAUAUUCUUAAAAUUAAAGAUAUAAUAAACAUAAGCAUUAAUUUAUCAUUAUCUAAAAAAUUACUCUUUCUCAUUCAAUAGAAACUUUUUCAUAAAAUGUGAAAGAUUUCUGCAUUUCUCUAUAUAUUUCUUACCUCCAAAACUCUCACCUUCAAACUCUCAAACAAACCCUUAGUAUAUUGUUACAAAAUAUAAAAUAUACGGUAUAUAGUAAUAUGUGCUAAACACUUGAUGAUUUUUUUCUUUUUUGACUCAGUAAGAUCGUACAAAGUGUAAUCUCAUAACCCUUCAUGGGAAAUACAACAAUGUCAAGCUACACUUUUUAAGCACAACCCUAAAGGGUAAAUAACAAAAUAAACAAAAACUCAGCCACCACGUGUACAAUCUAGCGAACACAACUCGGAGUGCGAAACCAAAUUGCAAAAGAAAGUGGUUUUUGAGCGUUCCUCUCCGUAACAAUGGAAUGAGUGUUUCUUCGUGUCAAAAUUGAUAAUUGAAAUUGUCAGCCAGCACAAAAGCAAUUACACUUACCCACCACUCACUGAUGAAACCAACAACAAAUUUACGGCUAUGAAUCAACCUCAAAAAGCACUACAAGAAAGAAAAAAAAAGCUCUUUGCAACAGUUAAAUUGAGAUUCGCGACUAUUCAAACCGUCGCAAUUUUCCAUUUGCGACACUUUCCCAAUUGUUGAGGAAAAGGGGUCGCAAGAGCAUUUUGAUACAGCUCAAAAACCCGUCGUUACAACUGCCGCAGAGCGUAUUGCAAAGCACUCGUUUUAAUUUUGAAAAAGGGUGUUGCGAUCGUUUAGAACCGUCACAAUUCAUGAAAAAUAAACUUACAAAAAUAUUGCAGCUGUUUUGAACCGUCGUUAUUUGGUGAAUUUAAUUUGAAAAAAAAAACAGAUAUUUUAGAAUUAAUAAUAGAACAUCCGAGUUAUCAUAUUUUAAUGACAACUAAAUUAAUUCAUAGUAAAAAAAUAUGAGCUAAUCCAUAAACUAAAAUAUGAAUUACAUUCAAAUAAAAUGAUUCAAUAAAACAUAAACAAGUGAUAAUACAAUAAGGUUUCUUGAGCUAACAUAAAAAUUUAAUCAAUUAUGUAGAUGCUCCGUGGCAAGAAAAUUGUUUUGAUAAACUCAAUGUGAAUAGACUCCAAAAUUGUUAAAUAGUAGUUAUUAUUAAUAAGGUUUCAAUUUUCUAGAAAUUAAAACAAAAAUAUUGAAAGAAAAAUCAAGAAACAAGAAGGAUAAAGAAGAAAAUACUUAAGAUUUUCAUUUUGUUUGGAUUAUCUCUUUUUCCUUAUGAAAGAUGAAGUGACGAAGCAGAUCUGACCUGAGACUAGGGUUUAACGAAAUUGGGAACGGAUUUGAGAAAAGGAGAAAGGGGCAACACACAAUGAAGGAGGUUAGGUUCGAUCUAAGGGUUACAUCUUUUUCUUCGGUUGGAGGUUUGAAUUGGACAUGAGAGAAGAAAGAAGGGACGAUCGAUUCAAGGUUUAGAACAAAUGUGAGAGAAGAGAGAAGGCUUUUUGGGAUGGCCGAUUGGGGGUUUCUCUUUUGGGAUUUUUUCGAUGCUGGACGGAGGUUUUUUUUUUCUUUCAUAGAUCUAUAUGCUAAAAGUUUUUUAGCGGUGAGAUUUUUGGAUUUUGAAAAUUCAAGAGAGAAAAAAGGUUAGCGAGCUUUAUGCUAAAAGACCACCUUUAAUUUCACUCUAAAAUUUGCGACGGUUGGGAUUACCAGUCGCAAGACCCGCCUCAAAUAUACAAUUGUGACCCUUAUUAUUGAACUGUUGCAGUUCAUGUGUCGCAAAAUAACAAAUUUCUUGUAGGGAAGAUUGCAAAGUCGUCGCCCUUUUGAGCAUUACAGAACCAAAUCAACAAAUUUGGUCCUCUAUGAAUAGAUCAACGACGAAGCUAGAAAGUGCAAGAAGGAAUUGUUGCUUUUUAAGGUGGAUUUCGAGAAAGCCCAUGAUUAUAUUGAUUAGGGUUAUUUAGAUGAGGUGAUGAGAAGAUGAUGUUUUCGACGCUUUGGCGAAAGUGGAUUAGAGAAUGUAUUGGUACAACAACAACUUCGGUCUUGGUCAAUGGGUGUCCUACGAAUGAGUUUCUUAUGGAGAAGGGCUUGAGGCAAGGCAAUCCUCCCUAUCUCUCUCCUUUCUUGUUCCUCUUGGCAGCAGAGGGGUUCCAUGUUUUGAUGGAGUCUUUGACUGAGAAUGAUCCUUUUGUUGUUUCUCACUUUCAAUUUGUGGGUGAUACGCUGAUUUGUCUGGUUUGAAGGUGAGCUUUCAUAAGAGCCAAUUGGUUGGGGUAAAUGUGUUUGAUUCUUGAUUAACAGAGGCAGCUAUGGUUUUGAAUUUCCAAGUUGGUAGGUUAUCCUUUGUGUAUUUUGGGAUGCCAAUAGGUGGUGACGCGAUACAUUUGUCUUUUUGGCAACCGUUGAUUCUAAGAAUUAAUUCUAGAAGGUCGGGUUGAAAACCUAAGAACUUAUCUUUGGGUAGUCGUCUGGUUCUUUUAAAGUCUGUCAUGUCAUCUCUGCAUGUUUAUGUUCUUUCUUCCUUCAAGGCUCCCUCAGAUAUUGUCUCCUCUAUUGAAUCUAUUUUAAUUUUUUUUUUGGGGUGGGGGGUGCGGACCAUAGGAAAAUCUUUUGGGUUGAUUGGAACUAUGUUUGUUUGAGAAAAGAGGUUGGAGGUUUGGGGGUCAGCAGAAUUAGGGAGUUUUAACAUUGCUUGGUUGGGGGAAAUAGUGUUGGAAGUUGCUGAUGGAUAAAGAGAGUCUUUGGUUUAGGGUGUUGUUGGUGAGGUAUCGUGUUGAGGGAGGUAUUUUGAAGGAAGGGACGGUUCUAUCUGGUGGCGCGAGCUUGAUGUUGUGCAUAAUGGCUUAGUGAUCAUGUUAGCCGAAAUGUGGGGAAUGGCGGAGGUUCUAAGGUGCGGCAAUCUAUUGUGCACUUGAUUUGGUUUGUUAGUAUGUGAGAAAUUUGGAAAGAAAGAAAUAACAUGAUCUUUAAUGGUAAAGAAUGCUCAAUGUUGCAGCUUGUGGAAAGAUUAAGUCGAUUUCCUUUUUGUGGUUGAAGGCGGAGUUUAGUUCUUUCCUUUUCAAUUAUCAUAUUCGGUGGAUUAGUCCUCUCACAAAUGUUGGGCAUUAACUAGUUGUUAUUUCUUCUCUUAAUCUCUUGUUUUUUUAUCUUCUAACUUUUGUUGCGACUCUUUUGUUCUCUUUUGACACACCUCAUACUAGAAAGGACAUUUUUAGUUAGUAAUAUAUUUUAUUUUGGCUUCUUAAAAAAAAAAAAAAAAACACUCCUCCAUUGAGAUAAAGAGUUGUCUCUUCUACUUAAUACGAAAGUUCUAAUAUUAUUUAGUCAUCAUAUAUAUCAUCCUUAACAUGUGUGUAAGGUCACUUUCUUGAAAAGUAUGAGUAACUGAUAAGACAGAACACCAAUGACAACAAUUUUUUAGAGAGAUUGUCAUAAUAUUCUAACCAAUUUAUUGAAAAUUUUAUUAAAAAAAAUAUGAAGGUUAAACAUGAGUUGACUAAAAAGUAAGGAUUAAUUCUUUCAAAAAAAAAAAAAUUAUGGAUUAAUUUCAUGGAUGAAAUUUUUUGGAGGGACCAAAAGCCUAAGGGAUAUUUUAGGAAGACUAAAAUCAAUUGUUAGUAUAUUUAGAAGGACCACCAUUUACUUAUUUUUUUUUUUUUUUGGGUAGAAGACCACCAUUUACUUAUUUAAACCUUUUUUCAAUUUAUAUGUGAUAUAUGAAUUCAAUUUAUAUAUUUUGUUUAACUAAACUUCAUUAUUAUUGUAUCUUUUUAUUUUCUAAUUUUUGAUGGAAACUUAAACCUUUUUUUGUUUUUGGUGGUAUCCAAAAUUUGCCUUGAACCUUACAUAUAUUAUGCAUUAUCUAUACCAACUGAACUAAGUUUACGGAGAUAAACUUUUUUAUUUAAACUCAUACUAAUAAAUAUGAUAUAUGAGUUCAAUAUAAAGAACAACAUACUUUAUUUUAGUCUGUAAGAAAAAAUGGUUUAUAAAUUGAACCGAAAGAUGCACAGUAAAAGAAAAUAUAUAAGAAGAGGCAUUGGCAAAUGUGGGCUGUUUUUUCUUGCUUAGCGGGUAGUUUUUUCUAUUAUGAAAAAUAAUAAAAUAAAAGUAAAGAUUAAAAAUGGUAAAAUGCAUAAAAAGUUAUAAGUUAUACGCUCAAAGUUAGUCUUUUUAGCUUCUAAAAAAAGACUAUAAGCUAACGAAAAAAGUUAGUUAUCAAACAUUUAAUUUUGUCAAACAAACUUAUAACCUAGUACAACAAACUAUAAUCUAGCUUAUUUUAUCAUACAGGCUUUAUUAUCCUAUUAAAAUUUUCAUUCAUAGAUAGAAGAACAUCAAUAUGAUUUAUUUAUCGAAUUGAUGUAUUCUAGAUAUUUUACUAAUAAAACUAUAUCUAUUUAUAAAUCGAUUUUGUAAAAAUAAUCAGUUAUAUAUCCGCAAAUAAAUUUAUAAUAAAAUAAGUCAUGAUUAUUAAUACAUUUUUUUGAAGCAAUGAUUAUUAAUACAUAUCCAUACAAAUAUUUUAUAAGUGGGUAUAAUUUGGUUGGUUAAAAUAUAUAUUUUCUUUGAAAUAACAAGAUAUUAUAUUAAUGGAUUAGAUCAUGAAAAUAUACAUCAUUAGUUUCAUACUACAUCCAUCCCUAAUUAUAAUGUCCUUUUAAAAAAAUAACGGGAAUUAAGAUAGUGGAUAUUUGUAUUAAAUAUGUUUGUAAUUACUAUUGUUUUUACAAUUUUAUCCUUUAAGAAAGAGGGUUGACUUAUGUUUUCAACAUUCUAUUUAUUGUUGAUUAAAGAAAAAGAUGUACAAUAAAUAGGGGCAUAUAUGUAAAAAAAUAAUUAAUGUAGUCGGAAAUAAAAAAUGAAUUUUAUAAAAAAGAACAAAAAAAAAAUCUCAAAAGCGUCUUAUAAUUAGGGACGGAUUUAGAAUGGGAAAUUUGAGCUAAAUUAUGGGCUAUCUUUAUACAAAUUCUAGGGAUAGAUUGCACUGCCAUUUGUCAAAAUGCCAUUGGAGGGAUUGGACUUCCUGGUGGGACCUUUUUCAACUAUGAUGAGUUUUGACUUUUGACUAUAAAUGCUUGAUCGAUAUCCAUAUAGUCUCCCGUGAUCACCCAUUUUCCUGUUUCUUAAGAAAUCAUUAUCCAUGUCGUCUUCAACCUCCAAAACCAAAUGGAUCUACGAAGUGUUCAUAAAUUUUAGGGGGGAAGAUACUCGUAGCAAUUUCGUUUCUCAUCUUUAUGCAACCCUUUCAAAUGCUGGAAUUAACACUUUUCUUGACGAUGAGAAUCUUGAAAAGGGAAAGGAGCUGGGACCAGAAUUAUUGCGAGCAAUACAAGGUUCUCAAAUAAUCAUUGUUGUUUUCUCCAAAAAUUAUGUUCAAUCUAGUUGGUGUCUUGAUGAACUCGAACAAAUCAUGGAGUGCCACAAAAGUACGGGUCAAGUUGUUAUGCCCGUAUUUUAUGGUGUUACUCCUUCAUUUAUACGUGAAUAUGCUAGCCAAACUUUUGGGGAAGCUAUCGUUAGCAAAACAAAUCAUUUCGUCCUCCAUAAUUCGGAUCCGAGGAAAAAUCCACGAAAUAAGGCACAAGGCGAUGAUCAUUAUAGGUAUUUUUUUUACUAAGAUAUUUUUUACUAUGAUAAUUAUAGGUAAAUGUCUAUUUUUGUUAGAGGUAUGGUAAAUGUCAUCGUGAGUUUAACGGUAUGAACUCUGAACAAUGUAUAAUAUAUGUAAGGUCUGAGGUUCAGACUAUGGCCACCACAAAAAAAAAAAAAACGGUAUGGUAAAAAAAAAAUUUGUCAAGUACUCGUAGCUGGAGCUCACAUAUUUUAAAUGUGGAGAUGUAUGAUAAAUAAAUGUUUAAUAAUAAAAAUAUGUGUUAUUUCCGUAGUAGCACAAUGGAUAUUUCAAAUCUAAAAAAAAUAUGUGUUAUUAGAUUUCUUACUUACAGGUAAAUGCCUCUUUUUUUAGGGGUGUGGUAAAUGUCUAAACGUAAAAAUACGUGUUAUUAGGUUUCUUACAAAUUUACUAAAUUUUAUUUUUGAUUAUAAAAUAUUUCUGGUAAUAGAAAAAGUUUCCAAAGAAAAGGGUGUAAAAUUAAAGUUUCUCGGAGAUGGAAAUAAUAUCUGUAUAUUUUCAUAAAAGUUAUUUUUAAGAAUAAAUAUAGUAAACUUGAAUGUCUAUUACCAAUUUGUAAAUUAUUAUUUGACAAAUAAUCCGUCCAUUUUAAAAUGGAUGUCUCUUAAGAUUUUUACACACAUAUUAAAAAAUAUAAAUUAUAAUGAUUAAAAGGAAGAUAAUAUCUAUUUUUAUCAAAUUAUCCUUAUCAACUAUUGAUUUCAUUUUUAUUAUCAUAAAUGCAAAGUAAAAGUAAUGUUUUGGGAGUAGUGUGUAUAAGGGUACGAUUGAAAAUAUGUAAUUAAUAUUGCAUUGGAAAUCAAAAGUGACAUUCAUUUUAAAACAAUUUUUUUUACUAAAAUGACACUCAUUUUAAAACGGAGAGAGUAGUAAAUUAAUAUGUGUUCUAAAAUGUCUGAUCAAUUUUCAAUAAAUCAAUAAUUAUUUUAUUCACCUAUACUCUACUCCCUUUAGACUCAUAAAUAAUUGUUUUUUUUUUUUUUUACCAAAAAAUAAAAAAUAAUAAUUGUUUUUAAGUUCAUUGAAAUAAACCUAAAAAAAAUCUUUUCUUAUAUAUGAGACUAGAUUGAGUAAUUAACGGUACUUCUUUCACUUUCGAUUUCAUGUAUUUCACAUCCCAUUUAUUAUAAAUAUGAAUACACCAGCGCAAAAUAAAUUUGUUAAUCUAGAUAAAUUAGUCAACUAAAUCUUUUAUUUCUAGAUAAAUUUGUCUUUUGAAAAAUAUUUAUUGUUGCUGCAAUUAUGUAAAGCCGUGACAGGCUGAAAAUUUCAGAAAAGAAAGAUUCACUUGAGCAAGCACUCGGGGAUGCUUCGAUCUUGGCUGGUUGGGAUAUGGAUAAUUACAGGUAAAUGUUUAUAGUAUUAUGUUUUGUUUAGUAUACUUGUAGCAAUGAUAAGAAUUCCGCUCUUCUUCCAACAAAAAUCACUUGUUCCCAAUUGAAAUAUCCACUAAUAAACUCACGCACCUUAUGCCUACAAUGUGAGUUAACUCACGCACCUUUGAACAGUGGCAACGAGACUUAACUCAAGCACCUUUGGUUGGUGGCGUGAGUUAGAUCACGCAAUUUUGGUCGAUGGUCUAUGCACAAAGAACACAUUUUUUUGGACGUGGUCACUUAUUCAAACUUGGUUUUACUCGAUUUUUACAAGUUUUUACACGUUUUUUUAUUGUAUUUAGUGUAGUUAAAACCUAUCUAAGACAUUCCCCCUAUAAAUACCCUUCCAACCUUCACCAUUUCUCACACCAUCAUCUCACACUCUCUCCUCCUCUUCCUUCUACAACAACAAUGUUUUUCCAUUCUUUGCCUUUCUUAGAAAGAUUCAUCUUUGAAAAUUUCAGGGAUUGUAUGAACGGUCAAUGAAAAUGGCAACACACUGUGUCGCGUCAUUUUUGGAGAUCAAGGCUAUUUGAUUAGCUUUUGACUCACUAAUUAUUUCACGACUGAACAUUUAAUUUUUAAGGAAAAGGGGAAAAAAGUUCAAAACACCCCAUAUUGAAAAGAUUUAGGGUUCGGGGGUUAGUUACAUAAAGGGAAGGUAUUAGCACCCUUUACGUCCGUAGUACUCUACGGGAACCUCUUGGUUUUAUUUAAUUUAAUGUGCUAUAACUUGCUUGCUUUUGAAAAAGAAGUUAAUGUGAUGAUUAAAAGAAAAAGAAAGUGAGACCUAAUUUAUCUACAUUUUUUAUUGUUUGGAAGGACGAGUGUCCUCUGCCUACGUACCCGUGAAGGAUCAAAACCUCGUAGUUCGGGGUAGAAAAUGACGCUUGAUUGGUUUUGUGUUUUUUUAUUAGUUUUUGAAAAAGGUUUUAAAGAUAAAAGCCAAGUGGCAAAUAAGAAUUUGUUUGUGUUUUUUAAUUUAAAUGAAAAUAAACUCAAGGUAGAAUUAAAUUGAUUGAUGUUUGAUUAAGAAAAGAAAAUAAAGAUGCGGUCACUUGAUUUGGAUCAAGGUUUAUUAUAAAAAAUAUUUUUUGUGAUUUUUUUUUUGGUUAUUUGCAUGUUUUGUGAUUUUUUUGAAAAUAUUUAAACUAACGGAGCAUAAAGAAUAAAAGCGUGGCUACCCUAAGUUAGAAAUAUAAAAUCUAUGACUAUUACAUAAAAACCUAUUUACAUUCUAAGGUCUGCAAUAAAAUUAAAAUGCUAAGAAAAAUAAAUAAAUACGAAAAAGAAUAAAAAAAGGUCCAAACACAUGGUGGGGUGCAGUGGUAAACAGGGGUGUGCAGAAAGCAGAAAAAAAAAGGAUUGGGCUCAAGGAAAAUGAACCGGGUUGCGGGUCAUGGGUCAUGGGUCGUGGGUUGACCCGUUUGGGGGGUAUAUAAGGGCUGUUGGGCCCUUUUUCUUUCAUUUUUCUUUUUCCUUUCUCUCUCUUCCUCACCGGUUCUCUCUCUUCUUCUCUGUUCUCUCUCUAACUCUCUUCUUCUCCGGCGGAGUGGGGUGGGGGUUCCGGCGGGAUUCCGGCGCGGUGGCCGGCGAGCCAUCGCGGCUGCGCCGCCGCGCCGGAGCUAAAAAAACUCCCCCUUUUUUAUUUUUUCGCUCUUUCUCUUCCUCUUUUCCCCCCUUACGUGAUACUAAACCCAAAAAUCCCAAAACCUUUACUCAAACGUCUAGAUCUAAAAAGAAAGAAAUUUAUACCUUUUUGUUUUUUUGUUGAUCCGGUUUCGUGAUGUGAUUGUCGCUGUUGUGACGGUUUGUGCGCCUCUGUGUGUGCGUGUAUGUGCUGUGUUGUGUUGCCCGCGGCCGUAUUCCCGUUUCUGUGCACGUGCGUGUGUUGUGGCGUGGACUGGUGCGUGUGUGUUGUGCGCGGACUGGUACGGUUUGGACUAGUGCGUGGCGUGAGUUGUUGGCUUGUGCGACUGUGUUGUUGCUUGUGCGACUGUGUGUUUGGCUCUUCUUGCUGCUUCUGUUGUUUGUGGCCUCUUUUUUUCGUUCUGCUGCGUUUUUUGUUGUGUUUUUAAUUGUUGUGCAGGUCUCUAUUUAUAGAGUGGGUUUGAAGCUUGAAUUUGUUACUGAUGAGCACAAAAUCAGUGGCUUGUGGAGGAGAAAAAAGGAAAUGUGUCUGUUUGUUACUGGAUUUGUUUCAGAGGAAGCGUGAAUCCGGAUUUGGAUUAGAAUGGAAAAGGAACAGAACGUGUAUAAGGAUUGAGAUGAAUUUGGACUAUUUUGUUGGACUUAUUUUUGGACAAUUUUGGGAUUUUAAUUAAAAAGAAAAAAUUAAAAAUAAAAAAAGGAUAAUGUCUAUAUUUUUGGUUUUUAAAAAGGAAAAUUUAAAAUGGGAAUAAAAGGAAUUUAAUCUAAAUUGGACUAAAAUUAAAAUUAGAGUUCUAAAUUAAAAAUUUAAAAGAUGGAAAUAAAUAAUUAAAGACUGAGAGAAGAGGGCCCGAUUCGGAACUUUAUGAGGUAUUUCAAAAUACCUCCCUGCCGAAUUUUUCACUGAAAUGCGAGUCUGGUCCGAGUUCGGAGACGUGUGUCAGUGGGACCUUAGGUCAAAAUUUGGGGUAUGACAGAUGCCCCUAUUUAAGUUUCUUCGCUCAGAGAUUCGAAGGUAAAAUCCUUGACUCGACGAGCCGAAGAGACUUAAAUACAAAAGUGCACCAAUUUUGACCUAAGAGGUUUAUGAAUGCUCAUGAUUUAAUUAUGAAUGCAUGAUGAUAAUGACGGCUCGACUGGAAUGAAAAGACACUAGGAUACCCAAAUUCUUUGAAGAAAGGGAUCCGACUUUACUGGGGAAUCUGGUUUCACUGGGGAAAAUGGUUGUUCCUCAUUGUUUCGACAUCUCGAAACAAAGUGCAAUGGUUCAGACCUCCAUGUCUAUUUGUGGACUUGGUUUUGAAAAUGGAAAAAAGAAAGAUACAAGCUUUUUGUUGGUUGAAAUUGGCCACUUGUCACAGAUUGUUCGUUGGUUGGAACUGGUUGCUGAGCAUAAAGAUAAAAGAUUGGCUCGAGUUGUUCGUUUGUUGGAACUAGUUGCUCGGAAGGUAAAAGACAUUGGCAUAGGCUAUUCGUUUGUUGGAAUCGGUCGCUGGGCAUAAAGAUAAAAUAUUGUCAUGAGUUGUUCGUUCGUUGGAACUGGUUGCUCGAAAGGGAAAGAACUGACAUAGGCUAUUCGUUUGUUGGAAUCGGUCGCUUGAAACAUAAGUUGUUCGUUGGUUGGAACUGGUUACUUAAAAUAAAGACACAAGCUGUUCGUUGGUUGGAACUUGGUCGCUUGAAAAGUUUGGAUUGGUGACAUCUCUAGAACAGCUAUGCUGGGGAUGAUACCUGGAGUUUGAAGUUGACAUCGAGAUCAACUAGCGCCAUGACUAGUACGGCCUUCUGCCGGGGAUGUCACUUCGAAACUAAAAUUGAAAUUGACUUUGAUUAGUGGCAUGACUUAGCACGGUUUUUCGCCGGGCAUGACACCUUUGAAUUUUGAAAUUGAGAUUGACAUUGAUUAGUGACAUAACUAGCACGGCUUUACGCCGGGGAUGACACUUUUGAAUUUGAAAUUGAAAUUGACAUUGAUUAGUGACAUAACUAGCACGGCUUUACGCCGGGGAUGACACUUUUGAAUUUGAAAUUUGAAAUGGAAGACGCUCAUUUGUAGAAACUUGCGGCUUGACACAAUGGUAAGCUUUGACUGAUGCGAUUAUGUGUGAAUUGAUGUUAUGCAUAUGUCGUGUACGCGUAAACGUAUGAUCAUGUGAAAAUUUUGGUGAAUGCAUGAUUGUAUGAAUGUAUGGAUAUGUGAAUGUACAUGACACGUGAAUCGAUGAACCGAGACAAGACAGGUAAGAUGGGAGUCGGACCGACAUUGUAUUCCAAACACUCGGCAACCUUCCUUGGAGAUGAUAUUAUUGUGAGCAAAUCGAGCCGUUGAUGGCGUAAGAACCUGGCACUUAGGUAGCCACCGAUGCCUCCUGGGGGGUGAGCCCAUUGUCGAUGAAAGAAGUCUGAAGAAGUCGCUAUUUGUAAAUCGGCACAGAGUGUCCUUCCAUUGGUAUGCUUCAGCAGUCAUACCUUUUGUUUUUUAAACGAAAAUCCCUAAUUUUUGCCUGGACCGCCCUUUCGGGUUUUCAGUCCACCGGGAAUAUUUUUGUUUUGCCCCUAAUUUUUGCCUGGACCGCCCUUUCGGGUUUUCAGUCCACCGGGACGCCCUCUGUUGCCUAAGUCGCCUUUUCAGGUUUUCAACUUAGCGAGCUUUUUUUGUAUUAUUUUUGUAUUUGUUUAUUCAGAGACUUUCCUUAGUGUCGAGCCACACUUUUAGCGGGAUCUAACCUCUCUUGAGUUGAUAUAUGCCUUUCUUACUCCCGAGUGCCAAGUUGUAUCUAUUUGUUUAUGCUUUUUAUUAUAUAAACCCUUUUUAGAAAUCUAUUUCAAAGUAUUAUCAUCAGUAAAAGAGAAAAAAAAAAAAAAAAAAAAAAAAAAAAAAAAAAACGAGAAACAAAACAAGUAGGAGUCAAAAGAGAGGUAAAGGCUCAAAGUUUAUUAAUCGAGUGACGCUAUGCCAAUGGCAUGACUUCAUGGAGUUAUUUACAAAGUUUGAAAAGAAAUGGUAAUUUAAAAUGGAAAGGUACGUUGAACUUCAUAACCCUAUCGUUCUCUAGCAACUUUGAAAUCCGUUAUCUUGUGGCUCGAAUGUUUUUGAUAUCAGGUAUGCCCCAAGUGUAUCUGUGUUCGACUGGAUGCAGUUACUUUGUCUCUAUUUUCCCUUUUUUUUUUUUUUUUUUUUUUUUUUUUUUUUUUUAAAAAUCCUUAAUUUUUGCAUAGACUGCCCUUUCGGGUUUUCACUCUAUCAGGAUAAUGAUCUCUGUUUAUUGUCUCUAAUUUUUGCCUGGACCGCCCUUUUCGGGUUUUCAGUCCACCGAGACGCUCAUUUUUGCCUAAGUCGCCCUUUUCGGGUUUUCGACUUACCGAGCUGUUCUUUUAAAAUUUUUAGACAAAGUAUUUCUUGACUGCAUCUGUGUUCACAGGUCGUGGAAGUUCUUCACCGUCCAUGGUUUGUAGAGUCAUGGCACCACCUGAGAAGGCUCUUUUAACAACAUACGGACCUUCAUAAUUAGGAGCCCACUUGCCUCGGGAGUCUGGUUGGAAAGAGAAAAUCUUUUUGAGCACGAGAUCACCUUCUUUAAACUCACGGGGACGAACUUUCUUGUCAAAGGCCUGCUUCAUCCUUUUUUGAUAUAAUUGUCCGUGACAUAGGGCUGUCAUGCGCUUUUCUUCAAUUAGAUUCAACUGGUCGUAUCUAUUCUGAACCCAUUCAGCUUCCGAUAAGUCAGCCUCCAUUAAGACUCUCAAUGAUGGAACUUCGACUUCUACAGGGAGUACUGCCUCCAUGCCAUAUACCAGGGAAAAAGGAGUUGCCCCUGUUGAUGUGCGUACAGAAGUACGAUAUCCAUGUAAUGCAAAGGGAAGCAUUUCAUGCCAAUCUUUAUAAGUCACCACCAUCUUCUGGACAAUCCUCUUUAUAUUCUUGUUCGCAGCUUCGACAGCACCAUUCAUUUGAGGUCUGUAAGGUGAAGAGUUAUGGUGCUCGAUCUUGAAAUCAUCACACAAUUCUUUCAUCAUCUUGUUGUUUAGAUUUGUUCCGUUGUCGGUGAUGAUCCGGUUGGGGAUGCCAUAGCGACAAAUGAUAUGAUUCUUGAUAAAUUUGACCACUACUUGUUUGGUCACGUUGGCAUACGAUGCGGCCUCAACCCACUUAGUGAAGUAGUCAAUAGCCACUAGGAUAAAACGGUGUCCAUUUGAAGCUUUGGGCUCAAUCCUUCCGAUCAUGUCAAUGCCCCACAUAGAGAAAGGCCACGGAGAGGAAAGCAAAUUGAGUGUAGUUGGCGGCAUAUGAAUCUUGUCGGCGUAUAUCUGGCACUUGUGACACUUUCUGGUAUGCUUGUAGCAAUCUGAUUCCAUUGUCAUCCAGUAGUAGCCUGCUCGCAAUAUCUUUUUAGCCAUUGUGUGCCCAUUAGGAUGAAUUCCGAAGGAUCCUUCGUGUAUUUCAUGUAUCAAUAAAUCAGCUUCAUAUUUGUCUACACAUCUGAGCAAGACCGUGUCAAAGUUUCUUUUGUACAAGAUAUCCCCAUUCAGGAAGAAAUUACUAGAUAAUCUUCUGAGAGUCUUCUUAUCUUUGUUGGAUGCUCCAGGAGGAUACUCUCGAGUUUGGAGAAACACCUUAAUAUCAUGAAACCAAGGUUUAUCGUCGAAAACUGCUUCAGCGGCAAACACAUAAGCGGGUCUAUCAAGGAAUUUGACACUGAUUAGUGGCACGUCAUUGUGAUGAUUCACCUUGAUCAUUGAAGACAAAGUAGCCAAGGCAUCCGCCAUCUGAUUCUCAUCCCGAGGAAUAUGAUGUAAUUCCACUUUGUUGAAGAAGGUCAAUAAGCGUCUUGCAUAGUCUCGAUAAGGUAUUAGUCCUGCGUGAAGAGUUUCCCAUUUUCCUUUGAUCUGGUUGAUUACAAGAGCUGAAUCUCCAUAUAUUUCGAUGUUCUUGAUUCUUAGAUCAAUGGCUUCUUCAAUACCCAUGAUGCAGGCCUCAUAUUCAGCGAUGUUGUUUGUGCAGUCAAACCGGAGUCUUGCUGUGAAAGGGAUGUGAGUACCCUUAGGAGUAAGGAGUACUGCUCCUAUGCCGUUGCCGUAUACAUUGACAGCCCCAUCAAAUAUCAAACCCCACACUGAAUCUGGAUCAGGACCUUCUCCGAAUAGUGGCUCGUCGCAAUCUUUCAUUUUUAAAUACAUAAUCUCUUCAUCAGGAAAGUCAAACUUGAUAGGUCGAUAGUCUUCAAGUGGUUGGUGAGCUAAGUGAUCAGCAAGAAUACUGCCUUUAAUUGCCUUCUGGGAACGGUACUCGAUAUCAUAUUCAGAUAGUAGCAUCUGCCACCGUGCAAUCCUUCCUGUCAAAGCGGGCUUCUCAAAUAUGUACUUGAUUGGAUCCAUUUUAGAUACCAGCCACGUAGUGUGAUUAAUCAUAUAAUGACGGAGGCGUUUGGCAGCCCAGGCUAGAGCACAACACGUCUUCUCGAGCAUGGAGUAGCGAGAUUCACAUUCAGUAAACUUCUUGCUUAAAUAAUAAAUGGCGUGCUCUUUUCUUCCGGUUUCAUCUUGUUGUCCGAGCACACAACCCAUGGAAUUUUCUAACACUGUUAGGUACAUGAUCAAAGGUCUCCCUUCAACUGGAGGGAUGAGAAUCGGUGGUUCUAGCAAGUACUUCUUUAUGCUGUCAAAAGCCUUCUGGCAUUCUUCGGUCCAUACAAUACCUUGUUCUUUGCGGAGUAGUUUGAAUAUCGGCCCACAAGUUGCAGUCAUAUGAGAAAUGAACCGGGAGAUGUAAUUUAGUCGUCCAAGAAAACCCCUUACUUCUUUUUCUGUUCUCGGAGCAGGCAUCUCUCUGAUGGCUUUGACUUUGUCAGGGUCUACUUCGAUGCCUUUCUGGCUGACGAUGAAACCUAGAAGCUUUCCGGAUCUGACACCAAAAGUGCAUUUGUUGGGAUUUAAACGAAGUUUGUACUUCCUCAGGCGCUGGAACAUCUUCUGUAGAUACUUGACAUGGUCUUCUUCAGUAAUCGACUUGACUAUCAUAUCAUCCACAUAGACCUCAAUCUCUUUAUGUAUCAUAUCGUGGAAAAGAGUAGUCAUACCCCUCUGAUAAGUAGCUCCUGCAUUGAUUAAACCGAACGGCAUUACUUUGUAGCAAAAAGUGCCCCAAGGUGUAAUAAAUGAUGUUUUCUCUCUAUCUUCGGGUGCCAUCUUGAUUUGAUUAUAACCGGAGAAUCCAUCCAUGAAUGAGAAGACUUUAGACUUGGCAGUACUGUCAACCAACACGUCAAUAUGAGGUAAAGGAAAGUCGUCUUUUGGGCUAGCUUUGUUUAAAUCACGGUAGUCAACACACAUUCUGACCUUACCAUCUUUCUUUGGAACAGGCACUAUGUUAGCUAACCAUUGGGGGUAAUUUGAUGUGACGAGGAAACCUGCGUCGAUCUGCUUCUGUACCUCUUCUUUGAUUUUGAGAGCCAUGUCAGGACGUGUUCUUCUCAAUUUUUGUUUGACUGGCGGACACUCAGGUUUCAACGGUAGGUGAUGCACCACAAUAUCAGUGUCUAGACCCGGCAUAUCUUGGUAGGACCAGGCAAACACAUCAACAUAUUCUUUGAGGAGCUCUAUCACUUGCUUUUUAACACUUGUUUCGAGCGAUGCCCCAACCUUGAUUUCUUUCUUGUCUUCUUUGGUGCCCAAAUUAAUCACUUCUAAUUCGUCCCCAUAAGGCUGAAUGGUCUUCCUCUCUUGUUCGAGUAGUCGAGAGAUUUCGUCAGGGAUCUCUUCAUUCUCUUCUUCCUCCGUUUCAUACACAGGGAACCCAAAGUUGGGAGAGAUCAUAGGGGUAUGUUGUUCAACGGGUUCGUCGAUUUCUAAUCUGCACAUGUGAUGGAUGAUUUUUUAGAAAAAAGAUACAUGCAGAUUUUUUUGAAAAUUCAUGUUGGGUUUUUUGUAUUACCACUUUUCAGAAAAGCAUAAAAGAAAAUGAGACAAAACAUCGGGAAAAAAAACGACAUUUUUAUUUUAUUGAUGAUAAUUUCUUGAAAUAAAAAAAAAGCCCUAGAUAAGUUCACUUUCGCUUGGGGCGGGGCGAAAGGAUUUUUUUGAAAAGAAAAGCAUAAACUAGACAAAUGCAUUACUUGGACAAGUGAGUAACAAAAGGAACAUCUACGGCAACCCAAUUGUGGCUGGAUACUCCUGGCGUUAUAAAACCUCGUGGCACACUUUCAGGACCAUCUUCAAUGAUUGCAUGGAUAAAGCCCGAACUGUGGAAAGCGCCCUUCUUCGCUGUGGACAAACCAGUAGAUGGGAAGAAACCCAAACCUUCUCGGUGCUUGUUUUCUGGAAGCUCUAUCAGCUUUCCCCAGCUUGUGGACCCCCCUGCUUGUAUGACCUUCUGAGCAUCUUUUAGGGACGAGAUAGAGGCUUCAUUCUUCUGGGUAUUCUUAUCUUCUAUAGUAAACCCUUGAAAAGGUGUCCCUUCGACAUCGUCUGCCCCAAUGAAAGAGAAAGAUGACAAAUGACUCACCAAUAAAGCCUCUUCACCGUUUACAGUUACUAGCUUCCCAUUCUUUACAAACUUCAGCUUUUGAUGCAGCGUGGAUGUGACAGCUCCUGCUUCGUGAAUCCAGGGUCGACCCAGUAAGCAACUAUAUGAAGCUUGAAUGUCCAUGACUUGAAAAUUAACUUGAAAAACUUGUGGCCCAACUGUGAUAGGUAGAACCACCUCACCAAGGACAUCCUUCCUCGAGCCAUCAAAAGCUUUCACCAUUACCCCACUUCGUCUUAAAGGUGCGCCUUGGUAAGCGAGUUGGGUAUAAGUUGUUUUGGACAACACGUUCAAAGAUGAUCCAGUAUCCACCAGUACAUUUGACAAAGCAUCGGUUUUACAGUUCACAGAUAUAUGCAGCGCCCGAUUGUGGUUCCUUCCUUCUGCUGGGAGCUCUUCAUCACUGAAACUCAAGUUGUUGCAUGCAGUGAUGUUCCCUACUAUUCCGCCAAACUGACCCACCGUUACAUCAUAAUCCACAAAAGCUUGUUCUAAAACCUUCAUUAAUGCAUCUUUAUGGGCCUCAGAAUUUAGUAAUAAAGACAUUAUGGAUAUUUUGGAUGGAGUCUGCAUCAGUUGGUCAACAACCUUGUAUUCGCUCUUCUUUAUUAACUUGAGAAUCUCAUCAAACUCUGCACUUGUACCAGCCCCAUUGGGUUGAUCCACUUCUUUGGCGAUACCAGCAUCUUUAGUCCGAACCUCCUUGUUUACUGUAGCAUCAAUCCUCCUUGGGAACACUAUGGGGACAACGCGCCCAUUUCUCAAAACUCUGCUGUCUUCAACAAUAUUAUCCACACUGGACAGAGGCGGUAUUGGAACCUCGCGACCCUCUUCAAUCAUGGUGGCAUUGUAUUUGUAUGGAACGGCUUUUUCAGAAACAUAUGGCAGUGGACCUGGUAAGCAGAUUACCAGAGGGGUGAUAGUUGACUUUCGACUGUCGUAAAAUACCUCCAAAGGUCCUUCGGGAGUUAUUGCACACACAUCAUCGCACUUCCUUUCGACCACAAGCUCUCCUCGGUCUAGAAGCCCUUGAAUAUCAUUUCUUACUUUCUGACAUCCUCCGGAGUUCAUAAGGCAUAUUUCACAGAGAUCAUGAUCAUGCUCGAAAAGGUCGACUUUGCAUAACUUGGCAUGUAACGGAACCAAGGGUGUUCUGAUAUGUUGAACAUCCUGAAUGGGACGAGUCUUUUGACAAUCUUCGAUCAUGUUGACUGUUGCGGCACCAUGAUUCGGCAAUGGGUUUGUUUGAACAUUUGGCGCCGAAUCUGUGAAAGUUAUUUUUCCAUCAUUGAUCAACCUCUGCACUGUGCUUUUAAAGGCAUAACAAGUUUCAAUGUUAUGGCCACGGCCCCCUUCAUGGAAGUCACAAGUUUGGUCAAGUCUAUACCAAGAUGGUAGUUUUUCUGGGAUAGGAGGAGCUGUUCUGGUUUGGACAAGGUUUUUCUGGAGUAAGCCGGGAAGUAAUUCUGCAUAGGUGACCGGUAUUGGGUUAAUCGGCAUUCUUGGUGGUCGAGGUUGUUGUGGGCGUUGUUGAUAAGGUUGUUGUUGGAAAUUUUGUUGAGGGUAUUGUUGAUAUGGGAAUUGUUGGUAUGGUUGUUGUUGGUAUGGUUGUUGUUGGAAAUUUUGUUGUUGGACAUUUUGUGGUUGGACAUUUUGUGGUUGGACAUUUUGUGGUGAAGGAUUUUGUGGGAAUUGAGGAUAUUGUGGUAUUUGAGGAUGGUUAUUUGUUUGUUGAAAAGGGUGAGAGGUGGGUGUGAUGGCAGCAAUGUGUUGAUAGGCUGGAUAAGUUUGUUGAGGCCCUCCAUGAGUCACCAUACCGACUUCUUGUUCUUUCUUCCUCGGGAAAUGGUUCCCGGUCUUCUUGGUCCCACUGGCCGGAGUUGUAUUCUUUACUAAGCGUCCUUCUCGGACUCCUUCUUCUAACUGUACUCCCAUACCAACCAUCUCCGCGAAGCUCUUUGGUGUACUCCCGACCAUCUUUUUGUAAUAAAAAUGAUUCAAAGUUUUUAGGAAGAGCUUGGUCAUCUCUUUCUCCUCAAUUCGUGGGCUGACUUGGGCAGCGGUGUCUCUCCACCGUUGGGCAUACUCUUUGAACGUCUCUUUAUCUCCCUGAGUCAUGGCUUGGAGAUCACUUCGGUCCGGAGUCAUGUCUACAUUGUAACUGUACUGUUCCACAAAAGCUUCGCAAAGGUCACGGAAAGUUUGAACUCUUGUUUUGUCUAGGUUUGUGUACCACUUUGAAGCAGGGCCGGUCAAGCUUUCUUGGAAAUAGUAAAUAAGAAUCUGAUCAUCUUGGGCGUAUGCUGGCAUCCUUCUCACAUACAUUUUUAGAUGUUCCUCAGGACAAGAACUCCCUUUGUAUUUCUCGAAAUCUGGAAUCUUGAAUUUGUGAGGUACCUGCACACUUGGUACCAAACAGAGAUCGUACGCAGUCUUCCCGAAUUUCCCUUUUUCAUGGAGAGCUUUCAUGUCUCGGCGUAGUUCAUCAUACUUCUCUCGUAGGUCACUUACCUCCCCGUAAGCCUCUGCAUUCCCUGAAUGAAAGAUAGGCUCUUCAGCUUGCGGAAUUGUAUGCAUCACGGGUGCUGAGUAGGUUAUGGUGGCGGGAGUGGCCCUCAUGGCAGGUAGGGGUACUUGAGCCGUGUACUGGUGAGUGGGCAUCUGAGCUUCACAAGUGAUAGGACGAAAUAUCUCCCCAGCAGUGAAAGGUGGAAACCAAGGCGUGGAACGUUGCGGAGCGGACUGCGUUGGAGUGUCAGCACAUAGUGUCCAAGAAGAAGAUGCCUCGGCCUGAGUUCUGACAGGAGGAGGAGGUGGAGGUGCUUGUGAUCGGGCCUGCGCCUGAGCUUGAGUUUGAGCUUGUGCCAAUGCUUGCGCUUGUUCUUGAAUCUGUGCUUGAGCUUGAGUCUGAGCUUCCGCCAUUGUUUUUAUUAAUUCAGCCAUCUCGUCCAUCCUAGUCUGCAUGGCUGUCAUUUCUUCACGAAGUACCCGAUUUUCCUGCUCAAGAUAAUCCAUCUUCUUUUUUACGUUUGCCCGAGUGUAGUGAGUACGGGUUGACUUGUAGAUGAUACGUGGGGCCACCGUAUGAAACGAGUUGACCCUUUUUCUGGAAAAGGAAGUUUGUGUGAGACUUUGAUUUGAGACUAUGAAAUGCAGGAUGAUGCAUGAUUGUUUAUGCAAAAAUGGACGUAUAUUUUUUUUAUCGAAGGACUUAUGAAAGUAUUUUUGUAAAUAUCAUAGUUGAGAGUUCCAUUUGAAUAAUUUACAUAUUACGAGAUAAUUCCCUUUCUAAACAACGAAACCAAGGGAUAGACUUUGCAAAUAAAUAAGAUAAAUAUCUAACUUAAAAAAACAAAAAUAAAAGAAAGACUGGGAACUCUCAAGCUCUUUGAAGUAGACUAUUCAUCAGAAUCUGAAUGUGCAUCUUUGAAGAACUCCCAACGCUCCCCUGCGCUGAUAAAUUGUGAUAGCCUUGUGCUCUGAGCUCGGAUCUGAACAUUCUUUUUUACUAUUUGCCGUCUCAGCUUGUGAACCUCAUGCUCUUGUUGUUCUAUCUCACCACUCAUAGUUUCCAUUUUGAGCAUAGCUUCAUCAUACUUCCUCUUCCAAGUAGCACCCACACAUUCCGAUUGGGCCAACCUCUCUUGACAUUCCUCCACAGUUGCGGGGGCCAAGGGUAAAGCCGGCGCUGGGGUUGUUGAAGAUAGGUACCUCGGCAAAUGAUAUGGUAAGACCAGAUCGGAAGCUCUAUUGAUGACCCAUUGAGUGUAAGACCCCUGUAAAGAGUCUGAUCUCCUCGCCAAUUGGCUUCUAUUGAGUGUGCGAAUGGCAUGCCAUGCUUGGACAAAUCUCCCUCUUUUGUUUGAGGGAUCUUCAUGGUUGAAGUAGAAUUCACCCUGUAAGUAGAUGUUAUCUGGCUUAGCUUCCAUCGGGCAUCCGAACUGACGUUUGGCAAGGAUAGGAUUGUAGCUGAUUCCUCCUUGCGUACCGAGAAGGGGUACAUUUGAGUAUUCUCCACAACUGACAAUGAUGUUCGUGAAGUUACAAGUGGCACGGUACCAGGUUAUGUCGGAUGGGGUAAGGGACAUGAUUCUUUUGGGCCAGGAGAGAUUUUCUGGGUUGGCUUGAAAGGAGUGGGUCUGAGGUAAGUGAGAGGUAAACCAUUUGUAUAGUAAGGGUGCGCAACCAAGGAUAGCUCCACGACCUACCUGGGUUCGAUCGUGAAUGGAAUGAUAUAUAUCAGCUAACAAUGUGGGGACUGGGUUCUUUGUGAGGAAAAUUUGGAUGGCAUGGAUGUCAACAUAGUUAUCAAUAUUCGGGAACAAUACUAGGCCAUAGAUGAGUAAAGCUAGGAUAGAGUAAAAGGCCUCAACAUUGUUUGUUUUGGAAAAAUUGAAGGCUUGUUGGUAAAGAAAUUUAGUAGGUAAGCUUGGGAGAUUCCCUUUUAGGGUGAGUUUUUCUUUUAUGAGGGAGGUUUUGAGAUGGAGGGCAUUUGCAAUAGUGGCGGCUUUGGGAAAAGGUUCUAAACCAGUAAAAGGUACCUUAUCAAGUACGGGUAGGCCAAUUAAGUGAGAGUAUUCUUCGAGGGUAGGCAUAAGCUGGUAGUCAGGAAAAGUGAAACAGUGGUAAGCAGGGUCAUAGAACUGGACCAAGGUCUCCAAGCACCCCUUCUCGAUAUUUGUCCAGAGGACACCAAGCAACUUCCCAUGACGAUCACAAAAGUUCUCCAAGUUAGUUACUUCAAAUGCAAGCUUCUUUAAGUUCUCUAGAUCCAAUUUCCUGAAUGUAAACUUCCUAGUAUUUCUUCUUUCCAUGCCUAUGAUAUUUACAAAAACAAGUAUAAGCCCUUCGAUAUUUUUUGAUGAAAAAAGAUAAAAUUAUGAAUGAAUGCAUGUAUGCAUGAUUAUGCAUAGGUUAAGCUUAUCAUGUUGGAGUUUAAAGGUAGUAACCCCCAUUUGGUAAGGACUAUGGUUUCAUUUGUACCUGUAUCACGGGUUCUAUUAAGUUCCCAAAGUCAUCAACUACUUCCGAACGUUAUCAGGUUACAAGACUACUCUCGAUCCAAUAAUAUCCGUAAGAAAGUUUCAUUUGAGUGUAGUAUCGCGUAUCAACUAAUUCAAGACUACUCUUGAUUAGCCACCGCACUACGUCCUAAAAGGCUAAGAUGGGUUAAGGGUAACUAAAGGUCCUCAACUUCGACGGUCACUUGAAAAUAUAAUGCCAACACGACUAUUCAUGCCAACAUAGAUUACUUUCAAGAUUCCUCCAUUGAGUGGGGUUGUACCACAUGAACCUAAACACGAGACUUGACUCUCGGAAAGGCACUUUGGUUAUACCACCGUCCUAUCUUAUGUUUCUCUCAAGCCCGGGUGUAGGGCUUUAUCUCACCACUCAUAUUUAAAAAGAAAGGAAGAAAGAGAGAAGAUAAAAGAUAUAUACAAUUUAUUUCCAUCUUUAUUUUUUUGUUUUUUUUUUGUUUUAAGCAAGUUAUAGCACAAAGAAUUAAAUAAAGCCAAGUUAGGCUCAACCCUCUUAGGGGGGGGUCCCCAGUGAAGUCGCCAUUUCUGUCGCGUCAUUUUUGGAGAUCAAGGCUAUUUGAUUAGCUUUUGACUCACUAAUUAUUUCACGACUGAACAUUUAAUUUUUAAGGAAAAGGGGAAAAAAGUUCAAAACACCCCAUAUUGAAAAGAUUUAGGGUUCGGGGGUUAGUUACAUAAAGGGAAGGUAUUAGCACCCUUUACGUCCGUAGUACUCUACGGGAACCUCUUGGUUUUAUUUAAUUUAAUGUGCUAUAACUUGCUUGCUUUUGAAAAAGAAGUUAAUGUGAUGAUUAAAAGAAAAAGAAAGUGAGACCUAAUUUAUCUACAUUUUUUAUUGUUUGGAAGGACGAGUGUCCUCUGCCUACGUACCCGUGAAGGAUCAAAACCUCGUAGUUCGGGGUAGAAAAUGACGCUUGAUUGGUUUUGUGUUUUUUUAUUAGUUUUUGAAAAAGGUUUUAAAGAUAAAAGCCAAGUGGCAAAUAAGAAUUUGUUUGUGUUUUUUAAUUUAAAUGAAAAUAAACUCAAGGUAGAAUUAAAUUGAUUGAUGUUUGAUUAAGAAAAGAAAAUAAAGAUGCGGUCACUUGAUUUGGAUCAAGGUUUAUUAUAAAAAAUAUUUUUUGUGAUUUUUUUUUUGGUUAUUUGCAUGUUUUGUGAUUUUUUUGAAAAUAUUUAAACUAACGGAGCAUAAAGAAUAAAAGCGUGGCUACCCUAAGUUAGAAAUAUAAAAUCUAUGACUAUUACAUAAAAACCUAUUUACAUUCUAAGGUCUGCAAUAAAAUUAAAAUGCUAAGAAAAAUAAAUAAAUACGAAAAAGAAUAAAAAAAGGUCCAAACACAUGGUGGGGUGCAGUGGUAAACAGGGGUGUGCAGAAAGCAGAAAAAAAAAGGAUUGGGCUCAAGGAAAAUGAACCGGGUUGCGGGUCAUGGGUCAUGGGUCGUGGGUUGACCCGUUUGGGGGGUAUAUAAGGGCUGUUGGGCCCUUUUUCUUUCAUUUUUCUUUUUCCUUUCUCUCUCUUCCUCACCGGUUCUCUCUCUUCUUCUCUGUUCUCUCUCUAACUCUCUUCUUCUCCGGCGGAGUGGGGUGGGGGUUCCGGCGGGAUUCCGGCGCGGUGGCCGGCGAGCCAUCGCGGCUGCGCCGCCGCGCCGGAGCUAAAAAAACUCCCCCUUUUUUAUUUUUUCGCUCUUUCUCUUCCUCUUUUCCCCCCUUACGUGAUACUAAACCCAAAAAUCCCAAAACCUUUACUCAAACGUCUAGAUCUAAAAAGAAAGAAAUUUAUACCUUUUUGUUUUUUUGUUGAUCCGGUUUCGUGAUGUGAUUGUCGCUGUUGUGACGGUUUGUGCGCCUCUGUGUGUGCGUGUAUGUGCUGUGUUGUGUUGCCCGCGGCCGUAUUCCCGUUUCUGUGCACGUGCGUGUGUUGUGGCGUGGACUGGUGCGUGUGUGUUGUGCGCGGACUGGUACGGUUUGGACUAGUGCGUGGCGUGAGUUGUUGGCUUGUGCGACUGUGUUGUUGCUUGUGCGACUGUGUGUUUGGCUCUUCUUGCUGCUUCUGUUGUUUGUGGCCUCUUUUUUUCGUUCUGCUGCGUUUUUUGUUGUGUUUUUAAUUGUUGUGCAGGUCUCUAUUUAUAGAGUGGGUUUGAAGCUUGAAUUUGUUACUGAUGAGCACAAAAUCAGUGGCUUGUGGAGGAGAAAAAAGGAAAUGUGUCUGUUUGUUACUGGAUUUGUUUCAGAGGAAGCGUGAAUCCGGAUUUGGAUUAGAAUGGAAAAGGAACAGAACGUGUAUAAGGAUUGAGAUGAAUUUGGACUAUUUUGUUGGACUUAUUUUUGGACAAUUUUGGGAUUUUAAUUAAAAAGAAAAAAUUAAAAAUAAAAAAAGGAUAAUGUCUAUAUUUUUGGUUUUUAAAAAGGAAAAUUUAAAAUGGGAAUAAAAGGAAUUUAAUCUAAAUUGGACUAAAAUUAAAAUUAGAGUUCUAAAUUAAAAAUUUAAAAGAUGGAAAUAAAUAAUUAAAGACUGAGAGAAGAGGGCCCGAUUCGGAACUUUAUGAGGUAUUUCAAAAUACCUCCCUGCCGAAUUUUUCACUGAAAUGCGAGUCUGGUCCGAGUUCGGAGACGUGUGUCAGUGGGACCUUAGGUCAAAAUUUGGGGUAUGACACACUGCAAAGAAGAUUGACAUCGAAUGUCUUUUUCGCAUUAGACAAGAAACAUACCUUACCUGGGAGGGUUUCCUUUUACCCUAAGAGGGUUUCUUUUUACCCCAAGAGGGGUAAAAAGUUCUUGGGGUCAAAAGAAGCAGAUUUAGUACUACCCAGGGUUUCUUAUAAUAGAAAUUUUUGCUUUACCCCUUCACCUUCAUGUUCUUCUGAAGUAGAUUUAGUAUGAUCCUAAUCCCCCUUCCCUAGACAAGAAACAUAUCUUUUUGUAAAUGUAUCAAUUAUAUUAAUAAAAUGAGAUUUUAUGUGCUAUAUUUUUGUUUUUUAUUUAUAUUUGCAUUUAUUUUAUGAUUUUGGCAUCUAAAUAAAAGUUGUGUAUUUAAUAAAUAAAUUCGAAUAAAGACUAAUUAAACCCAUCAUGAAUUUGAAUAAAAAUUGCAUAUUGAAUAAAUAAAUUUGAAUAAAGUCAAUUCAAAUAAAAGUAGCAUAUUGAAUAAAUAAAUUCUAAUACAAACUAAUUAAACCCAGCAUGAAUUCGAAUAAAAAUUGUGUAUUGAAUAAAUAAAUUCGAAUAAAGUGACACAAGUACACAAAAUCAAUUAAAAAAAUACACAAUUUUAUUUAGUUUUAAUUUCAUCUACAUUAUUUUAUCCCUAAAUAUAUGUGGUAUCAUCAUGAUGUUGGAUUUAAAUUUAAUUCUUGAAAGUUUGCUAAAAAAGUUGGCAUGGAAGUGUCGUAUACUUCGGGUAGAGAUUUGCAACACCUUUGAAAAGUCAAAAGAAUGAAGAGAACACAACACAUGUGUAACACCCCGUUUUCCCAACAUAAAAAUUUCACAUAAAUAAUCAUAGUAUUCACAUAAACGGAAUGUCACACUUCUUUCGUAAAUUAUAAUCGGGAUAAAAUUACUAUUUAUCCUUCAAAAUUCAAUAGCAUAAUCAUUUCAAACUUCGCAGCGGAAUUAUUUCAACAUUUAAACAGUCUUUGGUACGAAGGCCUCAUCAUAAUAUCUCAUAUGCUUAAAUAUGCAAACUGUCCCUGUAAAAAAAAAAAAAAUUAAUUACAUCCCUGUAAUUUUUUUUUUUGUUUUAAAAAUGUCCUUGGCCCCACUUCGCUGGUGAUGUGGCAACGUUUUGGGCCACGUGGCAGUUGCUGACUAGGCAACUGAUGCCACGUGGCAGUCCAUAUAAUUAAAAAAUUAAAAUUAUUUUUUUAAAUUUAAAAAUAUAAAAAAAAAACAUUUUAAAAAAUCUGAAAAAAUAAAAAAAUAUUAAAAUAAUUUUCUGAAAUUAUUUUUAUCAUAUAAUUUUUAUAAAAAAAUAUUAUUUUUUUAAAAUUAUAAAAUCUGAAAUUUCUGAAAAAAAAUGAAAUGAUUUUUUAAUUUUUUUUUUAAAAUAUGAAGAAAAAAAUAUAAUUUUCAAAUUAAAGUCGAAAAUUUAAUUUUAACAGUUUUUUUUUUUCAAUUUUUAUAAUGAUUUUUGAAUUUAUUUUCAUAUUUUUUUAAUUUAAAAAUAAUUUUAAUUUUUUAAUUAUGUGGACUGCCACGUCGAGUGCCACGUGGCAGAAGUUGCACAGUCAGCAACUGCCACGUGGCAAAACCCAUGCCACAUCACCAGCGAAGUGGGGCCAAGGACAUUUUUAAAACAAAUUUUUUUUUACAGGGAUGUAAUUAAUUUUUUUUUUACAGGGACGAAAAUCAAAAUGAGCCCAAAUUACAGGGACAGUUUGCAUAUUUAAGCCUAUCUUUUAAAUCAAUCAUAAAUAUCUCAUAAGUCAAAUCCAACAAUCUAGUCAUAAAUCCUCAUAGAGCAAUACAUAAGGAAUAGAAAGAAAAAAAAACAAUAACAAGUUUCAAUCCCGUUACGUAUCAGAGCACCUAAAGACACACGUGAGAGAGUCCACUCACGACCGCAACUAAUCUUGGUUACCUGCAAGUUACCCAUGUAUAGAGGCAACAUUUCAAAGCAGAAGGGGUGAAAUUCACAAACAAUAAUAUUAAGCAUAUUAUUCAUCACUUAUAUUUAACAACAUAAACAUCUUCAACGCAUCAUAAUAUUAAUUCUCAAUAAACACUUCAUUAAAAUAUCACAACUUAACAACUUGACUUGACAAUGCAACUUCAACUUGACUAUGCAACUCUAUCUUCUUAAUCAUGCAUGUGGUACCAAUCCAGGGCAUCAAGCCCUCAACAUAAGAGUAUAAAUAUACUCACAGGGCAUCAAGCCCUCAACGAGUAGAGCAAAGGCUCACAGGGCAUCAAACCCUCAACGGGUAGAGCAAAAGCUCACAGGGCAUCAAGCCCUAAACAUAAAUGAGUAUGCAUGGACUCAACAUCUUACAACUUAGAAAACAUCGACAUCUUAUGAUUCCAAUAAUUUGGAUCAACAUCUUACAUCUUAGACCGACUCAUGCAGCUUAAUCAAUAAUAAACAGCAACAUAGGCAGCACAUAAAACAGCUCAUGAUAUAGCAAUAUCAAAUGAUAAUCAACAUCAAUCUUAAACAUCUCUUAUAAUUCGCAUACUGUAUAUACAAUUAUAUCACAUUAUUAGCAACAUCAAAUCAUUUAUAUCAGGCUUACUGAAACAGCAGCAGUAGUAUAAGCAACUUCAUUUCCUACCCCAAGGAUCAUCUCACAACAACUCGUGCGACAAAAUCACAUAAAUCCUAAACAAGGUAGUUUGUCUAACAGGAGCUCGCGAGGCGAGGGCCUCUACUCGCCUGGCGAGUUCACAAAUUUGGUUGUUCGCCUUGGCGAACAAGCAGCUCGCCUUGGCGAACUAUAAACUAGGUGCUCUCGGGAACUUGACAUUUUUCACCCAAAAAUCCCAUUUUUAACUUCCCUGUGUUCAAUCUCAGUCUAAAAACUUGCCUAAUCAUUCUUAUACAUAUUCUGGCACUCAAAACCAUCUAAAGCUCGACUAAAGGAUUAAUUUCCAAAAUCAAGGUUGACUCAUUGGUCAACUCGCUAUGGCGAGUGACUUGCUCACUGUGGCGAGCAACUUCUAGGUACUCGCGUGGCGAGCGAUGAACUUCAUCCCUCGCGAGGCGAGACAUGCUGCUCGCAAGGGCGAGCGAUGAAUAUAGGCUUGGGCAGAAUGCAGAUUUUCACGAAAAUCCACCUAAUCACAUGGUUUUAAGCUUAACAUUGAUUCCUGUAAUCAUCGUAUGGCUUAUCUAAGGUCUGUACACGCUUUCUCCAUCAAUUCAAUGGUUUCUCACCCUCUAAUCAUCAAUUCUCACUCUUAACCCGAAUUCUUAAAUUCUCAAAAACUAGUCCUACAACAUGUUAAAUACAACUAUCAGAAUUAGAGGCUUAAGAAAAUUGAGUGCUAGUCCCACCCUUACCUUAAGGAAUCGAUUGGACAGCCUCUCUUGGUUAUUCUCUUCUCUUGUUCUCCCUUUUCUCCAAAAACUGCUUGUACGUGAAAACUUUUCUAAACCUAGUUCUCACCUAUUUAUAUCUCCCCAUCUAUCUUAUCUUAUUCCACUUUUUUCCACAAAACUCUCUAAAUUCACAAAACAACCCCUCAUCUCAAUAUUUAUUUUAUUUUCAAAUCUUAAUCUAUUAAAUAAUAAAAUAAGCCACAACACCUCAUAAAAUUUCUAAAAUCACAUGAAUCACAUAAAUAUAUUUCAAACUCAAUAAAAUAAUUCAAAUAAUCAAAGUGGGCGUUACAACAUGUAUUCUAUCAAAUCAACUAUAUAAAUUCUCUUUCUUAAAAAAAAAACUAUAUAAAUUCUCACAUCGAAUUCCCUCAUAUAAAAUGAGUAUUCACACAAAGGAAUGCAUUCCAAGAGGUUGCUUUGAACUUAAUCUUACUGCCCUGCCAACUGACAAGUUUCAAUUGACAGAGGAGCAUGAUCAAGUUCAAAGGAACCUCUUAGAGGUGCAUUCCCGUCAUUCUUUGACUUUUUAAAGAAUAUGCAAAUAUCUAUCCUAAGUAUACGACACUUCGAUACUAACAUCUUCAACAAACUAACAAGAAUUAAACUUAAAUUUCUAACAAAAUAAAGACAAUACAUAAUAACGAUGCUACCUAAUCAUAAUCUUUUGGCGGAAUCAAACUGUUGAGAAUAUCUUCAGGCAAUCUCAUCAACGUGACAAACAUAUCAAUCCACGGAAACAUGUUGUGCUGCCAAAAAAUCGAGAACAUGCUCCUCACGUCGUCAUCGUUCGUUAAUUCUAGCCAACUGAAUGUUAUUCUGCCCCUCGUCCAACGUUGGGCAUUCAUACCAAAUGUAUUUCACUCUCCUUGUGUCUCCGGGGUUGAGUCCUUAGUUGAUUUCAUUCAGUUGAUCCUUGAGACCUUUUAACGUGACAUUAAUGUAAAGAACCUUGAACAUCUGAGGAUUUUCACCGUUGAAGCGUAUGCAAACAUUGAACAAAUCAGCCAUUGUUUCAAAUCUACACCAUAAAAAAUUAAACGAUCAAUGAAAAACUCAUUCAAACAUUUCAUCAAACACUUGGAGUGCAAAUUAUACAUAAAUCCUAAAACUAAUAACUACAACAUCAACAUGCAAACAUCUAAACAAUUAAGGAAUAUAAAUCAUUUACAUGUAAUAUUGUAUCAUUGCUUGCCAAAAAAAAAUGAAAAUUUAAACAAACCCUAAAACUAAAAAAAUUCUAAUGUAAGAAGAAAAAUCCAACAUAUAAACAUAAAAAGGUUAAUGGUGUUUCAUUAUGAAAACUUACUUGUUAUUGGAGUGUUGUUUGAUUUAAACUUGAAGGAAUUUUGGAUUUGGGUGAUUUGAGAGAGAUUUUGGAGAUUUUAGAUGGGAAAUGAGGAAAUAAGGUUAUGUCUGCCUUUAAAAUAACACGCAACGUGAGUUAAGUCACGCAAAAUUAACACUAGCAUGAGUUAACUCACGCAGGGGUAAUUUUGAAAAUUUGGUUGGAAAUGAGCAAAACAUGUUGGGAGAAGAGCAUAAUUCCAAUGACGAUGUGGACCGACCCAUCUCAUUUAGACUUGUCCUGCUGGUAGCCAUAAAAAUGGGACUAUUACUUUUCCCACCCUAUGCCUUUACUCGCGAGCCCUAUUUUUUUCCAAAAUUACCAUCUGAGCAUUCCGGAUUUCAUAAUCCGGAAUGGUAUUUUCCUUUGUUAUAGGGUGAAAAAUGGAGUUACGGGUUUUUCCGGAUUUUGUAAUCCGGAAACUUCAAAAAAUAGGGCGCGUUACAUGAUGUUUCCGGAUUACAUAAUCCGAAAACCCCCUAAACACCCUUUUUCAACGUAAAACAUUUCAGAUUAUAUAAUCCGAACUGUAUCAGCACAAAUUCUAAACAUGUUUGUAACAUGGAUAGUCAUUUUAUGGACAAUAUUAUUCUUCCUAAUUCGCAUCCUUCUGUUUUGGGUCAUUGUUACAUGUUCUUAGUCAAAAAUCGGGUUUCCGGGCUACUUGACCGGAUUGCUCCGAAACUUGCCCAGAAAAUCAAAAAAAAUUCAAGGACCAUGCCUCCCCUAGAAGGGACUUCCAAUGGGACUCCACCCCUCAAAAUCCAAAAUUCCAUCGUUUAGACCAAUUUUUAAUUUUUUUAAUUUUUCAUAUUUUCAGAAAAAUCCGAAAAAAUUUGCAUUAUUUUUAUUUGAUUUUUAGAAUUUUUUGAUGCUAUUUUUAUAUUUUUAUGAUUUUAUUUGAUAGGUUUUAAGCAUUUUUUACUUAGUUUUUUUUUUGUUGUUUUGAAAAGCAAAACUCAAAACUGUUAAAAUGUGAGAGAGUCUGAUGUCUGAUUAUACAUAAGAAUUGUCCGGAUUAUAAAAUCCGAAAUAAUAAACAUGAAUCCGGAUUUUAAAAUCCAGAAUGCACAAGGGCAUUUUUGAAAAAAUUAUAGGGCGCAGGAGAAGGCGAUAAGAUGGGAAAAGUAAUAAGAGUAAGGCGAGACGGGUAAGUUUGAGGUAGUGCGUUCAAACACAAAUUUCAUUUUAUUAAAAGACAUAAUAACGAGUUUUAAUUAUUAUUUUUUAGGGCGACUGAGGAGUUGGUAGUUGACAAAAAAAAUUAGGAAGAAAAUUUGCAACAUUUUGUUUUUUUAAAAAGCGUUGUCUACGAAACUUAAACUUUUAUAUGUAAGAUAUAAGAGCAUUUCUUAAAACACGGAAAAAAAGAAAAACGUUAAGAAGGAAAUUUGCAACAACUUUUUAUCUCCAAAAAGUUUUUUUUAUUGAAGGAAUGAUUCUAAAAAUUUUUCUUUAUUUGAGGGAAUAUCUCUAAAAAGUUGUUUAAUUGACUUAACAAGUUUUAAAGAAAAAAAUUAGUAAGAAAUUUUCAACAACUUUUUUUCUCGAAAAAGUAGUCAGAUAGAUUUUUUUUUAAAGAAAAGUUGCCUAAAAGAUUAAAGAACUUUUUUUUCCCAUAGAAGAUAAGAUAUCAUUUUAAAAAAAAAAAAAAUUAGUUAAAAAGGAAAUUUGUAACUUUUUUGACUGUAAAAAGUUGUCUAAAAGACUUAACUUUUAUAUAUAAGAUAAGAGAUCAUUUAUUUAAAAAAAAACAAAAAACAAAAAGUUAGCAAGGAAAUUCGAAACAAUUUUUUUUUCUCAAAAGAGUUGUCUAAAAUCAUAAGAACUUUUAUAUAUAAGAUAAGUGAGAGAAUUCAAAAUAUCAAGAAUAGGAGUAAUCUUCAACUCUUCUUUUGACUUCAUUUCUAAUAGGUUACUUGCAAUCAUACAUAUAUAGUAUUGACCUUGAUUAAGGGUGUCGAGUUUACUUGAUAGCAAAUUCAAUCAAAUGUCAUUUAAUGAUUUGAAUUACUAUGUUUUAAGCUUCUAAUCUUUCAUUAUAAAUGACCUUUUUUGUCUUUUGAAAAAUAUUUAUUGUUGCAGUAAUGAAAGCAGUGUUGUGAAGGAAAUAGUUGGCAAUGUUUUGAAAAAACUAGACAAGAAAUACUUGCCUAUCCCAGAUUUUCCAGUAGGAUUAGAAUCCCGUGCGGAAAAAUUGAUUCAGUUUCUAAGAAAGAAUACAAGAGGAGUUUGUUUAGUAGGGAUUUGGGGAAUGGGAGGGAUUGGCAAAAGCACCAUUGCCAAAGUCGUCUACAAUAAUCUUUGUUAUGAAUUUGAAGAUCAAAGCUUCCUUGCUAAUAUUAGACAAGUUUGGGAGAAAGAGAGGGGGCAAAUUGAUUUACAAGAACAACUUCUUUCAGAUAUCCUUAAAACAAGAAAUGUAAAGGUGCAUAAUGUUGAGUGGGGAAAAGCUAUGAUCAAUGAACGACUUUGCACGAAACGGGCACUUGUUAUACUUGAUGAUGUCAGUACACGCGAGCAAUUAAAUGCAUUAUGUGGAAAUCGAAAUGGGAUUGGUCCAGGAAGCAUAAUAAUCAUCACAACAAGAGAUGCACGUCUACUUGACAUCCUUGGAGUUGAUUUUAUUUAUGAAGCGGAGGGAUUGAAUGUGCACGAAUCUCGUAGGCUUUUCAACUGGCAUGCGUUUAAGGAGGCGAAUCCAAGUGAAGCUUUCCUCAUACUCUCCGGAGAUGUAGUUUCCUAUUGUGGUGGACUACCACUAGCUCUUGAAGUCCUUGGAUCUUACUUAUUCAAUAGGAGAAAACGAGAGUGGCAGAGUGUAAUAUCCAAGCUACAAAAGAUACCCAAUGAUCAAAUACACGAGAAACUAAAAAUAAGCUUUGAUGGUUUAGAGGAUCAUAUGGAAAAGAAUAUAUUUCUUGAUGUCUGUUGUUUCUUUAUCGGUAAGGAUAGAGCUUAUGUUACAGAGAUACUAAAUGGGUGUGGACUUCAUGCUGAUAUUGGAAUAGAAGUGCUGAUAGAGAGAAGCCUCCUAAAAGUUGAAAAGAAUAACAAGCUUGGAAUGCAUGCUCUGCUACGAGACAUGGGAAGAGAAAUUGUUCGUGAAAGUUCACCUGAGGAGCCUGAGAAACGUACUCGAUUGUGGUGUUUUGAAGAUGUAGUUGAUGUACUGGCCGAACAAACCGUAAGAAUUCUACAUUGCAUUUUGAAUUUUUGUCAUCCUUCACGAUCUUUGAAGAUAAAAAUAAAACUAUGUUUCAGAAAUGUUUUUUUACUUUUCCCAUCUAUUGGCUGAAAAUUGUGGGAUUCAUCAUCUCACAAGUGUUUGUCCAAAGUUUUUGGAGAAGUUAGUUCAUGAGAAAAAUGUCAUUUUAUAUAUGAUUGGGUAAGGGUUUAAGCAGAAAUUUUAUGUGUUGCUUUUUAGUUACCAAAUAGCAAGUUAAGGAUUCCUUUUUAUUUUAUUUUAUUUUUGUUUUUUCUAUGGUCUUUCUUUGUGUCACAGGGAACAAAAGCCAUCGAGGGAUUGGUUUUGAAGUCGCAAAGGACCAGUAGAGUUUGCUUCAAUACAAUUGCUCUUAAGAAAAUGAAGAAAUUGCGAUUGUUGCAACUUGAUAAUGUACAAGUCAUCGGAGAUUAUGAGUGUUUUUCGAAGCAGUUGAGAUGGCUUUCUUGGCAAGGAUUUCCUUUAAAAUACAUGCCAGAAAACUUUUAUCAGAAAAAUGUAGUUGCUAUGGACUUAAAACACAGUAAUCUUACACAGGUUUGGAAGAAGCCUCAGGUACAUAUGACAAUAGAUAUUCCUUUUAAAAUUAAUGGUUAAUGGAAAUAGUUAUUUUGCAUCUUAUUCUCUAAUUUUUAUUUAAAACAUUUAUUUUCUUGUAGUUGAUAGAGGGACUGAAGAUCCUAAAUCUCAGUCAUUCUAAGUACUUGAAAAGAACCCCCGACUUUUCAAAAUUACCAAACCUAGAAAAGCUAAUUAUGAAGGAUUGUCAAAGUCUGUUGGAGGUACACCCGUCCAUUGGAGAUCUCAACAAUCUUCUUCUGAUAAAUUUGAAGGACUGUACGAGUCUUAGCAAUCUCCCAAGAGAGAUCUAUCAAUUGAGAACAGUGAAAACUCUCAUCCUUUCUGGUUGUUCAAAGAUUGACAAAUUAGACGAAGAUAUAUUGCAAAUGGAAUCCUUGAAAACUCUAAUGGCAGCAAAUACUAGAGUCAAACAAGUGCCUUUUUCGAUCGUCAGAUCAAAAAGCAUUGGAUAUAUAUCUCUAUGUGGAUAUAAAGGAUUAUCACAUGAUGUUUUUCCUUCUCUCAUUAGGUCUUGGAUAUCACCAGCAAUGAAUUCCUUACCAUGCAUUCCCCCUUUUGGUGGCAUGUCAAAGUCUCUUGCUUCCUUGGAUAUAGAGAGCAAUAAUCUGGAUUUGGUGUCUCAAUCACAAAUACUUAACAGUUGUUCAAGACUUAGAAGUGUUUCAGUACAAUGUGACUCAGAGAUUCAACUGAAACAAGAAUUCAGAAGAUUUCUUGAUAAUCUAUAUGAUGCAGGUCUUACUGAAGUGGGAACAUCACAGGCAUUACAAAUUUCGGAUCUUUUCAUGAGAUCCCUUUUGUUUGGUAUCGGAAGUUGUCACAUUGUCAUCAAUACUCUUGGCAAGAGCUUAUCACGGGUUUCUUCUCCAUCCUCCCACCUUUACUGAUAAUUAUUAAUUUAUUACUUAGGAAAACAUAGAACUACUUUCCAUUUGCAUUUUUUUUUUUUCAAAUGGUAAAAGAUUUUAAAAUAUACAAAUUUAUUCAAGUAUCAUAAGAGAAAACAUAUUUUUUCUACAUAUCAUUUUUUCUUUAAAUUUAUCUUCAUUGCAUUUAUUUGCUACUGUUAAUAUUUAUUACAUUUGUUUAGCUUAUUCAUAUAUUCGUAACACAUGUUUAACUUUGAAAGGAUAUUUGAAUAACUAUUGAAGCUAUACACGGGGUUUAGUCGUUUACAUAUUGAACGAGAAAGAGAAACAGAAUAAUAAAAUUAUAUUUUUGUUGGUCUGGAUGGUUAUAUUGGAUCUUCUUGCCAUACAAAACAAAUCACUAGCUCGACAAUUGUUUUAUAAAAAAAGUUUAGUACAUAACUACAAUCUAAAACGAAUAAGGUAACUAGAUAACUUUUUACCUAUAUUUUUUGAAGUGCAAGUAUAUGUUAUGUUUUUGCUCUCUACAUUAGAAGGGAUCCAUGACCAUGUAAGCUAAUGUUGCUACAAUGCUACCUUUUAUUAGAAAUCAAAGCUUCCAGAUGUUUCAUAUGUUAGCUCACAAGCCUUUUGUAUUCAUGAAAGUGAAUCGACUGUGUGUGAAAAGGAGACAAAUUACUCUACAUAAACGAAAACAAUACUAUUCCUAAUGUUUUGAAGACAGAAAAUGAUUGGUUUUUCUACGAUGUUGAUACUAGGCCUUACAUAUUAUCAGACACUCUUCAAAGAAGGGAAUACAAAAGUAAAGUGCAAGUAGAGCUAGUUAAUGAAAAAUCUUCUUAUGGAUUCAUAAGAUAGUAGAACCCUGAGAGUGUGUUUGGAUGGGGGAAUGUUUUGAGGGAAUGUAGUGUUUUGAGGGAAUUCAACUACUUUGAGUUGAAUUCAAAUUCCCUCAAAACAUUACAUUCCCUCAAAACAUUUCCCCAUCCAAACACACUAUGAGAGAAUUUGUAGACAAACAUACAUAUGUUAUUACAAUGGUUACUGUGAAAGAUGAGUUGUAGCCUGUAGGAAAGUGGAAAGAAACUAUACUGCAUUUUCCAUUCAAUCUGUUUCCUUGUUUAUAUUUUUUUGUACACUAUUUUAAUUUUUAACACAAUAAAUUGCAGAAGUUGUCCAUUUGCGUAGCAUAAUUAGAAUUGCAUAAGUAAGUAACGAAGCAUAUUUUCAUGAUACAGGGAUUGACAACCAAUUUAGGUGAUUCCCUUCCGGGUGACAAUUAUCCUUCUUGGUUAGCCUAUAAAGGUGAAGGACCUUCAGUACUUUUCCAAGUGCCGAAGGAUAGUGAUUCUUGCAUGAAGGGAAUAGCUUUAUGCGUUCUUUAUUCAUCAACACCUGAAAAUUUGGCAACUGAAAGUCUCACUAGUGUCUUGAUCAUUAAUCACACAAAAUUCACUAUCCAGAUUUACAAACGAGACACAAUAAUGUCGUUUAAUGAUGAAGAUUGGCAAGGCAUAGUGUCAAAUUUAGGAGUUGGUAACAAUGUGGAAAUAUUUGUAGCUGUUGGGCAUGGAUUUACUGUUAAGGAAACUGCGGUUUAUCUAAUAUAUGAUCAAUCUAUUUCUACGGAAGUUGAGCCAUCAAGUACUAUUGAAGUUGACCCAUCAACUAGCACAAAUAUUGAGCCAUUACAUGAAGUGGAAGUGCAAUCAUCACUUAGUGUGAAAAUGGAGGCAUCGGCCGAAGAGCAACUACAACCAUCACUUGAUGUGAAAACGGAGGCAUCAGCUGAAGAGGAUGUACAACCAUCACCUAAUGUGAAAAUAGAGCCAUCAGCUAAAGAGGAAGCACAACCAUCACCCGAUGUGAAAAUGGAACCAUCACUUGUCAAGAAUGAACCAUUACCGAACGCAAAUAGAAAAAUAUUUACAAGACUUGCAAAGAGAGUGGGAGAAUGUUUAUGCUUGAACCAGAAAUGAGUAACAACUUUUGAUUGGGCAUGCCUAUUGUCCUGAUAUGGAAUUCCCAUGUAUGUGUUUUUUGCUUAAUGAAAAUAUGUAGAAAAUAUGUGUUUAUGCUUGAACCAGAAAUGAGUAACAACUUAAUGAACCUAUUGUGCCAAGUUGCUUGCCUUUGUUUCAUCUUCAAAUACACCAUUUUUGCACGUCUACUAUUCUGAUGGAAUACCAAUUACAUGAAUGUCAUUCUUUCGUCAAUUGGUUCAUUUGGUUCUUGAUUCUGAAAAUUUGACUCAUUUGUUGUGUUUCCUUCUACCUACUGGUUCUUAUUUUUCAUUUCUUUUACUACUGGUACUCUGGUAGCAUGUGUUGGAUCAAAUUUACAUUCUCACUAUAGUUGAAAUUUUCAUGGAGAGUAAUAUGCACUGUUAGUCUGUUACUCCUGUUAGUCCUAAACCGAGAUUCCAAUAUUGGGCGUACAGUAAAAUUUGAAGUAAAAACGACCAUCGUAGUUAAUGAAGUAAACUGGAGAAUGCAAAAAUAGUACAUUUCCCCUUAAAAAAAUAGUACAUUUCACAAAAAUUCAAAUAAAAAAUAAACCUAAAAUGCACACAUUAUUUUUUUUUCUUUCAGUGAUAUAAUAUAUACUAAAAUUAUUUCUAUAAAAAAUAUUACUAAAAUUAUUGAAGGAAAAAAAAAUUGAGUGAGAGUGAGAUAUUGUGUUUGAAAUGAUUUUGAAUGGUAUGAAAUGCCAGUGCUUUGUUAUAUCUUGGUUUUCUUCCAAACUUGUUUUAUACUACUAUGUUUUAAGUCAAUAACAAGAUUUCUUUGAUAAAAGUCAUCAGGUAUUUUGUUGAAGGUAAAUCCUUUCCAAUGUAUUCGUCUCAGGUCAUUAGAAAGACACUUAUAAUCUCUAGUGAGGUCGACAUGAUCAAGUUGUAAAAGUCUCGUUUCUUCAUCCUUUUUAAAGAAUCAGUACUGACGAAAAGUUAAAUGCUUUGCAAACUUCAAAGCCAAGUCAUUUACAGGUUCUGUUUCCUACAAAAACAUAGAAGUGUAAAGUGAAACCAUUUUCGCUUCCUUGCUAGAGAAAAGUAUAACAAGCUGCAGAGAUGCAAACCGAGCAGAAGCUACUCAAGUCGAGAGGGAAUCAAUAAAUACACUGCUUGAUGACUUAAGACAUAUAGUUUUUUCAAGUAACCUUUUGAAAUAUCUUCCAAAUCACACAAACUGUAGAGAAAAGUUAAAACAUUUAUUAUUCAAAAUCGGAGAUAGGGUUGAUGAACUAUCUGAGAAACAAGUUUUGGGUCUUACUUAGUUCACUAAAAUCUUCAAAGAAACAAAUUCAAUUACUUAAGGAGCAAGUAAAUAAGCUUCAUCAAGAAAAGUCUGUCUUGAAAGAUACUUGUUCGAAAUGUCAAGAAAAAAUGGUCGACAUUCUGAAAGAAAUCAAAAACUCUAUCAUCCAAUACUUUAAAAAUCCUUGAGAAAACUUCUCUCCUUGAAAAGAAAGAACAAAAAUUCAAUUGGAAUUGCAAGAGACUCCAAGAGCACUAUACCAAAAUGAAAUCAGCACCUCCUUGAAUUUAGAUCUUUUUAUCAUUUGUUUAACUACUUUAUAAUUUGCUAUAUGGUAUAUAACUAUGAUUACCAUAUUUCUUCUCUUUGUUGUAUAUAUGUAAUUGGGAAUGAUAGUUUUCUAUCUCAAUACUGAAGUUAAAUCGGAAACAUUAUGUAUUGUGGUUGUAUUUUUCUUCAUUCAUCUCUGUGAGGCACUAAGAAGUUGUUUCAAUCUGUUUAUUUAUGUUAUCCCCCAGAUAUAUUCAUUGUUUUCUAUUGUUUUGGCUUGAAAAAUGAAGAGAAAAUGAAUUGUCUCCAGUUGAUUAAAAAACACUACAGGAUUGAUACACUUUUAUAGACUUUAUUGAAUCUAUCCUAAUUAAUGAGAUAGAAUAUAAUAAAAUCAGAAUAUAAACUGUAAAUAUGAGUGAAUAAAUAAUGUGAUAUAGUUGCUUCUUGUUCGUUAUAUGUUAGGAGCACAGAUAGCCAAUAUCAGUAAUGGUGUAUUGCCAUAACAUUAUGAUGCUCACAAAGCAGAAAGUAAAAUAAAACUAAUUGUUUUUUCUUUCAAGCGGUAGAAGGCUUUCCUUAUAAAUCAUUAUCCGGCAACAUGAGUCACCUUUAACACCAAGCUCUUCGAUUCUCUGGGUGCUUAAAUCAAACCAAACUAACUCAUUAUCCUUUUUUCUGAAGAAUAUAUCGCCCUUCUUACAAAUUCCAAUAGGAUGUUCAAUGCCAGGCAAAGGACCUACAAUAAAGAGUUUGGUCCAUGACUCUUUGAACCCAACUUCACCCAAAAUUGAUAUGUGAAAUUUUGAUUUCUUCAGUUUAAUUUUUGAUAAACAUCAACUACUACUACCUAUAUAUUUCUUCAGUUUAAUUUUAUUACAUGACUAUAAUCCUAUUGCCUUCAACAACAAUCACACAACUCAAUCCUUCACCAAAAAUCAAUUUUCACAUAAAAUCCAUUUUCACAUGCAUCAACCAACCACAACAAAUCUAAAGUUCAAAAAAUAAGACAUAAAAUAUAACUACCUUAGCAUCCUGAUCAAACCUCCUUAAGCAUCCCAAUAGAACCAGGAUCACAAGCAUCAUAUGUGUCAUUGAAAAAUCAACAUAAACCCAACUUUUAUUGGACUAAAGGUAACCACACAAGUACUUUUGAAUUAGGAGGAACAACCUAUGAAUUAGGAGGAACGACCUAUACGCACUGCAACUUGAUCUUGAGUGGCCAUGAAGUAAGAGAUAUGAAAUCAGCUAAUAUAUGUUUUUUAUAAUUUGUAGUCAACAGAAUCAUCAACUGAUAUAUUUGCAUCAAUUUCUUUGUUACAAAAAUGCAGAUAUUUUUGUAAGAAUUUAAUACCAGAAGUUUUGCUCGUCCUAUGAAUAUUUGUGCACAACUAUUUUUUGUGAACUAGAAACCUCAUUGUUCACAUUGAUAAUAGAAAGAUCUUUGAAGCGUUUCUUCAUUGAUUUUGCUCCUUUAAUAAACAAAAGGCAUGUCAUAUUAACUAAAUAGUAUGUCUUUGGUUAAGCUAAUUAGUAAUUAGAUAAUUGAUUGAAGAUUAUUAUGUUCUAUUAGAGUAUGUCUUUAUUUCAAGGAAUAAAAAAAAUGGAUAUAUGUUGAAAUUAGAAGUUGUUGCUAACAAAAAUUGAUCAAUACUUGUUCUAUUGAAUUGAUAUGCUUGUCAUCAAUAGGAAACUGCAUUAUUAUGUCUUUAAAUUUUGGCACAUAUGUUGUGCUUUCAAACCACAUCUACCACAAAAUAUAUGUAGCUGGUUGUAAUUUGUGGCAUGCCUAAAUUUUUUUUUUUUUUGGUGUUGUAACAAAAAACACAUAUAUAUAUAUAUAUAUAUAUAUAUAUAUAUAUAUAUAUAUAUAUAUAUAUAUAUAUAUUAUGUCCUGAAUGUUUAUAUAAUUUUUUUUAUGGAAUUAUAUAUAUAUAGGGGUUUGCUAGAACACACCCACUAAUUUUUAUGUGGGAGUGUUUUAGCAAAGCUACACCUUAGGGUGUAUUUAACCACUUUUUAGUUAUUAAUUUGCUAAAAUACUCCUUCUAAAAAAUAAGUGGGUGUAUUCUAGCAAAUGCCUAUAGGAUUUGCUAGAACACACCCACUUGUUUUUUUUAGAAGGUGUGUUAUAGCAACAUACACCUUAAGGUGUAUUUAUUAACUUUUAAGUUGUAACUUGCUAAAACACUCCCACAUAAAAACUAGUGGAUGUGUUCUAGCAAAUUAUAUAUAUAUAUAUAUAUAUAUAUAUAUAUAUAUAUAUAUAGCCGAGUAGUCCCAUUAUCCUUAAUCUUAGUUAUCUAAUUCUCUUUUCUCUCUUUACCUGAUCCAUGUGAUUUCAACAUAGUACCAAAGCCAUAUUUAAUUCAUAUUUUGUUAAAACAAAUCUACUUUUUUAAAGAUUUUUACAAUAUUCUACAUAUUUCUGCAUAAUUUCAUUAAAAAAAAUACAAAUAUUACUCAUGAAUUGACUUCAAAAUUGGGACCAAAAGUGGAAAUUGAAAAUCUUAUAAGGACUAAAAGUUGAAAAAAAUAAAUUAAAGGAACUAAAACGAAAAAUUGAUAUAUUUAUUGAGACUAAAAAAAAUAUUUAACUUUCCAAUGUCUCUCCUCCUCUGUUUGGACUCUUUAUUAAUUAGAGGUGAUUUUAAACUUCAGAUGUUUCUCUUGUUGUUUUGAGAUUUGCCAUUAAGCACCAUGUUUGGAUUGCCUUUUUUCCUUCUGAUAUAAAUUGGUUCUAUUGUGGUUUUGUUUAGCUCUUUUAUUUUUUUUACCAUUGUUGCUUUUGCAUUAGCACCUUAUUCUUAUUUUUGUUUGUUUAAAGGAAUGAUCAAUAUAAAUGCUUCCGGUUGUUAUACUUAUGGUAGCUUUUAUUUAUAGAUAUUUAUGAUUAAUUUAUAGAAAUAUAUAUAUAUAUAUAUCAAGGAUUAAUUACAGAUGAAUAAAAGACAAGCGAACAAUAAGUUGCGUCAUUAGGCCUUUAAGAAAGGCAAAAUCAAUCCUCGUGAACACGACAUUCAUGGGCCUAGGAGACAUGACAUUGCUAUACAUGACCAUUUUGAACUCUAUAUAGGUCAACAACCUCUCGUGCUAGGAAAGUCAUCAAAUGUAAAAAUGGAAUAAAUUUUGUUGGAUGUAGUAUAGAAUUUGCCCACAUAUUAUUCCGUUCAUGCAUGUGAAUGCUUUUGUUGCGGCCGACUCAAGUAUUACUGCAUCUCCACGGUGGACGCCAAAUGUUCUUGCUGGUACACAUGGAGACGAGCCAUGAGAUAUUUGUGCCAUUUGGAUAAAAGUUAAUUAUUUAAUAUAUAUAUAUAUAUAUAUAUAUAUAUAUAUACACUCUUUUUUAAAAUUUUAGUCCCUAUUAAAAUUUAUUGAAAAAUUUAGUUCUCCAUAAUAUUGUAGCUUAAAAUAACGGUUCCUAUUUUAAAAAUAUUUUACUUAAAAUGAAUACUUUUAGUCCUCAAAAUAAUCGACAUAAAAGGAAAAUAAGGUUUCAAAGUGAAUAGAUUUUUUUGAAUAACUAAAUUUGAAAGCUCCUGUUUUUGUACUAAGAUAUUUAUAACCAGUAAUAAAAUAAAUUUGUAAGCCAAAUCUUGAGAAAACAAUUGUCAAAUGUAAUGUUGUAAACUCUUUUUGAAAUCUUCUUUUACGUAUCUUAUUCUUAUGCUUGAAGGCAGCGACGGAUCUAGGAUUUUUUAAUAGUGGAGGCAUCAUAUAAAAAAAUUUGUAGCAUUAAUAAUUGUCCUCUACAAUUUUUCAUAUUACGGAAACUUUGAACGGUUUUCUUAUUUUGAAAAUCAAUAAAAAUAUAUUUCUCUAUAUAAAUAACUAAACAAUCAUUUAACCGAUCAUCUCUCAUUCGAUUUUGCAUCCAAUUCUUGAUAAUAUUCAUACUAUCAAAAAAUAAUUUGAGAUAUAUGAUGAUAUAUGUGGGCCAAAAGAAAAAUAAUUUGUGAUAAGUGUAGACCGUGUGGUCAAAAUGUGAACUAUUGAUACAUUAUACUACUAAAAAUAAUAGUUUCUAAAAAUUUAAUGUAGGCACAAGCCCACACAUGGAUGAAUGAACAUACAUCCGUCCCUGCUUGAAGGACUUGUGAGCUUUGAUUAUUUUUAUUUUAUUUUGGCUUUUAAAAAAAAACAGAGAAAACAAUUGUAAAAAAAAUUAAAAAAAAUCCUGCAAAAGAGUCAACAAAACACUUCUUGAGUAUUUAGUUUUCACGUAUUUGCAAAAUCUUGCCUUAGCAAGCCUUAACUCAUAACAACCAUGUCGUUCUUUCCCUCUCGGACUCACACGAAAAAAAGUAAAUUGACUAUUACUUUUCUCACCUUAUGUACUUUUCACACGCCUUAUUUUUUCCAAAAUAUCAUUAGUUCGGAUUUUAUAAUUUAAACAAGAUUUCAAGAAAUAUUCAGAUUAUAUAAUCCAAAAAUGUCUUUUACCAAAUUUUUAAUUUGAGUUUAGUUUAUUUUAUAUUAUUUAGAUGCGAAAAUCAUAAAAUAAAUGAAAAAAAUAAAAGAACAAAACGAUAUACAUAAAAAUUUUAUUUUAUUAUUAUAUCAAUACAUUUAUAAUAAAGUUGAAGCUUAAAGCUUAUUACAUAGAACAUUCAAACAUAAACCAACCUAACACUCAGACAAACCGUGCUUCUUUGUAGCGCGUUGUCUUCCCCGUUACCCGUUCAUACAAUCCUUGAGUUUCCAAAGUAGCAUCUUUUUAUGAAAUGCCAACGAUGGAAACACAUUGUUGUAUAAGGAAGAUGAGGAGAGGAUGAGAGUGUGAGAUGAUGGUGUGAGAAAUGGUGAAGGUUUGAACGCUAUUUAUAGGGGGAAUGGUUGCAUAGAGUGUAUCUACACUUAAUGUUGAGUAAAAAAAUAUGGUUCAAAGGGGUUUUACCACCCAUCAAUGCUGAUAAAAACCUUUGAAAACAUGUUUUAUGUGGUUCAGACCACCGGCCAAGAAACUGACUUGGUUCAAAUUAUAUAAUCUGAAAUCAUACCCAUGGUUUUCGGAUUAUAUAAUCUUAAUUUAUUCAAUGUUAGGUGGAAAUGAAGGAACUUCAUACCUUAUGCAGGGUGAGAGACAUUUCGGAUUAUAUAAUAAGAAAAUGUUUAGGACAUGAUUUUUUCUGUGGUCCACAUUGCACCGACAGUUUAUGUGCUACAAGACACCCAAGUACCUCUAUAAAUAGGUGUCCCUGUUUUCAUAACCAAAAAACCACACACAAAAAAAAAAACAUGGAAAACUCUCUUUGAUCUGAACACCAAGCUAGUUACAGUGUACUACAACGGGGAGAAACCAAUCCAUCUAUUUAGGAUUCACACUUAUGUCGCCCUCUCUGUGUUGAAGGGUCAGCUGGAUCGAAUCAACCGCCAACUCAACUAAAGAGACACACGGAGGGUGGAUGGUGUUCAGUAUCGACAUCCAUCGAUCGACUCAGCCAGGAGUGUGCGGUUCACCCGGAUGAAGCUUAUGAACGGCGACGUGAGAACCAUAUUCUUGAUCUUUGGUCAAUACAGUACUAGAGGACCGAUCGAGUUGGACGCUUCGUUGGUCAGAUAUGUUGAACAAAUUCAUAAAAGUUUGAUCCGACCCAAGAACUACGAAGAGAUUAGGGCACUCUUGGACGCACCAUAUGAAGACAUUAAUUUAGCUGAUCUGUGGUAUGAAUGUCAUCAAAGGGUCCAUAUUGUCUCUGGUUCCCAUUCUCUAUUUUAUGGUUUUAUGUUGACGUGUAAUGCGUUUGAAUCAGGUACCUUAUUGGGAAUUCGUGUCUUACAAUUGGACCUUGACCCGGUGAAAAACAAUACCUGAAAAAAGAAAAACAAUGUGCUAGUUAUUGGCUUAUGCAGUUAAUACUUAGUAAUUCAGUUUUUCAAAGAUCACUUGUUCUUUAACAUAUUUGAAAACAUAUACUAAUGUAGAACAAUGUUAAAAAAUGUCAGAAUUGUUAACCUCUAAUUGUUGCAUAUGAAACAACAAUUACAAACCAUCACCAUCAAAAUAUAAAAUUGAAUUAUAAACACUUUUGAUGUCUAAACUACCAAUUUAAAAGUUUUUCCUCUAUAUUUUAUUUCAUUUACUUUUAUUUUAUAAACCCUCUAAUUCUUGCCUUUUUUACAGUUCAUAUAUAUAUAUAUAUAUAUAUAUAUAUAUAUAUAUAUAUAUAUAUAUAUAUAUAUAUAUAUACACUCACAAUUUUGUCUAUGCAUUAAUCAUUAAUGAACAUGAUGAAGUUAUAUCAGUUUGAAUUGCUCUUAUCCUUUCUAUUCAUCAUUGUCAAUACAACCCUUUCGGGUUAUAUCCCUCAAUUGCCUCAUUCUCUUGUCAAACAAAUAGACAAGAUCAAACAAUCUCCUCCAUCAGAUGAAGAUUCAAGGUCUAUCUCAAAUCAAAAAACAUUUGAGCACUUUCGGCUACUUCCGACAAUUUCUACUGAAAUUUGAUGAUGUUCUAGACGAGGAAACAAUAUCCGCUAUUAAGACCUACCAACAAUUUUUCAAUCUCCAAGUUACUGGUAACCUAAACACCGAGACUUUACAAAAAAUCUCGUUACCGCGAUGUGGUAUUCCUGAUAUGAGAUACGAGUAUGGCUUCGAUGUUGGAAGUGAUGUAUCAUUUCCGAAAGGAAACAAGUGGUUCCCUAAGGGCACAAAAAAGCUGACAUAUGGUUUUCUUCCAGGGAAAAAAUUCUCGUUACUGCGAUGUGGUAUUCCUGAUAUGAGAUACGAGUAUGGCUUCGAUGUUGGAAGUGAUGUAUCAUUUCCGAAAGGAAACAAGUGGUUCCCUAAGGGCACAAAAAAGCUGACAUAUGGUUUUCUUCCAGGGAAAAAAUUCUCAUUAGACAUGAUCGAAGGGUUUAGAAAUGC